CUUGUCUUCCUUGUUGUUGAGAUCAUCUUUCUCCCAAAUAAAGACCACAUAAUAGUAUGGUCUCAUAGAGAAAAUACCAGAGACUGCAUCCCAUAGAGAAAACAACAUAGACUGCAGUCCACUGGACAAAAUAGCUCAUUCAUGCUAAUGUAUACAAAAGAACAAGUCGAGUCACAUAAAAAGUAGAUGAACAAAUACCAACAAGCAAAUAAGAAUUACAAAGUACUAAUAAAUACUCAUCGCACAUGCAUGGAACUAUAGAAAUAAAAUUAAUACAGGGAAUACGACACCACUUAUUCUAGAAAUAACACAUUGCGGCUCCAUAAGGGCUCUCCUUCAUCAACUGUUAUAUAUCAGUAUCCCGUCAAUUGUGAGCUACCGGUGGUUUGCACUUCGGAGGCGGCUUCGGUUUUGGUUCAGGUUUAGGCUUGGGCUCCAUCUUUGGUUCGGGUUUUGGCAUCGGCUUGGGCUUAGGCUCUGGCUUUGAUUUUGAGCAGGGCUCGGGCUUGGGCUUUGGCUUUGGUUUUGGCAUUGUCUUGGGCUUAGGUUCGGGUUCGGGCUUGCGUCCCGGCUUUGGUUUGGGUUUGGGCAUCGGUUCAGGUUUGCAGGGCUCCGACUCUGAGUGUGGCAUAGGUUUUGGCAUUGGCUCUGGUUUGGGUUCUGGCUUUGGCUUUGGCUCUGCAAACUUCUCGACGACAGCAAGGUCUCGUCCAGCGGUAGCUGAUUGCUGGAAAGCGGAGGCUGCAACUAUCCCGAUGAAGAUCACGACGAGGAGGAAGUGAUGCCUCGUCAUUGCUACCUAUUUCUUGUGCUUGCAGCUAGUGUUGCACCUGGUGUGAUUUCUAUGUGUGCACCUGUGUGUUGUGUGGAGAACUGGAGAUACAUAUCAUGCGGUUUUAUAGGGUGGGCGAAACAAAGCAGAUCUGGAGCCUGCAUCAAUUAACAUUGCAACUAGAUAGCUGGAGUGACAAGUAUUGAGUAACAUCGGAAUGAAGUUAUAUUGGUUAAUUACGAAUGAAGCAACCAAUGUACGUACCUACAAGGUGUUAAUAAGCACAGCUGGACUUUAAUUGCCUCGAUGCGAUGAUAGCAGAAGGGUAACAAUAUUUUAACUCUGUUAGUUGCCUCCCGCAAGCAGAAAAUUAUGUUAGUUGCACUGUCCCAUGCUCACACGUCUAUGUGAUCACCCAUCAUCUAGAAAUGACAAGCCACCGUGUAUACACGUUAGUGCAAUACAAAGUAAAAGGCAAUCGCUACCGUUCAAUUCACAAUGGAAAAGAAAGCCCGGUCGAUUGCUAAGAUGUAUAGAUGUGAUAGUUAUUUACUAUUUUGUGACGUGAUAGCCAUUUACUAUUUUGUUUGCAGCAAAGGCUGCAUGCAUUGGCUCACUAUGACUGUGAAGAUAUGGGAAUAUGAGACAAGCCUUGUAUUAUUUUGUCCAGAAGAAAUUUUGAACCACGCCUUCUAAACCCGGAUGGAGGGAGUAGGAAAGAGGCCUUUUGGACCUCAGAUUCCAUGGAUCCUUUUUUUCAAAAAAAAAUCAAAAAAUAUUGUUUGAAGUUUCAAAAAAAUGUUACAAAACAAACUGUGGAUUCUAUUUUUGCAGCUCACGUGUAAAAUGGUUUCAUUAUGAAAGUCUAUACACAUUUGAAGGUACAUGUGGAUUUUAUUUUUAAAUUUUCUGAAACUUGAAAACAUGAUUUUUGAAGUUUUCAUAAAAGGUCUCCAUGGAGCGCGAACUCCAGAACAAGCCAGGUUGCCGACUUUAACACCAUGAUAUAUUUAGAUAGGCUAAGAAUUAUNNNNNNNNNNNNNNNNNNNNNNNNNNNNNNNNNNNNNNNNNNNNNNNNNNNNNNNNNNNNNNNNNNNNNNNNNNNNNNNNNNNNNNNNNNNNNNNNNNNNUGUUCAUUGGACCACACACAUCAGUAUGCAUUAUUUCCAAUAAGUCGGUGGCUCCCUCCAUUAUUCCUGAGAAUGGAGUCUUAGUCAUCUUGCCCAUGAGGCACGGUUCGCAUGUGUCAAAUGAUUCAAAGUCAAGAGACUCUAGCAGUCCAUCAGUAUGGAGCUUCUUCAUGCGCUUAACGCCGAUAUGACCAAGGCGGCAGUGCCACAAGUAUGUGGGACUAUCAUUAUCAACUUUGCAUCUUUUGGUACUCACACUAUGAAUACGUGUAACAUCACAAUCGAGAUUCAUUAAGAAUAAACCAUUCACCAGCGGAGCAUGACCAUAAAACAUAUCACUCAUAUAAAUAGAACAACCAUUAUUCUCUGACUUAAAUGAGUAGCCGUAUCGCAUUAAGCAAGACCCUCAUACAAUGUUCAUGCUUAAAGUUGGUACUAAAUAACAAUUAUUAAGGUUUAAAACUAAUCCCGACGGUAGAUGUAGAGGUAGCGUGCCGACGGCGAUCACAUCGACCUUUGAACCAUUCCGGACGCGCAUCGUCACCUCAUCCUUGGCCAGUCUCCGCUUAUUCCGCAGUUUCUGCUUUGAGUUGCAAAUGUGAGCAACAACACCGAUAUCAAAUACCCAGGUGCUACUACGAGCGCUGGUAAGGUACACAUCAAUAACAUGUAUAUCACAUAUACCUUUAAUGUUGCCGGCCUUCUUGUCCGCUAAGUAUUUGGGGCAGUUCCGCUUCCANNNNNNNNNNNNNNNNNNNNNNNNNNNNNNNNNNNNNNNNNNNNNNNNNNNNNNNNNNNNNNNNNNNNNNNNNNNNNNNNNNNNNNNNNNNNNNNNNNNNGGGAGACGAGACGAGGUAGGGUUUGCUUGCACGGCCGGCGGCGACUGCAGAGAGACGAGACGAGGUAGGGUUUGCUUGCACGGCCGGCGGCGACUGCGGCGAGGAGAGACGAGGUAGGGUUUGCUUGCCCGCACGGAGAUUAAUUGGGAGAGAUAUGGACAGACCGGGAUCAAGUCGGUCUCUCGUUUUUUGUUUUUUUUUNNNNNNNNNNNNNNNNNNNNNNNNNNNNNNNNNNNNNNNNNNNNNNNNNNNNNNNNNNNNNNNNNNNNNNNNNNNNNGCCGUAGUAAACCGAGUCGGUCGUCCUCUUUUGCAAACCUUCUACAUCAGCUUGUGUAAAUAUGAAAGGAUUAAUAAAGGAGGUAAAUUCUCGGCUGUUUUCAGAAGAGUUUAGGGUUAAAACUUGAACCAAAUCAGACACAAGCUAGUUUAGGAGGGGGGGGGGGGGGNNNNNNNNNNNNNNNNNNNNNNNNNNNNNNNNNNNNNNNNNNNNNNNNNNNNNNNNNNNNNNNNNNNNNNNNNNNNNNNNNNNNNNNNNNNNNNNNNNNNNNNNNNNNNNNNNNNNNNNNNNNNNNNNNNNNNNGGAAAGACCCGUCACCUCGCAAACCGUCGGAUAUCAAAGAUUGAGUGGCCGAGCAUCUUGCUAGGUUUCGUUGCAUAAAUUUUCUAUAAUACGGGUCAUGUUGCAUAAAUUUUUACAACAUAGGUCAAGUUGUAGAAUCGUUUUUACAAUAAAAAUCUUGCUGCAAUUUUUCCCUUGUUGCAUAAAUUUUCAUGACAAAAGUCUUAUUAUAGAAAAAAAUUGUAUAAUUUUUUCACAGCAAAGGUCUUGUUGCAGAAUUAUUCUGCAAUGAAGAUCUUGUGACAAAAAUUUAUAGUCUUUUUAUAAUCGAUGUACGUACGAGUCGAGGCCCUGCAACUUUUCUUAUAUAAAAUGGAUAUGUUUCUGGGAAAGGAAAGGUGGAGAACGGAUGAGGCCACAUAGACACGUGGUAGAUGAUGGAUGCGGUUGACGCCCAGGAGCAAUCCGUCGAUGGAUGCUAAUCAUUUUACAUUGGACUUCCCUCCCUAUCAAAAUAUAUAAGACCUUUUUAGUCUAAAAUUAAACUAAAAAGAGUCUUAUAUUUUAGAGUGAUUGACGAAAAAACUAUCACUUUAGGGGCUGUCAUCCCAAAGAGCUAUCAUUUUCAAAAAAAGUGAUUGAAAACUACUAAAAAAUUCAUAAUUUUGUUAUUAAAAACUACCAGUUUCGAAUAAUGGCCGGUUUAGACGAUUUAAACACACUUAUGACGGAUGGGCCCGUUUGUCAGUGAUGACGUGCUGAAAAAGUUAACUUUGUUAUUUCAGACCGUUAUGACUGGUGGACCCCACAUGUCAGUAUUAGUCAUCUUCUUCCUCGUCCCCUCUCUUGCUUUGGCAUUUUUUGAGGUGAACAACAGGAGCUCUGCCUUUGGAUUAAAGAAAAAAGAAAUCACGAGUCAUACAAGAACGCGGGAGAAAACCUGGAUAGUCCAAGUUAGAUCCCCAAGCAGCAAACCAAGAGAAAAAAGGAAAAAACAUAUUACAGGAGCACAACUAUAACACUACAUACCGAAAAAGGCUUUCGUCCCGCUUUAUAUGUAAAACAAAUCACCAGAGCACAGUAUCCAACAAAUGUUCACCGAACACACAGACACAGACAUACACACACACACACACACACACAAACGGAGUGGCACAAGAUAGUAUCGCAGGGUUCUGCUGAGGGAACAACUCAACAAGCCCUAAAGGAAGAACAAACAAAAACAACAACAAGCGGGCCUCAACAAGGCUAAUCCGGCUCGGGGGGGGGGGGGGGGGGNNNNNNNNNNNNNNNNNNNNNNNNNNNNNNNNNNNNNNNNNNNNNNNNNNNNNNNNNNNNNNNNNNNNNNNNNNNNNNNNNNNNNNNNNNNNNNNNNNNNNNNNNNNNNNNNNNNNNNNNNNNNNNNNNNNNCAUCGAGCGUAGGUCGGCGAUGAUGGAGUUGAUGGUGGCUCGUUCCCGGGAGUGGCUAAGUGACCGCCAAAGCUGCAGGUAACGACACAUUUUAAACACCGCAUCAGUGGCACGUCGAAGAAGAACACGUUGAAGCACAAGUUUAUUGCGAACGGUGUCCAGAGAGUCCAUGCGAGCACCCCCAAUGAUCAAUGCACAUUCUAGGCAAGCAACCCUAUCGAUUCUACAACAAUCAUAGCCAUGAACACGCACCAGCAAUCCUAAAAAUCUUAGCAAUUAUACACCGAUCAUAGUCAUAACGGCUUGGCUCAAAUCGAACCGAAUCGACGCAACCGCAACAAAAAACCCUAACCGCCCCGUCAUUGGCGUUCGCAACAUUCACUUGAAGCACUCCUAGAUGGCCAUGAGAUUUGGGCAACGAAGCACAGGGAGGCGGGGCUUGCAGCAUCCCGUGGUCGCCUUGCAGCAGCACGGCCCGGAUAUGUAGAGCGAGCUCAGCCGGCGACGUCCGUCGCAAUGGGAGAGGGUGCCAGGAAAGACGAAGGAGCGGAGAUUUUCAAGAUGAGGGGACGAGACUGGAUCGUGGGAGAGGCGGAGGUCGAUGGGUGGGCCAAGGGGCAUGUGUCGGUCGAUGGAGGCGGGUGUAGGUUGACCGUAAACAGUCGGUCGAUUUUAGUCAUUUCCCCCUCUUUUUUUUUUUUUUUUUUGCCUAGUGGUAUGCUAGCUUUUUGUAUUUUUGAGAAUAUAAUGCAAGUUUGGGUUUGGACGGCCAUAAGAUCUUGUGUCUAUUUGCAACUGUCAAACCAUAAUUCCCUUUUUUUAAUACUAACUCGGCUAAGCAAGUUGGUAAGUAGAUACGCACACGCCACAAAUGAAGCGGGUUUCUUAAACUCGACGGAAGAGAAGGCACGCGCCGCCGCGGGGUGGAGACGAUGGCCCCCGCCGCCGCGGCGCCGGCGCCGGCCGCCACCGCCUGCUCCUCGUCGGCGAGCUCCGCGCGCCCGCCCUCCACCGCCUCCUCCUCCCAGUCGCCGCCCAGGCGCACGGUCCCGGCGCUCCUCCUCUUCAUCUCCCUCGCCGCUCUCCUCAUCCUCUCCUCCGGCGAGGCCCACGACCCCGACGCCGACUCCGGGCGCCCCCUCAAAGGUUCGCGCGCCCCGCCCCGCCCCGCGACCGCUCUCUGUGCUCGGAUUUGGGUCCGUGCUGCGCGCGCGCGUGGGGAUCGGUUCCGGCCUCCCGCUAGGGUUUAGGGUUUUUCCGCGGUCCUGCCUGCCUUCGAGUUCGGGAUGCGUCCCCUCCCCGUGACUGUUGGUUGGGGCUUCGUUUCCGAAUAGGAUUUUUUUAGGUCGAUUUUCUCUUCGCUUGCAGUAUUGCGUCACCUUCUUUUUGGUCAAAUAUGUUCAGCAAUUUGCCCUCAGAACUCGUGAUCUGGGGUCAACUACUGGGGGGGUCGAGUGUUCAUUUCUUCUUGUCGCAGUAUCACACACACGCCUGUACCAAUGUUGGACUAACUAUUUAUUCAUUACUGCAGACGUUAGCUUGGAAUAUCCGGAGGUGACUUUUGCUCCCUCAUCCAUGGGUGGAAUUUUCUGUGAGCGAAUCCGCAUAUCUAAAAUACCAAGGUGGCAGUUUCAAAGCUAUGCAAAUCAAAUACAUAUAAGAAUGAAUGUCUCGCAUUCAUUGCCAGAAAAGUUCCAUUGGAAAAUACAGAUUUGCUUUCAUGGGUAAGUCUUGCAUUGUCUGAAGAAAAAGAAUGAAUAUAUGCAUCUUUGCUAUGCAGCAAAUUGAAGCGGUUUUCAUUUCCAGGAAUGUUUCUACCGGUCUGUGCCAAUGUGAGAUGGGUGAAUGGCAAGCUCUGCAAGGUGGCACGUGGAAUGCUGUCAAGUCUCCGUAUAACAGCAGAUAUGUUGAUGUGAAACUUACUGAUAAGAAAUCUGCUGUCUUCAGCCUUUCCAUUCAAGAAGGUAAAGAUUUCUUUCCCUGAAACCCUUCUGUUUCUACCAGUCAUACAUAUUUAAGAGCAUAUGUAUCUGCCCUUUUCUCUGAAAUACUAAUUCAUCCUCGUUCCGUGUAAUCAAAAUUUGCAGAGCUUCAGAAGUGGCGUUUAGCUUGCCUUGGUAUUGGAUUUGUUCUGCUAUUCCUGUCACCCAUCGUUAGUAAAUGGGCACCAUUUUACUAUAGCAGCUCUAUGGCUCUUGGAAUCCUACUUGUGGUGCUGAUUGUCCUUUUCCAGGUACUGUUUUAGUCAAAUACUUGUAUAUGAUUCUCUUGAUAAAGAUUUCAUUAUUAAAAGAAGUGAAAUGAAAUUAAUGCAUUAUGUUAGGAUGACCUAUUUUUCAAGGCUUUCUUGAAAGUUUUUCUAUUAAUCUAGUUGAUUGAUGUUCCAUAUUCUUAAGUACAUGUAAGCUGCAUGGAUGCAGGUUAAAUAGGCUUUGUUAUUAUGCUAGUUUCAAGUAGAGUACGCCAUGAAUCAAGUUUAAAGCUUGGCACCAUGAGGAUUCUUGCAGUUAUAUGCAAAGUGUUAAUGCUGACAUUUUUUAGCAAACCUAGAAACUUGAGUACACUACAUUAAGUAAGAUACUUAUGCCCUGUAAACUUGAUUUCGAUGGAGAUUCAACAUAGCACUAUAGUAAUUCAGUAGUCCCUCGAUCAACCAUGCCGUAGUAGUAUCUGAAGUUCUCUUGUACAAAUACUUGAAAGUCAGGUCCAUCUUGGUGAUUUAGACAUGAACAGCAAGCUUUUUAAGAUAAUACCUUAACGGUGUCUCUUAUUUUAUUGAACUUUGUAGCUCCUUGUAGCAUCAGGUUGUGUACAGAUGGACUAGCAUCUUGUGAGUCUUCAGUGUUUGAACCAUGUGAAGUUUUUUAGUGUAUCAGUGGGAGGGUCUGAUUGAUCAACCAACAACGAAGUUUGGUGUUUACUUUAGUACAUUUAAUUAAUACGGAAUAUUUUCUUGUAACUGGUACUGAUUUUGCUGGUUGGGGAAUCGUGAGCAUUUCUGACGAGGGAGUUAAUUUUUUAUUAUGUUCCUGUUUGUUUGUUUGUUCUCUACUCUUGUAGAUAACUAGUUACUGAUUUAAUUUGAUGUUACAGUAAUCAAAACUGUACACCCCCAAGUUCCAUAAUCUUUGCUCAGUGCACAUGAUGCCAAGUUAUCAGUGUGGCCCUGGCUACAAUUUAUGAUAAAGAACAGUCAUUCUCAAUCAUGUUUCUAUUUAUUUGCUGAUGGAUAAUUGGGUCCCUUAAUGUUUUGACCUUGUUCUUGUUAUAGGGGAUGAAACUGCUACCAAUGGGCAAGAAAGGUUUAUUUUACCUUACAAUUUACGGAUCUGUUGUAAGUUUUCUAUAUCGUCAGCAUUCUGCUAUAACAUUUUAUUACACCAUAAAUAUGCCUAUCUGAAUAUAUUCUCUCUAAUUCUUGAUAUAUGUUCAUUUCUUUUCCAAUAUUUAGUUGGGUGUUGGCUCCUACGCUGCACACUACUUCUCCUCAGUGGUUGCUUCUAUUCUGGAAAACUUUGGCUUGAGUGAGGAGAUGCACAAUCCUGUAAGUAAUUCAUCCAUCCAAGUAUCAACUAUAGAAUUGGUGAUCGAAUAAUACUUCUUUUUACCCAGCAAACAGCAUGAGAGGCUCUUACGGUAUAUUAUAUUAAUAGAAAUAGAAAAGGAUAAUCAUGGUAUGAUAUGUAAAGGCCACAUGGGCCAGAAGCCACAUGUUACAUCAAGAAUUAAUUAUCCCAAUGCCAUCACAGAAAUGCAUAAUUAUGAAAGCACCGUUGAGUGUGAGGAAGACAUUGUAUUGUCCUUGUCCAUAUUUGUGAUGGACUGACCUAGUUCCUAGGAUACGAUUUAGCCUAGUUUUUGUUCGCCCUUUUGCAUGGUACUAUAUCAUUUGCUAGCAAUCUUCUGACUUCUCAAUUAUUUUUCUUGUCAGAAAUGGUUCACAUUAUUUUGUCUUGUCUAGUAAUAAUACUCAUUUCCACUACUUUGGGUAAUCUUUAAGCUCUUCAAAUAACACAAUGUAUUGAAAUGAAUUAUAGGUGUCAAUCUUCCUGCUGGUAGCAGUUGUCUUGACUGGAGCUGGUUUUGGCUAUUGGAUGGUGAGGAGAUAUAUCAUUUCAAAAGAUGGCUGUGUUGAUGCCGGGAUAGCACAGUUUGUCAAGUGGGCUAUGCGUGUUGUUGGAAUGUUCUUUGUUAUGCAGGUGGUCUUCUUUUCAAAUGCUAAGUAUUCUUCUCAUGCAUCUAUGAGGACUCUGAAUCUCAGUCAGUGCCUACAUCAGAUUUUAUUCUCUUUGAAAUUCAUGUUUGACAUUAUCUUGUAGAGCACACUCGACCCUAUUCUAGCAUUCGCUGCUCUAGCUGCUACCUCGUGGGUUUGCUCUGUAUUGACAACAAAGAAAGUUCACAAGCCAACGGCACCGUGAGUGUCCCUUGAGUUAAUCACUGUUGUGAAUUUGCUGUUGCUAUUGAAGCCCUGAAUAUGCUGAUUCUGCUGCAGGAAGCGAAAACAAUCAAAUGUUUCUUCUCAUCCAAGGUUUACUCAAGUAUCACCGAACACUCGCCAGGUCCAGUUCUUAAGUCCAUCAUCAAGGGCGGGUACUGGAAGAGCCACAACAACACAGUAUGGUUGGAACUAUUUAGCCAAUGGAGGUAUAGUAACCACUAUCAUUGUCUGCAUACUACUGUGAGUCCAGUGUAACUGCCACAACUCGUAAGUCGUAAGUAACCUCAGCAUAUUUAAGGAUGCAAAUUGGUGGAUGCUCCCAUCGCAAAUAUAAAAUAAAAUUGGUGGAUGCUCGGGUGCCCUCUGCCCCCAGCUAGUUCAAUCAAAUGAAGCAUUUUAUUUUUUUGAAAAUACGUGUUUUGGGAAUUUUUACUUCAUUUGAUUGAACUAGUUAGUGUCGGAGGGUACCCAUUUGCAUCCCUGGGCCACAUAUUCUUGUGUUGCUCUCUGCUUGUCUUUGGUAAUUGGUACUAGGAACUAGUAAUGAUGUUUUAGGCAUAUUUAACUCCAGAAAACCUAUAAAACCCUCAACUCUGGCGCAUUGAAGCAUUUGACAUAAUAACUAGCCAACUGUUGUUGUUGUCUUUGCAGGUCUGGCCUCCUCAGCACUGGUAAAGAGGCUAGCACCCAAUCAAGACGAAGACUACUACUCCACCUUCCACAACAUCGAACCACGGAAGUACUCAAAGAGAGAAUGGGAGGAGUUCACCGAGGAAUCGACCAGAAACGCACUGAUGGAGCACACAGCCACCCCAGAGUUUGCCCAAUGGGCUGCUGACAACGCUCACCGGCUGCGGGUGGAGCGGGACGACUCGUCCGAGGACGAGUCGAUUGAGACCUCCUCAGGCUCUUCCGAAGAGGCCGAGAAAGGCGGAAAAGCUUCUAGUCUGUUGGGCAGGUUCAUGUGAUAUCGUCACCCGACUAAAGCUGCUUUUGCGGACGAUGUGUAUAAGGUAGGAUUGGGAACUUGGUAGCAGUAGCUAGUAGGAGGUGGAAGUUCAUCGUCUCCACGCGGUUCGCCAUUGCGGCAGAAUGCUUGGUGACUGUAGGCUGUUAGCUGGUUGGUUAACCACCGUCAUCCAUCUCAAUUCGACAACUGAUGUUAGGUUUAGCCGGCAGUCUGCCAUCCAUGGAUCUUUAAGUUUUAGCCGAUGCAUCAGGGGACAUGGGCCGGUGCCAUUCGAUGGAUUAGGGACCUUCGAUCCUGUCGGGAUCUUGCCAUUGUCUUGUUGAACAUCUCAUGUUUCAUUCUCAGGUGUGAGGGUAGCAUUUCAAGGAUCUUUAUCUGUUGUUAGCCAGGCAUGUAAACCAGAUUGUUUGGGCAUGUAGAUCAACUGGAGUUGGUUGCUGUAAACCGUUCGCUGGACCCACACACACACAAAAAAAACCGUUUUCUGGAAUUCAAGCUCGAGGCAUCCUGCAGAGAGGCGCACACGCUUUACCACUUGGGCUGAAGCAGUUUUUGUGGAAACAUGUACUGUGGAAAUUCUGAACAAUUUUGAAAUUCUUAAACAAAAAUUGAAAUUAUGAAUAUUUUUUUGAGAAUUUAAGCAAAAUUUUAAAUUAUGAACAUCUUUUAGAUUAUUUUUUUGGAAUUCCAAACAUUGUUUGAGAAUUUAAACGAAAUUCGAAUUUCUGAAUAUUUUUUGUGAAUUUAAAUACAUUUUAGAAUUCAAAACAUUUUUUAAGAAUUUAAACAAAAUUCUGAAUAUUUUUUGUGAAUUUAAAUACAUUUUGGAAUUCCAAACAUUUUAUUAGAUUUGCUUUGAAAGUUUGAACAUUUUCUGAGAAUUGAAAGAAAUUUUGAAAAUGUAAACAUUUUCUGAGGUUCGGGGCGAGCAUGGCUGGCCCAUGCACCCUAUCUGGGCAUGCUCUAUCCACUGGGAGGCCCUUUUGCAUGAGAUGUGCAUAGUCGAGGUGAAUCCAUACACCUUGCCAAACAAUAUAAAGCAGGUUCUGCGGAAAAAAAUUAAGCUCAUGUAUCCUCCAUGCAUCCUACCGAGCACACACGAAGUGUUCGCUCGAAGCUGCUCCCUUGACGAACGAAAUCAUUUGAUCGGGUCGGCAGAUGUUAGAGUCCUUUCAAAUUUGUAUUACUUACAAAAGGUAGCAAUGUUCUACUAUUCUCGUUCUUUACUUGUGUUUUUCGUCCUUGGCAAAAAAUAAAGAAAACAAUUCUCCAAAACAUGAUUUUCUUGUGCAGUGAAACAACUCAACAUAAAAAAUCAUAAAUUUAUUUUUCAGAUUCACAGGGGGACAUUGUUUUAAUCAUACCAUCUGGAAAUUUAUAAUUUGCAAAGCAAUGACAGUUUUAUAAAUUAGCAUGACCUUUUCUAUAUUUUUCAUAUCAUGGCAAUUAUACAUUCAUGUUUCCUCUGUUUUUCAUGAGAAAAAAAUGUUUUCUUCUCAUGGCAAUAAUUCAUUUUGUGCUUUCUUGUUUUUUUUAUAAGACAAUGUGUUUUUUGAUCACUGCAUUUGCAAAAACAGUAAACUCGGCCUCUGUAUCAAUAGGGUUCGCCUUGACCCACCCGCGACGAACAAUCGAGGGAGGCGAGACGUUCGCCGGGAGCUGCUCCCCCGGCGAACGAAAUCGUUCGAUCGGCCCUCUCCUCCGGCGACCGGUCGCCAGAUAAUAGAGUGCUUUUUUUCCCUAACAAUCCUAAAAAAAAGAUAUUAGAGUGUUUUAGAAAUUUUGUAGGCACUCCUACUCAUAAAAGGAAAUAAUGUACUACUCCUAUUACUAGUAUUGUACUAAUCCUGUAAUUGUAUUCCAUAAAAACAGAAUCCACGAGUAGUAUUGAGGAGGACGGCGGCGACUGAAUCUCAAUCCUUCUUUGACUCGCGAUAUUCCUCCUCCUCCUCCUCCUCACGAAACCAACACUUGCGUCGCUUUCUCGCCGCCCAAUCCCCGCGUAAACCGCCGGAACCCGAUGCCCUUAUCCGCCCUCUGAUCGAGACUCCUUGGCUCUCGGCGUCGGCAAUCCCACCCCCGAUGGCAUUGCAGAUUGGCGGCGGCGGCGGCGGGUUGCGGGGCCUGAUGCGGCGGAAGCCGGUCGACUCCGACAGGGCCCGCGCCGAGGGGCAGCAGCAGCAGCUCGCCAAGGAGCUCAACGUCCUCGAGCUGGUCGCGAUCGGUGCGGCGACGUCCUUCCCUUCCCUUCCCUCCGCCUUUUUCUGCCCUCUUCUUUUCUGCCCGUAGCGUAUAUCUGUAAUGGAAAAAAGCGAGCCCCUUUUUUUGUGGUUUGGGGACUGCAGGUUUCCUGGUGGAAACGCUCCUGUUUGUACUAAACCCACGGGUCUUGGAUCACCGGAGCCGCUAGAUUAAUUUGGAGGAUUUGCUUUAUUUUUCCAGAUUAUUCUGCUUAUAUGCGUUUCAAUACUUACUUUUGAGAGUUUAUUAUCGGGGUAAAUUGUUUCUACUUAGGACAGACCUUUUCUAAAUUCCUUUGCCAUGGUACUCUGUUCUCCUCUAUGUAAACAAAUUACAGUGAAUAAAAUAAAUCAGCUUUUACAUUAGUAUCUUAAAAAACUGGAUGCUUAUAUUAGCACUUCUAUUUUUGGUACUACGUAGUUGUUUUGUUUCAACCUGUUAACUGGUGCUGAAAUCAGUUCAAAUUCAGAAACAAAAGGGAGGUCCUUGUUGGUUUGGCCACUGGAAGGUGGUCAUCAUCAUACUGCAACCUUGAUUUUGUCGUCAUCUUGUGCAGUAUAUAUACUCAUUAGCUUAAAUCAUAGUUCCGCUCGUGCUGCGUGCUUGUAUGCUGCCUCCUUGCUUAAGCACAAUUGUGGUUGCACAACUAUUCUUAUAAUCUGCUGCAGAAAAGUAUAAUAAAAUAAAACAGCCAUGGAGUAUAAACAUUUUUGUUAGACAAAUAUCUGAUAGACAAAUGGCAUUGGCAAAUAUUUGAGAUUCUAGAUUUAAUGAAGUAUUUUUCCCUACUACAUGCAUUUCUUGUGUGAAUUUUUUAUAUAUAUUGAUUGAAGAUUGUUGAUGAACCCUUGCGUUAUUUACCAGGGGUUGGUUCGACAAUUGGAGCUGGAGUAUAUGUUCUUGUCGGAACAGUUGCCAGGGAGCAUGCUGGUCCAGCAUUGGCAGUUUCGUUCCUGAUAGCUGGAAUAGCUGCUGCACUUUCAGCAUUCUGUUAUGCCGAGCUUGCUAGCCGUUGCCCCUCUGCUGGAAGCGCCUAUCACUAUUCAUAUAUCUGCAUUGGCGAAGGGUAAAAAUUACUGGCCCCAUGGCAUAGAUUGCAUUCUAUACCAUGGUGAAUUCUGUUAUCAUGUUACAUUUAAUAAGAUCUUAUAAGGCCAGCAUGAUCUAACAUGGUUCACACGUUGUAUUUAUCUAGCGUUGCCUGGCUGAUUGGCUGGUCUUUAGUGCUGGAAUAUACUCUUGGCGGAUCUGCUGUUGCCCGUGGCAUAUCCCCCAAUUUAGUGAGUGUCAUCUCUCUUUCUUAGAGCUUUGUCCUGUGCAAGUUUGGUCAAUGCUUCAACUACCACUCUGCUAUAUUCCUUAUUCUGUGAACUUACAUUUCUCUUUUCAGGCCUUGUUUUUUGGAGGACCAGAUAGCUUGCCAUGGAUUUUAGCACGGCAUCAACUUCCAUGGUUUGACAUUAUUGUUGAUCCCUGUGCUGCUGCUCUUGUUCUUGCUGUCACUGCUUUAUUAUGCCUAGGGAUAAAAGAGGUUGGUAUUGCUCAGGUUAUGAGAUUGCUCGUUUCCCCAAAAUAUAGGACCGUCAAUGACUGUUGUAUUUGAAUUUCUUGCAGAGCUCGUUUGUACAAGGGAUUGUGACCAUUCUGAAUGCCUGUGUGAUGCUAUUUGUGAUAAUAGCAGGUUGUUAUAUUGGUUUCCAGAUUGGAUGGGAUGGCUAUAAGGUCACUGACGGGUAUGUACCCUAAAAGCUCGCACAUACUGCAGAGAGGUUGCUAGUGGAAAAAUUUCACGGAGCUAUACUUUUCAGGUAUUUUCCGUACGGAGUAAAUGGAGUGCUUGCUGGAUCAGCAACUGUUUUCUUUGCAUACAUCGGCUUUGACACAGUAGCCAGUACUGCUGAGGAGGUAAGGAGAAGGUCCUACUUAUUGACUUUGUCCACCUCCGCUGAGGAGAUAUUUGACUUUUGUUGUUUUUACUUCUACAGGUGAAGAACCCACAACGAGAUCUACCUCUGGGAAUAGGAGCAGCAUUGUCUAUUUGCUGUUUCUUGUACAUGAUGGUCGCUGUUGUUAUUGUUGGGAUUGUACCGUAUUUUGCUAUGGACCCAGAUACACCUAUUUCAUCCGCCUUUGCAAAACAUGGAAUGCAGUGGGCAAUGUAAGGACUCAAUUCCCUUUUUUUCUAUGCUGUUGGCUAUAAUGGUCAUCUAGCGUGUUUCUGACUGAAUUAUUCACUAUUUUAGGUAUGUUGUCACGAGUGGUGCUGUUCUUGCACUGUGUUCAACCUUGAUGGGCUCACUUCUUCCACAGGUAUACAAACACAUCACUUGGUGUGUGACUCAAACUAAUGAUAAUUAGCAGUCUUCUACCCUACAACAUUUAGUCUAUAUGGAAUUGCCGUACUUGGGGCAGCUACUAUUCCGCAGUACGCAAGCAAACAUAGCCUUGUAGCUAGCUGAAGCUGAGUGACUUUCAAAAUAGUUGCUAAAAUACUUGAGUUUUUCAUCCUCGCAGCCUAGAAUACUGAUGGCCAUGGCAAGAGAUGGACUGUUACCAUCUUUCUUCUCCGACGUGAACAAGCAGACACAAGUACCUGUCAAGGGCACAGUUGUGGCUGGUAUCUGUGCUGCUGCUCUAGCGUUUUUCAUGGAUGUUUCUCAGUUGGCAGGAAUGGUAAGAAAACAUCAAGCCGUUGUCAUUUGCAUAUUUUGAUCUGAUGGUCUUGUACAAAUAAAAAUAACAGUGCUGCAUAGAUUUAAGUAACAUGAAGAGAAAUUUAAACGCUUGAUGGUUUCAGGUCAGUGUGGGCACACUCCUCGCGUUCACCAUAGUGGCAGUAUCGAUCUUGAUACUCAGAUAUGUUCCUCCAGAGGAGGUCCCUCUAUCAUCAUCUCAGCGAGAGUCAAUGGGUUUGAACCAAGAAUAUGAUGAAGAAAAGGGCAGGGAUCCACUUGGAGAUGAGAUCCGCGACACAUCUCAAAUAAAGGAUUUGAUUGUGACAGAACCAAUGAAGGACCCUCUUCUCGAGAAGAAGCAAUACAAAGGUAAUGUGCACAUAGUUGCUUUCAGAUUUAAACUAGUCGUUCCAUUUUCCCCACAAGCAGUGCGUUUUUUAUAACGAAAGCUAACCAAGAUAAAUGGCCUUUCCUUAUAAUAUAUUAGGCACGAUGGAUGAGAUGAAGCGUCGAAAGAUAGCCGCUUUCAGCAUAGGGUCUGUUUGUCUAGGAGUUCUGGUCCUCACGGCUUCAGCUUCUGCCACAUGGCUACCUUUGUAAGUAUGCAUAUAGUUGGGAAAGAGAUAUUCAUAUGCCUCAUUGUUUUUUUUAAAGAAAAUGGAAGCUUUAUUACCCCCAGUCUCUAUAAUUGUGCAGUUUAUUACAAGUCACCAGAAAGUCUUGACAAAUAUAUGUUUGUCUCUUAUUGUCAGCCUACCGCUUUGCAUUGGUUGCAUUGUUGGCGGUGUGCUACUCAUACCUGGUCUUGUUGUACUCUGCUGGAUUGACCAAGAUGAUGGCAGGCACUCUUUUGGUCAUUCUGGAGGUACCUUAAACUGCUUGUCUUUUUUUUUUUCCCAGUUGAAGAGGAUGCGAGUUUCUUUAGGCUGAAAUCUGUCUUUGCUUGCAGGAUUCAUGUGCCCCUUUGUUCCGUUUCUACCUGUUGUGUGCAUCCUCAUAAAUACAUAUCUGUUGAUAAACCUGGGGUAAGUGCACAUAAUUAGAUGCUUACUUCGUUUCCUUUUUUUUCUGUCAAGUAUCCUGAAUAAUCAGUUUCAAUGUGUUUUUCAGCGGUGAUGCGUGGCUGAGAGUCGGGAUAUGGCUGCUGAUAGGUAUUCUCGUCUACAUUUUCUACGGGCGAACCCGCAGCUCGCUAGUCGACGUUGUGUACGCCCCUGUGGCUAAGGCCGAUGCACGCAGGAGUUCAUCUGGUUUCAUGUCCUAGAAAAGAACCGUCACACCGUGGAGCUGACAAAACCUCGCCGGCCCUCAGAUGCUCAUAGAUGUGCAGCCGGAUAUCAGCCAGCCCGGAAGGGCCUGUUGAAUUGUUGGAGCCUAGUCGACGACAGGGUCUGAUUGAUGCAGUUUUUUUGGGGACCGUGCAUGAGAAUGAUCAGCAUACAAAGUAGAGUUUGGAUUGGGUGGUGGCGUGUGUGAUUGUUUGUAAUUCAUUCAUGUAUAAGAGGUGAAAAAGCCCCUUGUACUGGAACGGGUGAAUACUGACUGAAAACAGGUGAUGGAUGGAAUCUUACAAAAUUUGCAACACAAACCAUUUCUUUCAGAGUUUCAAGUGUUAUACAGUUAUUACCAACAACAACAACAACAAAAAAUGUGCAUUUGCUGUUUUGUCUCUGUAUAAAUGUGAACCUUGAAACAAACACGGUGAAGCCGGAACAAAGCAGAAAUGUCUGGAGGUCUGGAUUUUGAAGCAUUGAUAGGUCACUGCUGCAACAAUUUGUGCUUUCUCUCAAAACAAAAACAAAACAAAAACAAAAAACGGAAGUAACUAGCUAGUAUUCCCUGUUGAAUGGAGGAAGGAUCCCUGUGAGGAAGGACUGGAGCAGGUGGCGAAGGUGAACCCUCGGGCGUACUGCUGGACAUAGCCCCCUACCUCGUGCCCGGCUGUCCACGGGCGCCACGGCUCCACGACGGAGAGGUUGAGGUCGCGGACCGUGUACCUCGUGCCGGUGAAGGGGCAAACGGAGUCGAAAUCCCCACUGAAAAUCAUUUCGUCAGUUUCAGCAUCAACCAAUAAGAACGACAUCUUUGUCAUGCAAGAAAGGAAAAGAACAGAAAAUGACGGCAUCUUUGUCCGAUGGUCUGCGAAAUCCUCGUGCCGGCGUACCUGAAGAGCCAUAUGGGCAGGCCGCGGUUGAUUAGCCGUUUCAAGGUUGGCACCAUGGUGUCCGGUGAGUCCUUGAAAUCCUCAAAGGAUCUGCACAGCACAGGGGCAAGUUGAGGAAUGAAAGAAAGAAGAAUGUACAGGCAAGUUGAAGUAGCAGGCUGAUCAAAGCUAAAAUCUUCAACACUGGCUAACCUGCAAUCGAGCCAUUUGGUUUCUCUGGCAUGGAGAGCCUUCUGAACUUGAGGGCUGUUGAGGUAGGCCUUGGUAGGCACAUAGCUGCACGGAUCAUACCCGGGCAACUGAAAAUGAUAAUGCGUGCGCGUGUCCAUAGGGGUGAUUGUAUGUAAGCAUCCACGAUUGUACCGCUUAAAAAGGAAGAAAACAAAUCGAUAAAACUUGCACGUUUUUUGGUUACGUACGUAAGUGCUGGAAUAGUAGGAGCCGUUGGCGUCGAUGAUGCAGGUGGGACCGUAUAUGUUGUCGUGAUCCAGGAUGCCGUCUUGGCAUUCGAUGACGGCAUGGUAGCACCUCACGUUGAUCGAGGAGCGAUCGAUGCUGCAGCUGCUGGCGAUGUCGGCCCAGACCUCGUCGGAGAUGGCACCGUGGCUCCACAGGUACUCGUAGUGCCCUAUGAGGUUCUUCAUCUUGUCGAGGUAAGGGUUGCCGACCAUGAUACCCUUGAGAUUAAUGGUGUUGUUGUUGUUGUUGUUGUUGUUGUUGCUUUUGUUGUUGUUGUUGUGUGCUAAGAUGGUGGCGGCGAGUUGGGGGAUGUAGUGGCCGGCGUAGCUCUCCCCGGUGAUGUACAAGGGGCGCGCCUUGUACUCGGGGAACCUGUCGAGCCAGUUGAGAAGGAAGAUGUAGGCGUCCUGGGCAGCCAUUGGAUCCCCCAUCCUAUCGUAAUCGGAGGAGGUGUUGGAGUAGGAGAAUCCCACACCGGCGGGUGAUUCCAGGAAGAUGACAUUGGCCACUGCAGAUCACAUCUUAUAUAUGUGAUGGAGGCAGAUCGAAUGACAUUCGAAUGACAUUAAUUUCAAAAGGCGGAACGGAAUGGAUGGUCAUUGAAAAUUACCCUUGUUCCAGGCAUGCUUGUUCACCGUGAGGGUUUUUCCAUCCCUGUUUGCACGGAACGGACCCAAUUCUCGCAUCGCUCCGUGGCCGAGCGAUGAGCAUCCAGGCCCUGCUCCACACCAAACCCUUGUGAUGUUGCAACUGUACAAUCACGGUGCAACACAAUUCAACAAUAGAUGUAGCAACCCUUUUUUUAGCAUCUUCCUUACCUCCGUUGAGCCACAGGAGGAGUGGCUUCGCCAUUGCAUCGUCGGGCGAUUCCACGAAGUAGUAGAAGAGAGCACGGCCGUUGUGGCUGUCGACGGUCACGUACCCGCCGUAUUGUCCGAAGUCGACGCCCUCCGGCUGCCCCGGCAGCGCCGUGAUCUUGUCGGACGCCUUUUGAGCGCCGGGGUCGGAGACCGGGUACUCAUCUGUUCGGAGGUCACUGAUGAUUUCGAGAAAUGGCUUGUCAUGUAAACUAGGAUCACUAGUGGUGGUGCUGCUCGUUGUUCUAGAUAAAAGGAAUUUUGUGAGAUGGGCCUCUUGAGAUGCACGGGCGUGCAAUGCCAAAGCGGGAAUAAAAAGCAAAACGUGCAAUGCAGCAGCAGCAAACUUCAUGACCAAUAUCUCGGAUCUCCCCAAUGAUCGUGUGUGAGUGAGAUCGAUGAUGGUGGAAGGUUUUUAUAGGCCAUGGAAGAGUGGAGGUUGUGAUAUAUUUUGCUGGAGCGUAUAUAUGUAUUUAUGACCAAUGCUCCAUAUCAUCUGCACAAUAUCAAAUCCAGAUCUACCAUGAUACUAUGUUUUAUAACUAUACAGAUUGGAUGGGAUUUUCUUUUGUCUCAUAUAUUUACCAGAGAUUUCAUGCUUUAAUUACACUAUACUAUGGGCGCCUCUACGCAUUGGCCGAUGGAUCUUUUUAAAAGAUCCACCGCCUAGCGAGCCGUCAGAUCUGGCGGAUGGAUCGGUUGAGAGUCAUCGUCUACCACUGCAAGACAUAUCGUGUUGCAGAAAAUUUCCACAACGCGGGUUAUGUUGCGGAAAAUUUUGCAACAUAGGUCAACUUAUAGAUUAUUUUUGCAACACACACACACAUAUAUAUCUUGUUUCAGUUUUUUUGCAACAUAGGUAUUGUUGCAUUUUUUUGGCAACGUAGAUUUUGUUAGAAUUUAAUUUGUUUUGUAAUAGAGAUCCUGUUACAUUUUUUUUNNNNNNNNNNGCAAGCAAUGAUCAUGUCGGCCGAAGGAAAGGACUAUGACCCCGGGACAACGGGGCAAAGAUGGACGCAACUCAUCGUGGUGGGCGCGGACGCCGAUGCGUCCACGGGGCGGCGGAUACAGCUUGACGCGGGCGCACCGUGAUAGCUGAGUUCAUGGUGACGGUGAGCGGCAGCGAUGGCACCCACGCCGGCGCGUACUGCCGGCGGCGAGCGUCGAUGGCGGAGGUCAAAGCAGCUCGAGGAGGCAUCGCCUCGAUGGGCAGCUCGGGAGGAGCACGGGUGGCCACUACUCUCAUGAGGAUCCAUAUCCAGAUCCCGCAAUACACCAGUUGUUGCAGUGAAGAAGAUUGCAACAAUGACUCGGUUGCUAAAUCUAAUGUACGCAAUAUGUUGCUCCUAGCCAUCUGACUAAAAUCAGAUCCAACACCAUGAAGACAACGCAAGCGCACGUCGUUAUCCGUCGGAUGAUCCUAAUCAUUUCCCUUAUACAAUCAAAAAACUAUAAAUACAUCAAGCUAGUGGUAUCAAACAUCUACUAUAAUUAAAAAAACCAAAUAUGCAUACUAUUAUAUUUUGUGCCAAUUCUGCACCAUACCUUCUCUUUCCUUCAAAUACGCAUGCAACCAAAAAUAUCAAACAAUGCAAGCGUGCCAACAUUGAGAUUUUUUUUUCUUUUGGAUUUUCAGUAGUUUUCUCAACGGUGUAUUGAUCGACGAUCAGUUUCAACAUUCAUUUUGUUAUGACUAAUCUAUAAAAUUAGAUCACACAUUGAUAUGUUUUAACUUUUACUAGUAAUUACCAUGCUAUAGCCGCUUGUUUACUAGGUUAUACCAUGUUAUAGUCACUAAUUGUUUACUAUGUUAUAAUAAGAGCACUAGCAACAGCUUUCAAAAAAAAAAAAACCUUCCCUGUAAGUGUUUAUUAGGGCUUUUCCAACAAAUGUAUUGGGUUUAACAGGAUAAUCAAACUUGUAGUCAGGGUACAUCUUCUUGAUGCAGAGACCGAAAGCGUAAUGUUAUUCAUUAGAUGAAAUAUGUGCUCUCACAAUUAUGAAACUCGGCUACAAGACAUGAGAUUAGAACAUCUCAAACGGAGAACAAAAACUACGCCUUCCCGUAAGGCGGUAGCAUCCCUUUUAGAAAAUAUCACUUAUGAAAUAUGCCACUAGAAUUUCGCAAUACACACACAAAUGCCACCGUGAUAUUAUACCGAACUAAAAAAAAAGUGAUGUACAACGGCAAGAAUGGAAAGUGUUGGAUCGGUGAGGGGAGCUAGCGGGAAGAGUGGGCACAAGCACAACAUGAUUUCGCUCUCACUAUUCUUCUUUAUCUGCUCCUGAUGUUUACUCUUUCUAUACCUUGUUGUCCCUACCUACAAAUAUUUACAUACAGAGAAAGUAUAAAGCAAAAUAAACUUGUAUAUAUGGUUUAACAUCAAGAUCAAAUGAAACAACAUACCUAUGAUACCUAGUUGUCCCUAACUAUAAGUAUUUAGAUACAAAGAAAGUAUAAAGCAAAAUAAACUUGUAUAUAUGGUUUAAUAUCAAGAUCAAAUGAAACAACAUACCUAUGAUACAAAAAAGACUAAAAAAAGUGCACCAGCAAUCUAUUCUACCACUAGAACCCGGGUCUGUACCGUGGCAGGGUACUAUUCUACCACUAGACCACUGGUGCCUCCAUGACAAACUUAUUUGAAAACUUUAUGAGAAAAUCGUAUAGCAAUCGGAAAACCAGGCAGUACGCAUGUCAGUUCAGUAAUGCUGAUCAACUAAUACACGUGCACAUACGACAUUGUAGGCCUAGGUACGUGUAGGAGACGGAGGGACGCCAACACCUGUCACAAAGAAAGUGGUGAACUGCAGAUUGAACGUCUAUUCUUGACAGGGCACAUGAACCAUUCCCAGCAUCAAUUACUGCCAGAGCUUUCCUAAUCUUAUUCAUGGACGAUUUGUUGAUCUAAGUUCACUAAAAAAAAANNNNNNNNNNAAAGGCCGAUAUCCGAUCGACAAAGGGCUUCGCCUAGUGUUACACUUCGCAAAGCCUACCCUACAUACAUACCCUUUUUCCGGGUCAUUAGAUAUAGGAUAUCACCCUAGCCUCUAUAGUCAUAUCGCGGCCAACGAGCUCCGCCUCUUGUGCUACGUCUUCUACUCUUCUUUGACGUGCCCACAACUAUGUUUUUCGUUGAGGUUUCUAUUUUCAAUCAUCAGGUUUGCCAAGUGUUUACCGGACAGUUUCUGUCGACUUUCAUCGCUGGCUUUCACACAAUGAGCCCGAGUGGAUCUUAGUGGCGUGGCGUGCAAGGAAAAGAAGUGUAUGUGCAAACAAGAUCAUGUUCGUCGUGUGUGCAACGAAGGCAUUGACACGAGGAGAAGAUAUUUCGAGAUUUGUUGUCACAGUUUCUAUGUGAUUGAGUAGGUAUAAAUGAAAAUUAACCAAUUUGUGUUUCUUGUAAUUAAUGCGCAUAAGUUAACGAAGUUGUUAAUCAAUUUUUUUAACACGGUACAACUAAAAUCAUACACAUACAUGAAUAUACACGUAUUUUUAUGAUUGUACGCACAUGCAUCCUACUUCUAUGAACACCUUCGAAAGACUGAACCGAUAUGACAUUUUAAGAUUUUACGAAGUCAUCUUCUAACCAUCCAAUCACAAAUCCUUAUCAGCUAGUAAUACAUGAUAGUUUUACUAAAAAAAAAACUAAUUCAUGGUAGUUUUAGGCACGUUUCCAACAAAAAGGAAAGGCAAAAGGUAGUUCAAUUCUAGGCACGCAUGGAAGUUUCAUACACUUGGCUACUGUUAUUAUAUUAAUAAAAAGAAAAUGAAGGAUUAUUGGCAUGAAAAUUCGGGUCCUGAUCGAUCCGAUCCGGUAAACAGGCUUGCAUCCACGCGCUCUUCUUCUUCUUCUUACGUUGGAUUCGAUCCGAUGGAGGGAUUCGCGCGUGCAACCAACAUGCAUGGCAUUGGCAUUGGCAUCGGCAUGCCGCGCGAUCUCCAAAUCCUGACAACCGUGCUGGCGCUGCUGAUCCUCUCGUUCACCGCCGCCGUGCCUCCGCCGGAGCCGGACCCAUGCGCCGGGCGGCGCAUCCACGUCCGUCGCCUCCCGGCGCGCUUCAACACGGACCUCCUCCGGCACUGCGACGGCGCCUUCCCGCUGGCCGACCACCCGUCCGCCACGCCGUCCUGCGCCUCGCUCGCCAACCACGGCCUCGGCCCGCGCACCCACAACCGCUCCCGGUCGUGGUACCGCACCGACGCGCGCCUCCUCGAGCCCUUGUUCCACCGCCGCCUCCUCGACCGCGGCGCCUGCCUCGCCGACGACCCCGCCCGCGCCGACGCCGUCUUCCUCCCCUACUACGCCUCCCUCGACGCGCUCCCCUUCCUCCUCGACCCCGCCAUGCUCAACUUGUCCGCCGCCCACGGCGCCCCGCUCGCCGACUUCCUCAAGCGCGACCGCCCGCGGAUCCUCGAGCGCCGGCACGGCCACGACCACUUCCUCGUGCUCGCCGGCCCGGCCUGGGACUACGCGCAGCCGCCGGACACCGACCCCAGGCUCUGGGGCACCACCUCGCUGCUCCGCCACCCCGAGUUUGACAACUUCACCUUCCUCACGCUCGAGUCCCGCGCGUGGCCGUGGCAGGAGCACGCCGUGCCGCACCCGACGUCCUUCCACCCGUCGUCGCUCCCGCGGCUCCGCGCGUGGCUCGCCCGCGCGCGCCGGUCGCGCCGCACGGCGCUCAUGCUCUACGCCGGCGCCGUGUCCAAGCCGUCGCGCCCCAACAUCCGGGGCUCCAUCCUGGCCGAGUGCGCCAACCGCACGGACAGGACGUGCACCGUCGUGGACUGCUCCGGCGGGUCCUGCGACCUCAACCCGGUGCGGUACAUGCGGGCCAUGCUGAAGGCGAGGUUCUGCCUGGAGCCGCCGGGGGACACGCCGACGCGGCGGUCGACGUUCGACGCGAUCGUGGCCGGGUGCGUGCCGGUAUUCUUCGAGAACGCGUCGGCGAGGACGCAGUACGGGUGGCACCUGCCGCCGGGGAGGUACGACGAGUUCUCGGUGACCAUACCCAAGGACGCGGUGGUGCUGGGGGGCGUGCAGAUCGCGGAGACCCUGGCGGCGGUGCCGGAGGAGGAGGUGACGAGGAUGCGGGAGCGACUGCUGGAGCUGGCGCCGAGGGUGGUGUACCGGCGGCACGGGAGCGCGGCGGAGGGGAUGGGCAUGGACGCCGCGGACAUCGCCGUUGAGGGCGCGCUGCGGAGGAUACGGAGGCGGGUGCGCGCUCUAGAGGAUGGACAGCCGGAGGCCAUGUACGCAAUGGACGACGACAACCAAGAGAUCUAAUUAUCCCUCUGUCUAUUAUGAAAGCGGAGGGAGUAGCCAAAGUGUAUUCCUGGAAGAAUCCGAUUCUAAUACUUCCUUCGAGUUCUUAAAUAUAAGUCUUUUUAAGAGAUUUCAUGGUUUACAUACGAAACAAAAUUAAUGAAUCUACAUUCUAAAAUAUGUCUAUAUACAUUUAUAUAUAGUCCAUUAGUGGAACCUAUAGAAAGAUUUAUAUUUAAAAACGGAAGGAGUAGUAAAUAAGGUUGUGAGUAUUGCUUGUUCUUGGUGGACUGGGAUCAACAAGUCGUUCAUGCAAAGUGCCUUUAUUUCUGAAAAACUAAUACUCCUCCGUUUCUAAAUACAAGUCUUUUGAAAGGUUUUAUUACUAGGUGACUAUAUAGAAAGCAGAAUGAGUGAAUCUAUAUCUUAAAGUAUGUCUAUAUACAUUUGUAUGUAGUCUUCCAAUGAAACCUCUGAAAAGAAUUAUAUUUAAGAACGGAGGAAGUAUGUGAUAAUGCUCUUAUUGCGUUUGACUGUAUGCAUUCGUUGAGUACUCUUAAGGGCAUCUCCAAUGGUCGUAUGAUCAUCAUUGGUAAAAUUGUCACGCGGAUGAUUUUGAUGACAUGGCGUAUAAUAAAAGAAGAGAGAGAAUGACAUCGUAUGAACUUGAAGCAACGGUUCACGCACAAGCUCCGAGGCUAUCAUGGUUAUUUCUUCAAUAUUUAGUGGACCCGCUCAGUUAUUUUACAUACAAUUAACAAACACUCCAUUGAAGAGCUUGUAUGAUGUGUUGUUGGUUAUUGACGUGGACACUUAUACCAACGAUUGAACAUACGGACUGUUGGAGAUGCUCUAAGGAUGGAUCGGGAGAACCUGUCAUCGCUCCCUACGAAGUAGAUGUGAUCCAAUCCGGAGUGUUUGGCGCGCCUACCGGUGGAGGUCCAGUGGCCUGCAGCGGUAGAGUAGACGUUGCACAUGACGACAUGAUUAUCACUAUGAAUGACGGCGCACGUCACCCUGCAGUUUGACAUGCUGAGGCCCGCACCGGUGCCUGUGUUCUCGUCAUCAAUGAAGAAGGCGCCUAGUAAAUCGCACCUCUUGAACCACACCGCAGGAGCGAUCACCUUGCUGAUCCGCGUCAGGGGGUCGCAGAUGAGGAGACCUUCGUCAAAAGACACGGAAGUGACGAGGAGGAGGAGGAGGAGGACGCCCCGGAUGUCGAGAAGCUCCCAGCGACGAUCCUUCCAUACCCCCCGGGGGAGGUAAUCGAGUGGCAUAUUCCAUCGCAGGGAGGAGGAGACGAAGACAGGGUUAGCGCGAGGUGGGCGCUGCUGCGGCUGGCGGGCGUAGAUGCGGUAGGUGUCGUGGGCGGAUAACGCGACGUGGAGUUUGUCACUUGGUGUUUCUUUCCCAGGGACUAGACUUUUUUUUACUCACAUGAGACUGAUACAUCUCUAACGUAUCUACUUUUCCAAACUCUUUUGCCCUUGUUUUGGACUAUAAUUUGCAUGACUUGAAUGGAACUAACCUGGACUGACGCUGUUUUCAGCAGAAUUGCCUUGGUGUUAUUUUUGUGCAGAAAUCAAAGUUCUCCAAACGUCCUGAAAAUUUACGGGGAGCAGUUUUGGAAAAUAUCAAAAAUAUCUGCGCCAAGUUCCACCUCAGGGGGUGGGCCAGUGGGCCACAAGCCCCUGCUCCGCCACCACCCCCUUGGUGGCGGUGGGCAGGCUUGUGGGGCCAACAGGCACCUACCGCCCCCAACUCCAGCUCUAUAAGUUGCCUUUCGUCCUAGAAAAAAUAAAAAGAGAAGUUUUCGUCGCGUUUUCGAUACGUAGGCACCGCCACCUCCUGUUCUUCAUCUGGAGGGCAGAUCUGGAGUCCGUCUUGGGCUCCGGAGAGGGGAACUCGUCGCCAUCGUCAUCAUCAGCCUUCUUCCCUCUCCAAUUCCAUGAAGCUCUUCGUCGUUCGUGAGUAAUCUAUUCGUAGGAUCGCUGGACGGUGAUGAGUAGGAUGAGAUCUAUCAUGUAAUCGAGUUAGUUUUGAUGGGGUUUGAUCCCUAGUAUCUACUAUGUUCUGAGAUUUGAUGUUGCUACUACUUUGCCAUGCUUAAUGCUUGUCACUAGGGCCCGAGUGCCAUGAUUUCAGAUCUGAAAUUAUUAUGUUGUCACCAAUAUAUGUGUGUUUUAGAUUCGAUCUUGCAAGUUGUAGUUACCUACUAUGUGUUAUGAUCCGGCAACCCCGGAGUGACGACAACCGAAACCACUCCCGGUGAUGAUCAUAGUUUGAGGAGUUCAUGUGUUCACCAAGUGCUAAUGCGUUGGUUCGGUUCUUUAUUAAAAGGAGAACCUUAAUAUCCCGUAGUUUCCUUUUGGACCCCGCUGUCACGGGAGGGAUGGACAAUAGAUGGCAUGCAAGUUCUUUUCCCUAAGCACGUAUGACGACACACGGAAUGCAUGCCUACAUCACAUUGACGAGCGGGAGCUAGCCACUUAUCUCUCCGUGUUAUAGAUGUUGCAUGAUGAAUAUCAUCCAAACAAAUCACCGACCCAUUGCCUACGAGUUUGUCCUACUAUUGCUACUGCUGUUACUUGUCUUGCUCUGCUGCUGCUGCUACUACUGUUGCUAUUGCUGUUACUUGUUUUGCUAUGCUGCUACUGUUGCUACCACUGUCGCUUGCUACUGUUGCUACUUGCUACCGCUGUCACUAUUGUUGUUCCUUGCCAUUGCUAUUGCUCGUUACACUGCUGCUACCUGCUAUACUGUUGAUUCGUCUGACCAUUGACGGGAAUUGACAACUUCCGUCAACGCGGCAACGGAAGCGCCAUUGAUACAAUCGUUACGAAUAGUCUGCCGUCAACAGAUCGUUUCUGACACCGUUGUUAUCAUAUUACUUUGCUGUUACUACUGUGCUUGCAGAUACUAAUCUUUCAGGUGUGGUUGAAUCUGACAAAUUCAGCUGCUAAUACUUGAGAGUAUACUCUCACCUCCUGACGGGCUUACCAACAAAUUGGGUCGAAUACUCUACCCUCGAAAACUGCUGCGAACCCACGCGCUGGUGGGCCAUCAACAACAUUCUUCCAGUUUCAUUGACGGGGAGUGCUAGCAGCAUUCUUCUGGUGCCGUUGCAGGAGAAGGUUCGUUGCCAUAAGCAUUCGUCUAGCUAACGCCAGAGAUUGCAGGAUCAGCCCUUUUCUGGAGCCAUUGCCAGGGAAGCAAAGCUGACGUCAGCAUUUUUCUGGCGCCGUUGCCGGGGAGGUAUUGCUAUAUUCUGUGAGUCACUUGGGAUUUAUAUCUGCUGAUCACUAUGAAGAAUCUGAAGGAUCCGAAGACCAAAGUCUUGCCCUCAACUACGAGGGGAGGUAAGGAAUUGCCAUCUAGCUCUGCACUUGAUUCACCUUCAGUUAUGAGUAAGUUUGCGACUUCACCUCCUGCUACAAAUCUUGAUAUGUCGCCUGUGCUUGAUGAUGCUUGUGAUACUAUGCCUGAUGAUACUAUGCUUGAUACUAUGCCUGAUACUGCUAGAGAUGCUAUGCCUGAUACUUCUAGAGAUGCUAUGCUUGAUACUGCUUUGCCUGAUGAUGCUAGAGAUGCUAUUUUGCCUGAUGAUGCUAUGCUUGAUACUGCUACAGAUGCUCCUUUGCCUGAUGUUCCACUAGGAGUGUUCCUUGAUGCUCAUAUUGCUAGAGUUACUGCCAAUGCUCGUGAUGCUUCUGAAAUUGCCGAUGCUAUUGAGAUAGAACCUUCUUUUGCUCCUGCUAGAUCUAGCUCUCCUAGAUAUGAAUUGCCUGAUAUACCUAAGGGUUACGUUAUGGAGGGAGAGAUAGCUGAGGAUUUUCCAGCGUGUAAGGAUGCCUAUGACGCUGAGAAAUUAAUUCUCAAGUGGAAGGAAAAAUCUCGGGAAGUUAGGAUGAAAAAUGAUCCGAAGUUUGCCACUUCGCCUAUCUUUGUCACCGAUAAGGAUUAUGAAUUCUGUGUCGACCCUGAGAUAAUCUCUCUAGUCGAAUCUAAUCAUUUUCACGGUUAUGAGUCUGAGACGGUCAUAGCCCAUCUUGCCAAACUAUCCGAAAUAGCCAACCUUUUCACUAAUGAGGAGAAGAUCCGCCACUACUAUAUCCUUAAGCUAUUUCCUUUCUCUCUAAAGGAUGAUGCUAAAGCCUGGUUCACCUCUCUUGCUCCUGGAUGUGUGCGUAGUCCCCAGGAGAUGGUCUAUUACUUCUGUGAGAAAUAUUUCCCUGCCCAUAAGAAGCAAGCUGCCUUGCAGGAAAUAUACAACUUUGCUCAACUCCAAGAAGAGAGUCUUCCACAAGCUUGGGGGAGGCUCGUCCAGCUACAGAAUGCUUUGCCUGAUCACCCUCUCAAGAAGAACAAGAUACUUGAUAUCCUCUAUAACGGACUUACCGAUGCCUCUAGAGACUACCUAGAUAGUUGUGCCAGUUGUGUUUUUAGGGAACGAACUGUAGAACAAGCUGAGACCGUGCUGAAUAACCUCUUGAUCAACGAUAAUGCUUGGACUAUUCCCGAACCACCUCCUAAGCCAACUCCUAAGAAAAGAGGUAUUAUAUUCCUCAGUCCCGAAGAUAUGCAAGAAGCCAAGAAAUCUAUGCAAGAGAAAGGCAUUAGAUCUGAAGAUGUCAAAAAUCUACCACCUAUCUAAGAGAUCCACGGUCUCGAUAACCCGAUACAGGUAGUAGAAGUGAAUUCUCUGCGUAGGUUUGACGAGAGUGAUAUUCCUUUUGAUAAACCUGCUAGCCUAUGCUUUGAUGAAUUUGACAACUUUGUUGCCAAAUAACAGAGUUUCAAUGAUUAUGUUAGCAAACAUUUGGAACAAAGUACUUGUAUGCUUCGCCAUUCAAGUGCUUGUGUAGACAGAAAUGUCAAUGCUCUCAAGCUUCUGAGUAAACAUGCCUCUAUGAUUAUUAAUCAGGUAGAACAAGUACUUAAAGCUCAGAAUGACCUGCUCAAUGAAUUAAAUGACAACUCUGUCAGAGUCAUUACUAGAGGAGGCAAAAUGACUCGGGAACCUUUGUAUCCUGAAGGUCAUCCUAAGAGAAUUGAUCAAGAUUCUCAAGGAAUCAAUGCUGAUACACCUAGUCAUCCUAAGGAGAAGGAGAAGGAUGAUAGAAACCUGCACGCCAGUUCACCAAAUACUAUCACACCUGAAGAACCUAAUGAUAUUUCUGCGUCUGAUGCAGAAACACAAUCAGGUGAUGAACAUGAACCUGGUGACAAUGUGGACAGUGAUGUUCAUAAUAAUGCUCAACCUAGCCAUGAUGAGGAUGUGGAGAUUGAACCUACGGUUAAUCCUGAUAAUCCACAACCUAAGAGAUACGACAAGAAUGACUUUACUUCUAGGAAGCAUGGUAAAGAAAGAGAGCCAUGGGUUCAGGGACCUAUGCCCUUUCUUCCUAAGCAAUCCAAGAAAAAGGAUGAUGAGGAUUUUGAGCGCUUCGUUGAGAUGAUAAGACCCGUCUUUCUGCAGAUGCGGUUAACUGAUAUGCUCAAGAUGUCUCCGUAUGCCGAGCACAUGGAAGAUAUUGUGACUAAUAAACGGAAGAUACCAGAUCUUGAGAUCUCCACCAUGCUUGCCAAUUACACUUUCAAGGGUGGAACUCCUAAGAAACUUGGUGAUCCCGGAGUGCCCGCUAUACCUUGCUCCAUUAAAGGAAACUACGUAAGAACUGCCUUAUGUGACCUUGGAGCCGGUGUUAGUGUUAUGCCGCUCUCUCUUUAUCGUAGACUUGAGUUGGAUAAGUUGACACCCACUGAAAUUUCUCUGCAAAUGGCCGACAAAUCAACUGCUUUCCCUAUCGGCGUUUGCGACGAUGUGUCUGUUGUGGUUGCUAACACCACUAUCUUAACAGACUUUGUUAUCUUGGAUAUUCCCGAGGACGAUGCCAUGGUUGUCAUCCUCGGAAGACCCUUUUUAAACACUGCAGGGGCUGUUAUAGAUUGCAACAAAGGCAAUGUCACUUUCCAUGUCAACGGUAAUGAGCACGCAGUGCACUUUCCGAAGAAACGAUAUCCAGUACAUUGCAUCAAUGUUAUUGAAAAGACUUCAUCGAUUCUUAUUGGGAGCUUUGAAUGCCCUAUUCCUCGUGUCAAGAUGAAGUAUGAUUUGCUUGUUGGGGAGAUACAUAUCCCCAUUGAGGUGACUUAGUGGCUAUUCGAAAAUUCUCCGUUCUCUCUUGCGAUUCGAGAAAAUUUUGUCAUAAGGACUUGAUCAACCCCAUUGACGGAUUUCUUUCGAUGACCAUGAGACGGAUGAAUCAAAGAGUCACAUACCUCUGUUUUGAAUCUUCAUUUUCUGUUGCUUAGAAGAAAAUGAUAAGAUUACUUUAUUUUUUCAUGUUUUCUGUUCUAGCGUCCCGGAGAAAAAUACCUCGAAAAUAAAAGUUCUUCGAUGGUCCUGAAAAAUUAGUAUGAUUUUUUCUGGAAUUUUUGAAAAUUUCUGGGCCUAAGAGCUGGUCAGGGGGGCUGACCAGUGGGCCACAAGCCCCCCCCCCCACCGCCACCUACCCCCUAGUGGCGGGGUGCAAGCUUGNNNNNNNNNNNNNNNNNNNNNNNNNNNNNNNNNNNNNNNNNNNNNNNNNNNNNNNNNNNNNNNNNNNNNNNNNNNNNNNNNNNNNNNNNNNNNNNNNNNNGCUAACCGUUAGCCAUAGUAGUAGUGAUAGUAGUAGUUGGCGUGACGACUUCACGGAGACACGAUGAUGGAGAUCAUGAUGAUGGAGAUCAUGGUGUCACGCCGGUGACGAUGAUGAUCAUGCGAUGCCUGAAGAUGGAGAUCGAAAGAGCAAAGAUGAUAAUGGCCAUAUCAUGUCACUAUAUGAUUGCAUUGUGAUGUUUAUCAUGUUUUACAUCUUAUUGCUUAAAACGACGGUAGCAUAAUAAGAUGAUCCCUCUUAAAAUUUCGAGAACGUAUUCCCCUAAGUGUGCACCGUUGCGAAGGUUCGUUGUCUCGAAGCACCACGUGAUGAUCGGGUGUGAUAGAUUCUAACGUUCGCAUACAACGGGUGUAAGUCAGAUUUACACACGCGAAACACUUAGGUUGACUCGACGAGCUUAGCAUGUACAGACAUGACCUCGAAUACAAGAGACCGAAAGGUCGAACAUGAGUCGUAUGGUUGAAUACGAUCAGCAUGAGUUGCUCACCAUGCUGACUAGUCCGUCUCACGUGAUGAUCGGACACGGGUUAGUCAACAUGGAUCAUGUAACACUUAGAUGACUAGAGGGAUGUCGAUUUAAGUGGGAGUUCAUACUUAAUUUGAUUAAAUGAACUUAAUUGUCAUGAACUUAGUCUAAAAGUUGUCUUUAUAAAUAUUAAAGAUGUCCAACGUCAACCUCAACUUCAACGCAUUCCUAGAGAAAAACAAGCUGAAAGAUGAUGGUAGCAACUAUGCGGACUGGGUUCGCAACGUGAAGCUCAUCCUUGAAGCAGCUAAAAAGGCUUAUGUCCUUAAUGCGCCGUUAGGUGACCCUNNNNNNNNNNNNNNNNNNNNNNNNNNNNNNNNNNNNNNNNNNNNNNNNNNNNNNNNNNNNNNNNNNNNNNNNNNNNNNNNNNNNNNNNNNNNNNNNNNNNGGGACACUUGUGAUCUAUUCAUUCACACAUGUAUUACUGUUUCCUGUUAAUACAAUUAUAGCAUGAACGAUAGACGAUUAUCAUGAACAAGGAAAUAUGAUAAUGACCAUUUUAUUAUUGCCUCUAGGGCAUAUUUCCAACACCAUGAUCAUCUAUUGACUAACGAGCUAGCCAACUAGAGGCUUGCUANNNNNNNNNNNNNNNNNNNNNNNNNNNNNNNNNNNNNNNNNNNNNNNNNNNNNNNNNNNNNNNNNNNNNNNNNNNNNNNNNNNNNNNNNNNNNNNNNNNNNNNNNNNNNNNNNNNNNNNNNNNNNNNNNNNNNNNGGUCUGCAAUAUUCAGAUCCGUGUGUACUUUACAAAUAUCUAUCACUCCACUCUAGACAUGGUCCUGGAUGGAGUUGUAGCGGCGCUUGAUGUGCUUCGUCUUCCGGUGAAACCUGGGCUCUUUGACUAUGGCAAUGGCUCCAGUGUUAUCACAGAAGAGUGUCAUAGGACCCGACGCGCUUGGAACCACUCCAAGGUCGGUGAUGAGCUCCUUCAUCCAAAUUCCUUCAUGAGCCGCUUCUGAAGCAGCUAUGUACUCCGCUUCACAUGUAGAUGUUGCCACGACUUCUUGUUUGCUGCUACACCAGCUCACUGCCCCACCAUUCAACACAUAUACGUAUCCGGUUUGUGACUUAGAUUCAUCCGGAUCUGUGUCGAAGCUAGCCUCGACGUAACCCUUUACGACGAGCUCUUCGUCACCUCCAUAAACGAGAAACAUUUCCUUAGUCUUUUUCAGGUACUUCAGGAUAUUCUUGACCGAUGUCCAGUGUUCCGCACCGGGAUUACUUUGGUACCUCCCUACCAAGCUUAUCGCAAGGUUUAUAUCAGGUCUGGUACACAGCAUGGCAUACAUUAGAGAGCCCACGGCUGAAGCGUAGGGGAAAUAACUCAUCUUCUCUCUAUCUGCUGCCGUGGUCGGCGACUGAGUCUUANNNNNNNNNNUCAAUCUCAUACCUUGCAAAACUGGCAAGAACCCUUUCUUUGAGUUUUCCAUAUUGAACUUCUUCAAUAUCUUGUCAAGGUAUGUACUUUGCGAAAGACCUAUGAGGCGUCUCGAUCUAUCUCUAUAGAUCUUGAUGCCUAAUAUGUAUGCAACUUCUCCAAGGUCCUUCAUUGAAAAACUCUUCUUCAAAUAGGCCUUUAUGCUCUCCAACAUCUCUAUAUCAUUCCCCAUCAAUAAUAUGCCAUCCACAUAUAGUACGAGGAAAGCUACAGAGCUCCCACUCACUUUCUUGUACAGACAGGCUUCUUCGUAAACCUAUAUCAUUCCCCAUCAAUAUAUGGAUUCAGUGUGUAUUUUAAAACUUUUGCUAAGAGUGAAAUAAUUAUGUGCGUAAUAUUUUUGUUUAUGUGAUAAUUUGUCAACACCGUAGAUAUAUGACUCAUGAUAUGUAUAUGCAUGCAUUAUGUAUUUUAAAAAAAUUGCUAGCAGGAAAAAGAUUAUGUGUGUAGUAUUUUUGUUUAUAUGAUAAUAGGUCGAAUUCGCUGAUAUUAUACUGGUGAUAUUUUGUAUUCGGAAGGAUAUCAUUAUUAAACCAGAGGUAUGAAUGAUAUAUUGUAAUUUAUCUUGUAUUUAUUUUGUAGAUUUAGUGUCGCGACAAAUGGUAUAAUAUAAAUUAUUAUGCGUAGAUGUACAGUCGUCUGUGAGUAUUUGUUAAAUUGUUAUAUGUAAAAAAAGAUAAGUAAUAGAUGUUAUUACAAUAUAAAUAUAAUAAUAUGAUGAUACAAUAUAAAUUAUUAUGCGUAGAUGUACAGUCAUUUGUGAAUAUUUGUUAAAUUGUUAUAUGUAAAAGAAGAUGAGUAAUGUAUGUCAUUACAAUAUAAAUAUAAUAAUAUGAUUUUUAAUGGACCGAGGAUGUAAAUAUGACUGCUCGUUAGGUACUAUGAAAAUUUUGUUAGUGCUUUAUGGGCACAUCGUACGUGAGGGUCCUUCUGGUGUGGAUGUGUCUAUGUGAGGGAUGAGUAAGGUUGUAGUAAGACACAUGGUUAAUGUAGAGUAUGGGACAGUUAGAAGGUGCAUCCGAGCGGUGUUUGGUUCAACGAUGAAUGGGAAAAAAUGACCAUGGAGGCUUUCGUGGUUGAGGGAGGAAAUCGUUGGGUUCUGCGGCGGGUUACUGGUGAAAGAGCAUGGGCGUCGUACAUGGUUUUUGCAAGCAAUCCCAAUAACUCCAUGUAUGGACAACCCAUGAUUUAUGUGGAGUUCAUUUCUGCCAGUGAUGUCGCCGAGUGCAGUAGCGGUGCCGAUGAGGCCGAGUUGGCCAUAACUGUAGCCCCCGACGCCGGCCCAUCGGAACCAACGGGUGGCCAACAAGUGGCCAUAAUUGUAGCCCCGACGCAAGUGGCCAUAAUUGUAGCCCCCGACGUCGGCCCAUCAGAACCAACAGGUGGCCAACAAGUGUAUGACACAGGAUAUUGGUCUGCGGUCGUUGACAUGAGCGAACAUGUCGAGGGAUUGCCGGAGGCGCUAGAUGAUGACGAUGAUGGUCAUUCUUCUGCCUCUUCGAAAUCAAAUGAUGAUGAAGUUGUUCCUCCUGAGAAGGCGGUUGCUGCACCAAUCAAUCCAGAGUUUUUACAGGUUAUGAGCAUCAUCAAUGAAUUUCACUCUGUUGCUGGCUUAGAAGCGGGAAGUCUGGCCGUUGGGCAGAUUUUUUCAGAUAAGAAAUCUGCUAAACAAGCAAUACAUUGCUAUGCAAUUGACAUACACAUGCAACAUAGAGUGAAUCAGUCUAAUAAAAAGAAGUUGAAGCUCAUAUGCAUCCAUCGCGAAGCGGGUUGCCGCAUAAUAGACAUUGCUCGCCAGAAGCCUGGGGUAUGUGAGCCAUGGCAUAUUACAAAAAUAGAGCAACAUGGCUAUGAGCAAACCGGCACUCUUUCAAAGCACCGCAAUGAGACUGCAAUAUAUGUGUAACAGGUCAUAAAGAUACACGUAGGUGAAAUUAAGAUACACAUUGCGGAAAUGAAGAUACAACUUGCAGAAAAAAGAUACACAUUGCUGAAAAUAAGAUACAACUUGCCGAAAUUAAGAUAUAACUUGCAGAAAUUAAGAUAUAACUGACAGAAAUUAAGAAAGAAUAAAAUAAAUCUACUGAGUCCAACGUGGAUAUUUUCCUUUUCCACCACCAGCUUCUUCUGCUGCCUUGGCCGCACGAGCCCUUUCUUUCUUUCUCUCCUUCUCAGCAUCACGGGGCUCCUGCCGCUGUGUGUAAACCUCCGCCNNNNNNNNNNNNNNNNNNNNNNNNNNNNNNNNNNNNNNNNNNNNNNNNNNNNNNNNNNNNNNNNNNNNNNNNNNNNNNNNNNNNNNNNNNNNNNNNNNNNAGGAUCAAGAAACCCGAGAUCAUCGUCGAGCUGUACGUGUGCUGAACGCGGAGGUGCCGUCCGUUCAGUACUAGAUCGUGGGACUGAUCGCGGGAUUGUUCGCGGGGCGGAUCGAGGGACGUGAGGACGUUCCACUACAUCAACCGCGUUCUCUAACGCUUCUGCUGUACGAUCUACAAGGGUACGUAGAUCACUCAUCCCCUCUCGUAGAUGGACAUCACCAUGAUAGGUCUUCGUGCGCGUAGGAAAAUUUUUAUUUCCCUUGCGACGUUCCCCAAAAGUGGCAUCAUGAGCUAGGUUCAUGCGUAGAUGUCUUAUCGAGUAGAACACAAAAGUUUUUGUGGGCGGUGAUGUGCGUUUUGCUGCCCUCCUUAGUCUUUUCUUGAUUCCGCGGUAUUGUUGGAUUGAGGCGGCUUGGACCGACAUUACUCGUACGCUUACGAGAGACUGGUUUCAUCGUUACGAGUAACCCCCUUUGCUCAAAGAUGACUGGCAAGUGACGGUUUCUCCAACUUUAGCUGAAUCAGAUUUGACCGAGGAGGUCCUUGGAUGAGAUUAAAUAGCAACUCAUAUAUCUCUGUUGUGGUGUUUGCGUAAGUAAGAUGCGAUCCAACUAGAUACCCCGGUCACCACGUAAAACAUGCAACAACAAAAUUAGAGAACGUCUAACUUGUUUUUGCAGGGUAUUCUUGUGAUGUGAUAUGGCCAACGAUGUGAUGUGAUAUAUUGGAUGUAUGAGAUGAUCAUGUUGUAAUAGAAAUAUCGACUUGCACGUCGAUGGUACGGCAACCGGCAGGAGCCAUAGGGUUGUCUUUAUACUAACGUUUGUGCUUGCAGAUGCGUUUACUAUUUUGCUAGGAUGUAGCUUUAGUAAUAGCAUGAGUAGCACGACAACCCCGAUGGCAACACGUUGAUGGAUGAUCAUGGUGUGGCGCCGGUGACAAGAAGAUCGUGUCGGUGCUUUGGUGAUGGAGAUCAAGAAGCACGUGAUGAUGGCCAUACCAUGUCACUUAUGAAUUGCAUGUGAUGUUAAUCCUUUUAUGCACCUUAUUUUGCUUAGAACGACGGUAGCAUUAUGAGGCGAUCUCUCACUAAAAUUUCAAGACGAAAUUGUGUUCUCCCCGACUGUGCACCGUUGCUACAGUUCGUCGUUUCGAGACACCACGUGAUGAUCGGGUGUGAUAGACUCAACGUUCACAUACAACGGGUGCAAAACAGUUGCGCACGCGGAACACUCGGGUUAAGCUUGACGAGCCUAGCAUGUGCAGACAUGGCCUCGGAACACAUGAGACCGAAAGGUCGAUCAUGAAUCAUAUAGUUGAUAUGAUUAGCAUAGGGAUGCUUACCACUGAAACUAUACUCAACUCACGUGAUGAUCGGACUUGGGAUAGUGUAAGUGGAUCAUGAACCACUCAAAUGACUGGAGAGAUGUACUUUUUGAGUGGGAGUUUGGCAUAUAAUUUGAUUAAGUUGAACUCUAAUUAUCUUGAACAUAGUCUAAGUCCACUUUGAAUAUAUUUGUGUUGUAGAUCAUGGCUCACGCGACAGUCAUCCUGAAUUUUAAUACGUUCCUAGAGAAAGCUAAGUUGAAAGAUGAUGGAAGCAACUUUGUAGACUAGGCUCGUAAUCUUAAGCUAAUCUUACAAGCUGGGAAGAAGGAUUAUGUCCUUAAUGCUGCGCUAGGAGAUGAACCACCCGCUACGGCUGAUCAGGAUGUUAAGAACGCUUGGUUAGCACGUAAGGAGGACUACUCAAUAGUUCAAUGUGCAGUCUUGUAUGGCUUAGAACCGGGACUUCAACGUCGCUUUGAGCGUCAUGGAGCAUUUGAGAUGUUCCAGGAGUUGAAGUUUAUCUUUCAGAAGAACGCCCGGAUCGAGAGGUAUGAGACCUCCGAUAAAUUCUAUGCUUGCAAGAUGGAGGAAAACUCGUCUGUCAGUGAACAUGUGCUCAAAAUGUCUGGGUACUCAAACCGUCUAUCUGAGCUAGGGAUUGAACUCCCGCAAGAAGCUAUCACUAACAGAAUCCUUCAAUCACUGCCGCCAAGCUACAAAGGCUUUGUGUUGAACUACAACAUGCAAGGGACGAACAAGUCUCCCGGCGAGUUGUUUGCGAUGCUGAAAGUCGCAGAGUCUGAACUCCGUAAAGAGCAUCAAGUGUUGAUGGUGAAUAAGACCACUAGUUUCAAGAGAAACGGCAAAGGCAAGAAGGGAAAUUCGAAGAAGAGCGGCAAGCAUGUUGCCAAUCAGCCGAAGAAACCCAAAGCUGGACCUAAGCCUGAAACGGAGUGCUACUAUUGCAAGGGUAUGGGUCACUGGAAGCGCAAUUGCCCCAAGUAUCUGGCAGAUAAGAAGGCGGGCAAAGAAAAAUCAGGUAUAUUUGAUAUACAUGUUAUUGAUGUGUACUUAACCGGCUCCCGUAGUAGUGCCUGGGUAUUUGAUACCGGUUCUGUUGCUCAUAUUUGCAACUCGAAACAGGAACUGCGGAAUAGACGAAGGCUGGCGAAAGAUGAAGUGACGAUGCGCGUAGGAAAUAGUUCCAAGGUUGAUGCAAUCGCCGUCGGCACAGUGUCACUUCAGCUACCGUCGGGAUUAGUGAUGAACUUAAAUCGUUGUUAUUUAGUGCCUGCGUUGAGCAUGAACAUUAUAUCUGGAUCUUGUUUAUUGCGAGACGGUUACUCUUUUAAGUCAGAGAAUAAUGGUUGUUCUGUUUCUAUGAGUAACAUCUUUUAUGGUCAUGCACCGAAUGUGAGAGGAUUGUUCAUAUUGAAUCUUGAUAGCGAUACGCAUGUACAUAACAUUGAGACCAAAAGAGUUAGAGUAAACAAUGAUAGUGCCAUAUUUUUGUGGCACUGCCGCUUAGGUCAUAUUGGUAUAAAACGCAUGAAGAAACUCCAUGCUGAUGGACUUUUGGAGUCACUUGAUUUUGAUUCACUUGACACGUGCGAACCAUGCCUCAUGGGCAAGAUGACUAAGACUCCGUUCUCCGGAACAAUGGAGCGUGCAAGUGACUUAUUGGAAAUCAUACAUACCGAUGUGUGUGGUCCAAUGAGCGUGGAGGCACGCGGCGGAUAUCGUUAUUUUCUCACCUUCACUGACGAUUUGAGUAGGUAUGGUUAUGUCUACUUGAUGAAGCACAAGUCUGAAACAUUUGAAAAGUUCAAGCAAUUUCAGAGUGAAGUGGAAAAUCAUCGUAACAAGAAGAUCAAGUUCCUACGGUCUGAUCGUGGGGGUGAAUAUCUGAGUUUCGAGUUUGGUGAUCACUUAAGAAAAUGUGGAAUUGUUUCACAGUUGACACCGCCUGGAACACCACAGCGUAAUGGUGUGUCCGAACGUCGUAAUCGUACUUUGUUAGAGAUGGUGCGAUCUAUGAUGUCUCUUACUGAUUUGCCAUUAUCAUUUUGGGGUUAUGCAUUAGAAACAGCUGCAUUCACUUUAAAUAGGGCACCAUCAAAAUCCGUUGAGACGACACCAUACGAACUGUGGUAUGGCAAAAGGCCAAAGUUGUCGUUUCUUAAAGUUUGGGGAUGUGAUGCUUAUGUCAAAAAGCUUCAGCCUGAAAAGCUGGAACCCAAAGCGGAAAAAUGCGUCUUCAUAGGUUACCCAAAAGAGACAGUUGGGUACACCUUCUAUCUCAAAUCCGAGGGCAAAAUGUUUGUUGCUAAGAACGGAGCUUUUCUUGAGAAGGAGUUUCUCUCGAGAGAAUUGAGUGGGAGGAAGAUAGAACUUGACGAGGUUGUCGAACCUCUCAUCCCUCUGGAUGGUGGCGCAGGGCAAGGGGAAACCUCUGUCGUUGCGACGCCGGUUGAGGAGGAAGUUAAUGAUGAUGAUCAUGAAACUCCAGUUCAAGUUUCUGUUGAACCACGCAGGUCGACGAGAUCACGUGCUACUCCAGAGUGGUACGGUAAUCCCGUCUUAUCAAUUAUGUUGUUAGACAACAAUGAACCUGCAAAUUAUGAAGAAGCAAUGGUGGGCCCAGAUUCCAACAAAUGGCUAGAAGCCAUGAAAUCCGAGAUAGGAUCCAUGUAUGAGAACAAAGUGUGGACUUUGGAGAUACUACCUGAGGGCCGCAAGGCUAUUCAGAACAAAUGGAUCUUUAAGAAGAAGACGGACGCUGACGGUAAUGUGACUGUUUAUAAAGCACGACUUGUGGCAAAGGGUUUUUCACAAGUUCCAGGAGUUGACUACGAUGAGACUUUCUCACCCGUAGCGAUGCUUAAGUCCGUCAGAAUCAUGUUAGCAAUAGCUGCAUUUUUCGAUUAUGAAAUCUGGCAGAUGGAUGUCAAAACGGCGUUCCUUAACGGUUUCCUUAAGGAAGAGUUGUAUAUGAUGCAACCCGAAGGUUUUGUCGAUCCUAAGAAUGCUGACAAGGUGUGCAAGCUCCAGCGAUCCAUUUAUGGACUGGUGCAAGCAUCUCGGAGUUGGAACAAACGCUUUGAUGAGGUGAUCAAAGCAUUUGGGUUUAUACAAGUGGUUGGAGAAUCUUGUAUUUACAAGAAAGUGAGUGGGAGCUCUGUGGCGUUUCUAAUAUUAUAUGUGGAUGACAUAUUACUGAUUGGAAACAACGUAGAGCUUUUGGAGAGCAUAAAAGGUUACUUGAAUAAAAGUUUCUCUAUGAAGGACCUAGGAGAAGCUGCUUACAUUCUAGGCAUUAAGAUCUAUAGGGAUAGAUCAAAACGCCUGAUAUGACUUUCACAAAGCACAUACCUUGAUAAAGUUUUGAAGAGGUUCAAAAUGGAACAGUCCAAGAAAGGGUUCUUGCCAGUUUUACAAGGUACGAGAUUGAGUAAGACUCAGUGCCCAGCAACUGAUGAAGAUAGAGAGCAUAUGCGCUCCGUCCCCUAUGCUUCAGCCAUAGGUUCUAUCAUGUAUGCAAUGCUGUGCACUAGACCGGAUGUUAGCCUGGCCAUAAGUAUGGCAGGUAGGUUCCAGAGUAAUCCAGGAGUGGAUCACUAGACAGCGGUCAAGAAUAUCCUGAAGUACCUGAAAAGGACUAAGGAGAUGUUUCUCGUAUAUGGAGGUGACGAAGAGCUCGCCGUAAAAGGUUACGUCGAUGCAAGCUUUGACACAGAUCCGGACGACUCUAAGUCGCAAACCGGAUACGUAUUUAUUCUUAAUGGGGGUGCAGUAAGCUGGUGCAGUUCCAAGCAAAGCGUCGUAGCAGAUUCUACAUGUGAAGCGGAGUACAUGGCUGCCUCGGAGGCGGCUAAGGAGGGUGUAUGGAUGAAGCAGUUCAUGACGGAUCUUGGAGUGGUGCCAAGCGCACUGGAUCCAAUAACCUUGUUCUGUGACAACACGGGUGCCAUUGCCUUAGCAAAGGAACCACGGUUUCACAAGAAGACCAGACACAUCAAACGACGCUUCAACCUCAUCCGCGACUACGUCGAGGAAGAGGACGUAAAUAUAUGGAAAGUGCACACGGGUCUGAAUGUAGCAGACCCGCUGACUAAACCUCUUCCACGGCCAAAACAUGAUCGACACCAGAACUGUAUGGGUGUUAGAUUUAUUACAAUGUAAUUCACAUGGUGAUGUGAGGGCUAGAUUAUUGACUCUAGUGCAAGUGGGAGACUGUUGGAAUUAUGCCCUAGAGGCAAUAAUAAAUAUAGUUAUUAUUAUAAUUCCUGUAUCAAGAUAAUAGUUUAUUAUCCAUGCUAUAAUUGUAUUGAAUGAAGACUCAUUUACAUGUGUGGAUACAUAGACAAAAACACCGUCCCUAGCAUGCCUCUAGUUGGCUAGCCAAUUGAUCGAUGAUAGUCAGUGUCUUCUGAUUAUGAACAAGGUGUUGUUGCUUGAUAACUGGAUCACGUCAUUAGGAGAAUCACGUGAUGGACUAGACCCAAACUAAUAGACAUAGCAUGUUGAUCGUGUCAUUUUGUUGCUACUGUUUUCUGCGUGUCAAGUAUUUAUUCCUAUGACCAUGACAUCAUAUAACUCACUAACACCGGAGGAAUGCUUUGUGUGUAUCAAACGUCGCAACGUAACUGGGUGACUAUAAAGAUGCUCUACAGGUAUCUCCGAAGGUGUUAGUUGAGUUAGUAUGGAUCAAGAUUGGGAUUUGUCACUCCGUGUGACGGAGAGGUAUCUCGGGGCCCACUCGGUAAUACAACAUCACACACAAGCCUUGCAAGCAAUGUAACUUAGUGUAAGUUGCGGGAUCUUGUAUUACGGAACGAGUAAAGAGACUUGCCGGUAAACUAGAUUGAAAUAGGUAUGCGGAUACUGAUGAUCGAAUCUCGGGCAAGUAACAUACCGAAGGACAAAGGGAAUGACAUACGGGAUUAUACGAAUCCUUGGCACUGAGGUUCAAACGAUAAGAUCUUCAUAGAAUAUGUAGGAUCCAAUAUGGGCAUCCAGGUCCCGCUAUUGGAUAUUGACCGAGUAGUCUCUCGGGUCAUGUCUACAUAGUUCUCGAACCCGCAGGGUCUGCACACUUAAGGUUCGACGUUGUUUUAUGCGUAUUUCAGUUAUAUGGUUGGUUACCGAAUGUUGUUCGGAGUCCCGGAUGAGAUCACGGACGUCACGAGGGUUUCCGGAAUGGUCCGGAAACGAAGAUUGAUAUAUAGGAUGACCUCAUUUGAUUACCGGAAGGUUUUCGGAGUUACCGGGAAUGUACCGGGAAUGACGAAUGGGUUCCGGGAGUUCACCGGGGGGGGCAACCCACCCCGGGGAAGCCCAUAGGCCUUGGGGGAGACACACCAGCCCUUAGUGGGCUGGUGGGACAGCCCACAAGUACUCUAUGCGCCAAGAGAAGAAAAAUCAAGAGGAAAAGAAAAAAAAGGGAGGAGGUGGGAAGGGAGGAGGACUCCCUCCCACCAAACCUAGUCCAACUCGGUUUGGGGGGGGAGAGUCCUCCCCCUUGGCUUGGCCGACCCCCUUGAGGGUCCUUGGACCCCAAGGCAAGGCCCCCUCCCUCCCACCUAUAUAUACGGAGGUUUUAGGGCUGAUUUGAGACGACUUUUCCACGGCAGCCCGACCACAUACCUCCACGGUUUUAACUCUAGAUCGCGUUUCUGCGGAGCUCGGGCGGAGCCCUGCUGAGACAAGAUCAUCACCAACCUCCGGAGCGCCGUCACGCUGCCGGAGAACUCUUCUACCUCUCCGUCUCUCUUGCUGGAUCAAGAAGGCCGAGAUCAUCGUCGAGUUGUACGUGUGCUGAACGCGGAGGUGUCGUCCGUUCGGUACUAGAUCGUGGGACUGAUCGCGGGAUUGUUCGCGGGGCGGAUCGAGGGACGUGAGGAUGUUCCACUACAUCAACCGCGUUCUCUAACGCUUCUGCUGUACGAUCUACAAGGGUACGUAGAUCNNNNNNNNNNNNNNNNNNNNNNNNNNNNNNNNNNNNNNNNNNNNNNNNNNNNNNNNNNNNNNNNNNNNNNNNNNNNNNNNNNNNNNNNNNNNNNNNNNNNNNNNNNNNNNNNNNNNNNNNNNNNNNNNNNNNNNNNNNNNNNNNNNNNNNNNNNNNNNNNNNNNNNNNNNNNNNNNNNNNNNNNNNNNNNNNNNNNNNNNNNNNNNNNNNNNNNNNNNNNNNNNNNNNNNNNNNNNNNNNNNNNNNNNNNNNNNNNNNNNNNNNNNNNNNNNNNNNNNNNNNNNNNNNNNNNNNNNNNNNNNNNNNNNNNNNNNNNNGCGCGUAGGAAAAUUUUUGUUUCCCUUGCAACGUUCCCCAAAAGUCUUAUCAUAGUCAAGUGUUUGAUCUUGUCGGAAACAUCUUUGCGACAAGUCGAGCUUUUCUUAAUAGAGACUUAUCACCAUCAUCGUCUGUCUUCCUUUUAAAGAUCCAUCUUUACUCAAUAGUCCUAUGACCAUCAAGUAGUUCUUCCAAAGUCUACACUUUGUUUUCAUACAUUGAUCCUCUCUCGGAUUUCAUGGCUUCCAGCCAUUUGUCGGAAUCCAGGCCCACCAUUGCUUUCUCCAUAACUCGUAGGUUCACUGUUGCUCAACAACAUGACCUCCAAGACAGGGUUACCGUACCACUCUGCAGUAGUACGCGACCUUGUCAACCUACGAGGCUUGUAGUAACUUGAUCCGAUGCUCGAUGAUCACCAUCAUCAGCUUUCACUUCAAUUGGUGUAGGCGCCACAGGAACAACUUCCUGCGCCCUGCUACACACUGGUUGAAGUGAUGGUUCAAUAACCUCAUCAAGUUCUACCACCCUCCCACUCAAUUCUUUCGAGAGAAACCUUUCCUCAAGAAAGGAUCCGUUUCUACAAACACUUUGCUUUCGGAUCUGAGAUAGGAGAUGUACCCAACUGUUUUGGAUAUCCUAUGAAGAUGCAUUUAUCCACUUUGGGUUCGAGCUUAUCAGACUGCAACUUUUUCACGUAAGUGUAGAAGCCCCAAACUUUCAAGAAACGACAGUUUAGAUUUCUCUAAACCUCAGUCUAUACUGUGUCAUCUCAACGGAAAUACGCGGUGCCCUAUUUAAAGUGAAUGCGGUUGUCUCUAAUGCAUAACCCAUAAACGAUAGUGGUAAUUCGAUAAGAGACAUCAUAGCAUGCACCAUACCAAAUAGUGUGUGGCUAUGACGUUCAGACACAUCAUCACACUAUGAUGUUCCAGGUGGCAUGAACUGUGAAACAAUUUCCACAUUGUCUUAAGUGCGUACCAAAACUCGUAACUCAGAUAUUCAUUUCUAUGAUCAUAUCGUAGACAGUUUAUCCUCUUGUUACGACGACCUUCACUCCGAAACAGAAUUGAACUUUUCAAUAUUUCAGACUUGUGAUUCAUUAAGUAAAUACUCUUGUAUCUACUCAAAUCGUCAUUGAAGUAAGAACAUAAUGAUAUCCACUGCGUGCCUCAGCACCCAUUGGACUGCAUACAUCAAAAUGUAUCACUUCCAACAAGUUACUAUCUUGUUUCAUCUCAAUGAAAACAAGGCCUUGUUCAUGUAGUAUGAUUUGCAUGUCACUAGUGAUUCAAAAUCAAGUGAGUAUAAAGAUCCAUCAGCAUGGAGCCUCUUCAUGCAAUUUAUACCAACAUGACUCAAGUGGCAGUGCCACAAGUAAGUGGUACUAUCAUCAUUACUUCGUAUCUUUUGGCACCAAUAUCAUGAACAUGUGUAACACUACGAUCGAGAUUCAAUAAACCAUUAAAGGUGAUUAUUCAAGAAAAUAGAGUAACCAUUAUUCUCUUUAAAUGAAUAAUCGUAUUGCAAUAAACACGAUCCAAUCAUGUUCAUGCUUAACGCAAGCACCAAAUAACAAUUAUUUAGGUUUAACACCAAUCCCGAUGGUAGAGGGAGCGUGCGACGUUUAAUCAUAUCAACCCUGGAAAUACUUCCAACACGUAUUGUCACCUUGCCUUUAGCUAGUCUCCGUUUAUGUCGUAGCUUUCAUUUCGUGUUACUAAUCACUUAGCAACCGAACCGGUAUCCAAUAUUGCCGUGCUACUAGGAGUACUAGUAAAGUACACAUCAACAUCAUGUAUAUCAAAUAUACUUCUUUCGACUUUUGCCAGCCUUUUUAUCUAACAAGUAUCUAGAGUUGCUCCGCCUCAGUGACCGUUCCCCUCAUAACAGAAGCACUUAGUCCCGGGCUUGGGUUUAAUCUGGGGUCUCUUCAUUAGUGCAGCAACUGCUUUGUCGUUUCACGAAGUAUCCCUUCUAGCCCUUGCCUUUCUCGAAACUUAGUGGUUUUACUAACCAUCAACUAUUGAUGCUCCUUCUUGAUUUCUACUCUCGCAGUGUCAAACAUCCUGAAUCGCUCAAGGAUCAUUGUAUCUAUCCUUGAUAUGUUAUAGUUCAUCACGAAGCUCUCACAGCUUGGUGCCGGUGACUUUGGAGAACCAUCACUAUCUUAUCUGGAAGAUCAACUCCCACUUGAUUCAAGCGAUUGUCGUACUCAGAUAAUAUGAGCACACGCUCAACGAUUGAGAUUUUCUCCUUUACUUCAUGGACAAAGAAUCUUGUCGGAGGUCUCAUACCUCUUAACAAGGGCACAAGAAUGAAAUCCAAAUUUCAUCUCUUUAAAACAUCUCUUAUGUUCCGUGACAUUUCAAAACGUCUUCGGUGCCUUGCUUCUAAGCCAUUAAAUAUUUUGCACUGAACUAUUGUGUAGUCAUCAGAAACGUGUAUGUCGGAUGUUCACAACAUCUACAGACGACGCUCGAGGUGCAGCACACCGAGUGGUGCAUUAAGGACAUAAGCCUUCUGCGCAGCAACGAGGAUAAUCCUCGGUUUUACAGACUCAGUCUGCAAAGUUUGCUACUAUCAACUUUCAACUAAAUUUUCUCUAGGGACAUAUAAAAACAGUAGAGCUAUAGCGCAAGCUACAUCGUAAUUCGCAAAGACCAUUAGACAAUGUUCAUGAAAAUUAGUUCAAUUAAUCAUAUUACUUAAGAACUCCCACUCAAAAAGUACAUCUCUCUAGUCAUUUGAGUGGUACAUGAUCCAAAUCCACUAUCUCAAGUCCGAUCAUCACGUGAGUCGAGAAUAGUUUCAGUGGUAAGCAUCUCUAUGCUAAUCAUAUCAACUAUACGAUUCAUGCUCGACCUUUCGGUCUCAUGUGUUCCGAGGCCAUGUCUGCACAUGCUAGGCUCGUCAAGCUUAACCCGAGUGUUCCGCGUGUGCAACUGUUUUGCACCCGUUGUAUGUGAACGUUGAGUUAUCACACCCGAUCAUCACGUGGUGUCUCGAAAUGAAGAACUGUCACAACGGUGCACAGUCGGGGAGAACAGAAUUUCGUCUUGAAAUUUUAGUGAGAGAUCACCUCAUAAUGCUACCGUCGUUCUAAGCAAAAUAAGGUGCAUAAAGGAUUAACAUCACAUGCAAUUCAUAAGUGACAUGAUAUGGCCAUCAUCAUGUGCUUCUUGAUCUCCAUCAUCAAAGCACCGGCACGAUCUUCUUAUCACCGGCGUCACACCAUGAUCUCCAUCAACGUGUCGCCAUCGGGGUUGUUGUGCUACUCAUGCUAUUACUACUAAAGCUACGUCCUAGCAAUAUAGUAAACGCAUCUGCAAGCACAAACGUUAGUUUAAAGACAACCCUACGUGCAAGUUGAUAUUAAAUAUUACAACAUGAUCAUCUCAUACAUCCAAUAUAUCACAUCACAUCGUUGGCCAUAUCACAUCACAAGCAUACCCUACAAAAACAAGUUAGACGUCCUCUAAUUGUUGUUGCAUGUUUUACGUGGUGACCAUGGGUAUCUAGUUGGAUCGCAUCUUACUUACGCAAACACCAGAACGGAGAUAUAUGAAUUGCUAUUUAACCUCAUCCAAGGACCUCCUCGGUCAAACCCGAUUCAACUAAAGUUGGAGAAACCGACACUCGUCGGUCAUCUUUGAGCAACGGAGUUACUCGUAGCGAUGAAACCAGUCUCUCGUAAGCGUACGAGUAAUGUCGGUCCGAGCCGCUUCGAUCCAACAAUACCGCAGAAUCAAGAAAAGACUAAGGAGGGCAGCAAAACGCACAUCACUGCCCACAAAAACUUUUGUGUUCUACUCGAGAAGACAUCUACGCAUGAACCUAGCUCAUGAUGCCACUGUUGGGGAACGUCGCAUGGGAAACAAAAAUUUUCCUACGCGCACGAAGACCUAUCAUGGUGAUGUCCAUCUACGAGAGGGGAUUUCCGAUCUACGUACCCUUGUAGAUCGCACAGCAGAAGCGUUAAGAAACGCGGUUGAUGUAGUGGAACGUCCUCACGUCCCUCGAUCCGCCCCGUGAACCAUCCCACGAACCGUCCCGCUAUCCGUCCCACAAUCCGCUCCGAUCUAGUGCCGAACGGACGGCACCUCCGCGCUCAGCACACGUACAGCUCGACGAUGAUCUCGGCCUUCUUGAUCCAGCAAGAGAGACGGAGAGGUAGAAGAGUUCUCCGGCAGCGUGAUGGCGCUCCGGAGGUUGGUGAUGAUCUUGUCUCAGCAGGGCUCCGCUCGAGCUCCGCAGAAACGCGAUCUAGAGGAAAAACCGUGGAGGUAUGUGGUCGGGCUGCCGUGGCAAAAGUUGUCUCAAAUCAGCCCUAAUAGCUCCAUAUAUAUAGGAGGAGGGGAGGGGAGGCUUGCCUUGAGGCUCAAGGAGCCCCAAGGGCUGCGCCACCAAGGGGAGGAGGAGUCCUCCUCCAAUCCUAGUCCAACUAGGAUUGGAAGGUGGAGUCCUUCUCCUCUUUCCCACCUUUCCUUUUUUUCUCCUCUUUUGUCUUUUUCUUUCUCUCUUGCGCAAGACAGCCUUGGGCUGACCCCACCUACUUGGUACGCCACCCCCAAGGUCCUUGGGCCCUCCCGGGUGGGUGGUCCCCCUCCCGGUGAAUAUCCGGAACCCAUUCGUCAUUCCUGGUACAUUACCGGUAAUGCCCGAAAAACUUCCGGUAACCAAAUGAAGUCAUCCUAUAUAUUAAUCUUCGUUUCCACACCAUUCUGGAAACCCUCGUGACAUCUGUGAUCUCAUCCGGGACUCCGAACAACAUUCGGUAACCAACCAUAUAACCCAAAUACGCAUAAAACAACGUCGAACCUUAAGUGUACAGACCAUGCGGGUGCGAGAACUAUGUAGACAUGACCCGAGUGACUCCUCGGUCAAUAUCCAAUAGCGGGACCUGGAUGCCCAUAUUGGAUCCUACAUAUUCUACAAAGAUCUUAUCGUUUGAACCUGAGUGCCAAGGAUUCAUAUAAUCCCGUAUGUCAUUCCCUUUGUCCUUCGGUAUGUUACUUGCCUGAGAUUCGAUCGUCAGUAUCCGCAUACCUAUUUCAAUCUCGUUUACCGGCAAGUCUCUUUACUCGUUCCUUAAUAUAAGAUCCCGCAACUUACACUAAGUCACAUUUGCUUGCAAGGCUUGUGUGUGAUGUUGUAUUACCGAGUGGGCCCCGAGAUACCUCUCCAUUACAAGGAGUGACAAAUCCCAGCCUCGAUCCAUACUAACUCAACGAACACCUUCGAAGAUACCUGUAGAGCAUCUUUAUAGUCACCCAGUUACGUUGCGGCGUUUGAUACACACAAAGCAUUCCUCCAGUGUCAGUGAGUCAUAUGAUCUCAUGGUCAUAGGAACAAAUACUUGACACGCAGAAAACAGUAGCAACAAAAUGACACGAUCAACAUGCUACGUCUAUUUGUUUGGGUCUAGUCCGUCACAUGAUUCUCCUAAUGAUGUGGUCCCGUUAUCAAGUGACAACACUUGCCUAUGGUCACGAAACCUUGACCAUCUUUGAUCAACGAGCUAGUCAACUAGAGGCUUACUAGGGACAGUGUUUUGUCUAUGUAUCCACACAUGCACUGUGUUUCCAAUCAAUACAAUUAUAGCAUCGAUAAUAAACGAUUAUCAUGAACAAAGAAAUAUAAUAAUAACUAAUUUAUUAUUGCCUCUAGAGCAUAUUUCCAACAUAAAUGAAGGAAAGAUUGAUGUAAUAUGACUUCUAUCCUGUUUGAAAAAUGUUUCAGUUUACAUGGUAGGGAAAUUUACAGUAAUGAAUGAAAAGGUUAUGAAAAUGUGCUAAAAUUGUAUCAUUUGUAGAAAUAAGUUUUUGGAGGAGCUGCAUACUGCUGCAAAGACAACUUUGACAGCAACGAAUGAAGCAGUACUAAUAGCAUUUGUCGAUUUGGCUAUUUAAACAACUUUUCAGUUUCACAUAAGAGAAAAUAUACCAUGAUGGAUCAAAAUGGUACAAAACAUAUUAUAAAUUGACCAAUUUCCACAUGUAAGUUGUUGUUUGAGGUACAUUAGGCAACAAAUACUACUCUGUAAUAAUGAAAUGGUCGAAGGGCUACUGUUAUUUGACAAUGAUGACGUAUAUAUUAACUUUUAGUUUUAAACGAACGGAAAUCUAAAGUGACAGAUUAAGAUGAUGUGAAAAUGAUGUUAAUGAUGUAUAAAUCCUACAUGAGGGUGAGCCACAUACUGCUGCACAGAGUAGUGGCAAACUAUGAAAUGAAGAAAAUGAUGUCGUAAUAUGGCGACUACCCUAUUUUAAAAAUAUUCCACUUCCCCAUGAAGAGAAAAUUUAUAGUAAUGAAUAAAAAAGGUUAUAAGAAAAGUGCUGAAAUUAUAUCAUCUCCACAUGUAAGUUGUUGGAGGACCUACAUAUUGCUGUAGAGAUAACUUUGGAAGCAAGAAAUGAAGCAAUAUUGUUUUGCUUAUAUAGUUGUUUUGGUCAUUUAAUUAUUGUUUUUUAUUAUUUUUAGUUGGUUCUUUCUAUAGAUUUUAACAUGUUGUGGUAUGGUGCAUAUUGAAUGCACAGGAAGUCUAGAGUUGAAUUAAUUUUUUUAAAAUGCCUUUGUAGCAUAUGGGUUUUCGUCUCAAACCUUGAUACUUCGAAGGAGAUAAUCCAGUUCGUACACGAAGUGCAUCCAGUUUUUGCGGUAACCCACUCAACUUUGCAGCACAUGGCAUGUGGGUAAAAUGAUGAUACCAUAACAAGUUUUAGCCUUUUCAGAGUUCAUUUGUAGGGUUUUUCAAUUUCAGGGUCAUUUAGCUCAAAAAAUCAUUAAAUGCAUGAAAAAUAGAAAAUGAGGUGAGAAAGGGUUCAAAAUUUAUGAGGUGGCUUUGAAUGAUGGAUAUUGAACACAUAAAAACUAUGGAGUUCAAAUAACCAAAAAAUGAAAUCCUUUUGUAAGAGAUGAGUUCUCGUUCGAAACCCUGAUACUUCGAAAGAGAUUGUCCGUUUUGUACACGAAAUACAUCCAGUUUUUGUCGUAACUCUCUCCAGGUUUUAGCACAUGCCAUGUGGUUGAAAUGAUCCUACCAUGCCAAAUUUAAACCUUUUUAGAGUUCAUUCGUAGUGCUUUUCAAUUUCAGGGUCAAUUAGCUCAAAAAAUAAGUAAAUGCAUGAAAAAUACCAAAUUGAGUGUGAAAAUGUUGAAAAUUUAUGAUGUACCUUUGAAUGGGGCAUUUUAAACACACAAAAAGUAUGGAGUUGAAAUAAGUUCAAAAAAAUGAAAUCCCUUUGCAAGAGAUGAGUUUCGUUCGAAACCCUGAUACUUCGAAGGAGAUGGUCCAGUUUGUACACGAACUGUAUCCAGUUUUAGCCGUAACCCUCUCAACUUUGUAGUACAAACUAUGUGGGUAAAUGAUGAUAUCAUGCCAAGUUUCAACAUUUUCAGAGUUCAUUAGAGUGUUUUUCAUUUGCAGGGGCAUUUAGCUCAAAAAACAUUAAAUGCAUGAAAAUAGCAAAUAAAGUUAGAAAGGGUUAACUCUAUCUUGGUUAACCUUAGACGAGGACUGUGACGGGGACGGCGCUAGCAGAUGUAGUCGACGGGUAUGAUUGGACUCUUGGCCCGCUAUAGCUCCGCUAUAGCUGAUUUAGAGGCUCGCCACUAUUUGCCAUAGCCCGCUAUUUAAAACAUUGGUUCCAACCGGUAGCAUCCUGCUUACCGCCGGUUCCAGCUUCCUCAGUUGCCUGUUGCAGCACACCCCCGCUGCGCUCGCAUCUUUCCUGCCAGGGCCGGUCCUGAGGGAGGGCGGAAGGGGCGGCCGCCCCGGGCCCCCUCCCUAGCCAGGUACACACUAGCUCAAAGUACAGGUGAAAAAAAUCCUAGGUCCAGCAAGCAGCUCGCGUCCUUCCUCGCAUCUAGAUUCUGUUCGAUCGCCCAGAGAAAAACAAUCACAUAGCUAGCCUAGUACACGGGGCCUGCCUUAUUUCCUGUUUAAUCGACAUGAUUUUCUCCAACCAGAUCGCUGCAAUCAUUUCUUUCCUAACAACAUUGCUACUAUCCUUAAAAAAGAUCACUAGUACUUAUCCAGCAGACCCAGCUAGCGCUCCAGUUGCGGGUCCCACGUUCGGACACCGAAGAACUGCGCUCGCGAGACACUAGUCUCCAUCCGCCGGACACACACUCGGAUGCACGGCCAGACCGCAUGGUUGAGCGCCUCCUGCAAGACACCGGUGCAAUCCAAAUGGCGUCAUGACCAAGCCCCAGAUUACCGACCAACCAAUGUGAAUCCAAGGUUAUCGUUCUGAAAUUCAGCCAUUUGUGUGGUACACAUGCUCGUAGUCAUACUUACAAAUUAUAUCACUUCUGUUGAAACUAAUAAAUUGGACCAAUGAUGAAACUACUUUUACUUUUAGUAAAUUGUAGAACUUUGGUGCUGCAGUUUCUUAGAUUGGAAUGAGAAAUUUUCACACGAUUUUCCCAACAUUUAUGCAACACUUUUUUUCUUCAAUAGAUUGGAGUUCAGAGCUCUUUCAAAUUGUCUUAUGUGAUUGCAUGUAUAUUUACUCUCAAAUGUGCAAAUUCAAGAGCUUUAAACUCUUGUGCAAUUAAUAAAAAGUCAUUUAUCUAUAUUAUGUACUUCCUAUUUUCAUUUUCGUGCAUUUUAGGAUCCAACGUUUCAAAACAUUAUUUUAGAGAUUUGUUCAAGAAUUAUGUGCCGAGACAUAUGAGUAUUAAUAGAUACAAAGUUUUAGUUUCGCCCUGGGCCUCCAAAAUCUCAAGACCGGCCCUGUUUCCUGCUAUAUAUGUCGGCCACCGGGUCGUAGCACGACCCCUAUCAAAGUGUACGACGACCAUGACAGAGGAAGACGGCGGGGUAUUGGGGUUGCAACUCACCGCGGUGGUGGUUCCAGCAGCACGGCCCACACCACCCCCAUGUUGCUCCAUCGAUCAUGUGCCGCCGCCUCGCAGGGUCGCAUCUCGCCAUCCUGCUGGAUCUGGCAAGGCCGCAGGGUCACAACACGGAAAAAGAGAAGGGGGAGCAUGCAGUUUUGUGAUGUAAAGCUUGCAGCGAUGGUGCUGUUGCAGCCCUGCGGUGCAUUGUGCAUGAGUAGGAAUGCAGCACCCCGGUGCGAUCUGAGGUGAAAAAAAGCAAGGGGAGAUGGAAAGAGGUGCAAUAAUGCUAAACAUAUAAAGAUUUACAGACUUUUCACACGCUGAUUAUGAUGAUUUUAACCUAGCUAAUCUCCCUCCUGAUUUUCAAGGGGUGGCCCCCCUCCCCCUCAAUCUCUAAUCAAAACCCACAUCCCUGCAAAGGCCCGUAUUCUUUUUGACGUGUAGCAUUACUCUGAAGCCAAGGAACACGGAAAGCGGUGCGCACGGAUCCCACAACAAUAUGACAUGGCAUUAUCGGUGGCGUUAAAUCGUGAGGGAUCCAGCGACACACGCGCAACCGGCACGUCGCUUCAGCUGGUCAGCGGGCACGCAAUUCCGUAGUUAUAUAGGAUCAUCAAAGCAUGCCAUUCAGUUACCUUCAAGUUUCAGCAGGUAGACAAUGCCAUUACUUCCAUGUUUGUGUUAGCUAGCUUUAUCAUUCAGUAAGUCAGCAGGUUAUUCUUAGAAACAACAUAUGGGUAGCUCAAACUAUCCAGUCAUCCAUAUGAGAAGGCGCUUUACGUACUACCACUAGAAGGUUGUUCCAGCUCGUAGCAAGUGACAGAGUCCUGACUCCGGAUCUGUAGAAGUUAAUCAUAUUGUUUCUUUAGGAUUAGGAAAGAAAGUCAAACCGAGUCCUAUUAGUAUUAGGAUUCCUAGUCCUAGUCUAUUUCCAUAGUCCCUUGUGGACGUGUAUAAAAGAUACCCUAGGGGUGUUGAUUGUAACACCAGAAAAACGAAAAGCAAUACAAAGCAAAGUCACGACAUGGGCCUUUAGCCAUCAAAUCCAUCGAUCAGUUUUAUUCGUGUCGCUAGUUACGCAAGUUCCGUCAAGUAGCCGGCCGAAGCAAGAAUCGCGUAGGCACGCCUGUACAGCUGCAUACGCACGUUCAAAAGCCAACAAUUGGUAUCUAGAGCCUCGACGAUCUACGAUCUACGAUGACGGACAACGACGUUGAGUCGGUCAAGUCCGGCAAGGGCGGUGCCAAGGCGAACAAGAACGGCAACAAGGUGAAGAAGGGCGUCAAGUCAGCAACCAGUGGUGGAGGAACGAGCGGCGCCAACGUCCAGGCGCAUCGCAACAUUCCCAUCCAGUACCCGAUGCUCACCGACGCCAACUAUGGCGUGUGGGCGGUGAAGAUGAAGAUUAUUCUCCGAACCCUUCGAGUGUGGCAGGCAAUCACGGACGACGACGUCGAUGACGAGUCCGACGAAGGUGCCAUGGCCGCCAUUGCCCAGUCUGUGCCGGAUUCCGUGCUAAUGAUAUUGGCGGAGUUCGAGACGGCAAGAGAGGCGUGGAACGCACUCAAAGAGAUGAGGAUCGGAGAAGAUCGCGUCACCAAGGCACGGGCACAAGUGCUGAAGCGCCAAUUUUACAAGUUGCAGAUGGAGGAAACUGAAUCGGUGAAUGACUACGCCAUGCGUCUUACUACUUUGGUGGGAGAGAUCCGCGCGCUUGGUGCAAAGCUCGAUGAGACCGAGAUCAUGGAGAAGUUUUUCAGUUCAGUCACUGAUAAAUUCACGUACAUCAUCGACACGCUCAAGCAGCUUUACGACAUCGAUGACAUGACCAUAACGGAGGCGAUCGGACGAUUGCGGACAUGGGAAGAGAAUGCUCGUGGCUGUCGGAAAGGCAAAGGAGGAGGUAGCGACCAACUCAUGUACUCGCGCGCAGAUUGGGAGGCCCCAAGUAGCAAAAGAAGGCGUGACGGUGGCGAAGGCUCAAGCAACACGAAGGGCGAUGGACAAACCGAAAAAGGCAAAGGAAAAGGCAAACCACAAGGUCAUGGUAAGGCGGGCCAAUCUAAAGAGCAGAAACCACGGAACUUGGACUUGUCCGAGGUCAAGUGCUAUAACUUCAAUAAGAUGGGUCACUUUGCGAAGGAUUGUCCAAAGCCUAACAAGCGGGAGAUCAAGGCAAAUUUGGCAAAGCAGAAAGACGAAGGUCCAGGUCUUCUGAUGGCCGAAGUUUGCGAUCUCGCUGAAACGGUGGUUGUGAAACCAAGCCGGAAGGUGCUACUUCAUGAGGAAAAAGUGACACCAAAGUUAUCCGGUGAUCAGAACGUGUCGUGGUAUCUCGACACGGGUGCCAGUAACCACAUGACGGGGUGCAAGGAGAAAUUCCUCGAGCUGGAAUACGAUGUUGAAGGCUCGGUCAAGUUCGGUGAUGGUUCAGCUGUGGAGAUUUGCGGGCAAGGAUCUGUCCUCUUUGAGGGUCUCAUAGGCGAACAUCGCAUACUCACCGGAGUGUACUACAUCCCACGGCUGCGCAACAACAUCAUCUCUAUUGGGAAGCUUGACGAGAAUGGAUGCAAGGUGAAUAUCGAGAGGAGUGAUGACGAUCUUCGACAACCUCUGAAACGUGCUAGCUCGUGUUAAUCGCACACGGAAUAGGCUCUAUAUCCUCAACCUUGAUCAAUCUCAACCGGAGUGUUGGCUUGCCAAGAGUGAUGAUGAUUCGUGGUUAUGGCAUGCUAGAUUUGGACACGUUAACUUCUACGCCUUGAAGAAGAUGUCAAAGAUGGAGAUGGUAUCCGGGAUGCCAGUUAUCGACCGUGUUGAUCGAGUAUGUGACGGGUGCUUGGUUGGAAAACAGCACCGCAGGCCAUUCCCUGCUCAGUCUACCUAUCGUGCAAGUGAUGCACUUGAGCUGCUCCAUGGUGAUCUAUGUGGCCCUAUCACCCCGGCAACUCACGCUGGAAAGAAGUAUUUCUUGCUUGUGGUAGACGACUACUCGAGAUAUAUGUGGGUCAUUCUCCUACGAUCUAAAGAUGAGGCGUUUGAAGCGUUCAAGAAGUUGAAGGCUGCAACGGAGAUGGAACACAAGCUGAAGGUUCGCGCUCUACGGACAGAUCGCGGCGGAGAGUUUACGUCGAAUGAGUUCAACGACUACUGCGAGAAGAUUGGCAUAAAGAGGUUCCUCACGGCACCUUACACUCCGCAGCAGAAUGGGGUCGUUGAAAGGCGCAAUCAAACUGUCGUUGACAUGGCAAGGAGUUUACUCAAGAGCAAGAACCUGCCGGGGACUUUUUGGGGAGAAGCUGUCUCGACGGCAGUCUAUCUUCUAAACCGGGCUCCAACGAAGGCGGUGAUCGGCAAGACUCCGUAUGAAGCAAUUUACGGACGUAAGCCGAAUGUGUCUCAUCUACGGACAUUCGGAUGCGUGGCACAUGUGACGACGGCGGAGCCGCACCUCUCAAAGCUUGCCGAUCGUAGCACCAAGAUGGUGUUCAUCGGAUACGAGAGCAGUUCUGGCACCAAGGCAUGCCGUUUCUACGAUCCACAAACCAAACGUCUACGGAUUUCACGCGACGUCGUGUUUGAAGAAAACCAAGCGUGGAAUUGGAGCGCCGCAGCCGACGAUGCUCCAAACAGUAACAUAUUUGCAGUUGAAUUUCCAACUGACGAUGAUGCAGGAGAAGAUGUCCAGGUGGUUGGCAAGACGCCGAACCAAGGUGGCCACAAUGGUAGUGAUCAUCAUGGUGCCGACACCGACGACGACGUGCAUAGGUCACAAGGAGAUAGCGACAACAAAGCACACGGCACGGGUGGAGAUCUCGACGACAACAUCGACAACGAGGCGCAUAGUGACGAUGACAAUCAAGAUGAUGGUCAUGAUCACGACGACUACGCCGACGACACGGAUGUCGAUGACACACCAGGGUCUCAGCCGUCUUCCUCAAGUGCAUCAACACCGACACAAUUUGUGUCGCCUCCUUCGCAAGCCACAACGGAUUCCUCGGGGCCUCAUCGCUACAAGACCCUCAAGAAAGUCUACAAGUACACAAAGCCAGUUACGCUCGAGUACUCCGGACUAUGUCUGUUCGGAGUUGAGGAGCCGGCGAACUUCGUAGAGGCGAGCAAAAGUCCUAGCUGGACGCACGCCAUGGAUGAGGAGAUGAAGGCAAUUGAGAGCAAUGGCACGUGGAAUUUGGUAACCCGACCUCCAAACCAAAAGAUGAUAGGUUUGAAGUGGGUUUACAAGUUAAAGAAGGACACGGAGGGUGCCAUUGUGAAGUACAAGGCAAGACUCGUUGCAAAGGGCUACGUACAACGUCAAGGAGUUGACUAUGAUGAGGUGUUUGCACCGGUUGCUCGAAUCGAGACGGUGAGAGUGCUCCUAGCUUUGGCAGCACAAGAGGAUUGGAAGGUUCAUCAUAUGGAUGUUAAAUCCGCUUUCCUCAACGGCGAUCUCACAGAAGAAGUGUACGUGGAACAACCGCUCGGCUACGAGAAGAAAGGCGAAGAAGGGAAAGUUUACAAGCUCAAGAAGGCACUUUACGGGUUGAAGAAAGCGCCAAGAGCUUCAGACUCAAAGUUAGACCGAAUUCUGGUCUCGCUCGGGUUCAAGAGAUGUCCCCUCGAGCACGCAGUCUAUACAAAGAACUCCAAAGGCUCAAACCUGCUAGUUGGAGUUUAUGUCGACGAUCUGAUUAUCACCGGAGAUAGCGUACAAGAAAUUGAACGUUUCAAGGCGCAAAUGAAGAACAAGUUUAGCAUGAGCGAUCUGGGAUUACUCAGCUAUUACUUGGGCAUCAAAGUGAAGCAAAGCUCCGGGGAGAUUUCCCUAUGUCAAUCGGCUUACGCGGUCAAGUUAUUGGACAAGUGUGGCAUGUCAGAUUGCUACGCGACACAAGUUCCAAUGGACCAACGUCACAAGUUGAGCAAGCGUAGCUCAAAUCCGCCGGUGGACACCACAAUGUAUCGAAGCGUUGUGAGUAGCCUAAGAUACUUGGUACAUACCCGACCUGACUUGGCUUAUUCAGUCGGGAUCGUGAGUCGUUUCAUGGAGAAUCCGACAACCGAACACAUGAGCGCGGUCAAUCAAAUUCUACGCUAUGUGAAAGGCACAAUUAAUCUUGGUUGCACGUACAGAAAGGGAAAGGAAGGAUUGAUCCUUCGUGGAUAUUCAGAUAGUGACAUGGCAGGUGAUGUUGAUGACCGAAAGAGCACAACGGGCAUGGUUUUCUACCUUGGCCCGAAUCCGAUUAGUUGGAAUUCUCAGAAGCAAAAGGUGGUGGCACUGUCUUCAUGCGAGGCAGAAUACAUAGCGGCAAGCACGGCGGCUUGUCAAGCAGUGUGGCUGAGAAGACUCCUAGCUAUUCUUGCAAAGCGGGAGGUGCAGAAGGUGUCAUUAAAGAUUGACAACCAAGCUGCAAUCUCAUUGUGCAAAAAUCUGGUUCAUCACGAAAGGAGCAAGCACAUAGAUACCCGGUUCCACCAUAUCCGGGAGUGCAUUGAAGAAGGGUUGAUCGAGGUUCAACAUGUGAACACGAAAGACCAACUUGCCGAUAUUUUCACCAAGUCCCUCGGUCGACAGAAGUUCAUCGAGAUGAGGAGGAAAGUCGGAGUGCAAGAAGUGAAGUCAAGCAACAAGAUUAAGGAGGUGAAUGUAGAAGUUAAUCAUGUUGUUUCUUUAGGAUUAGGAAAGAAAGCCAAACCGAGUCCUAGUAGUAUUAGGAUUCCUAGUCCUAGUCUAUUUCCAUAGUCCCUUGUGGACGUGUAUAAAAGACACCCUAGGAGUGUUGAUUGUAACACCAGAAAAACGAAAAGCAAUACAAAGCAAAGGCACGACACGGGCCUUUAGCCAUCAAAUCCAUCGAUCAGUUUUAUUCGUGUCGCUAGUUACGCAAGUUUCGUCAAGUAGCCGGUCGAAGCAAGAAUCGCGUAGGCACGCCUGUACAGCUGCAUACGCACGUUCAAAAGCCAACAGGAUCGUCAUGGAGGGGUCUUUUCGUGCUGGGAUCAUCCUGUUGAUGCUAAGCUUUAACUAAAUAGCAGCGCACAACUUUGACAUACAAUGAACAUGCCUUUGUAUACUUUAGUAUGUAGAGAAGAUGUGAUUGAAAUUCUCUAUUUAUAUACUCACUGUCUGUUACAACGAAUAAAACUGCUCCUUUAUUUAUUUAUACAUGGAGAUGCUCGACCUUUUCAGGGAUCCAGACAACUCGAAGAGAGAUAUAUAAGCAGGAAGUAAGUCUGAUCAAUCAGUUUCCCAUGUCCUGGAGCACCUGCCUCUGUAUCCGUUGAUAAACGGAGCCAAUAGCAGAUCGGUCUUCUGACAGUCGCGCGCGUCCACAUAUAUAUAGAUACACAACACAACAUGGAACAAAAGGGGUGUUUGCAUGGCUUAGAUCGGAUAUUGACUCCAAUCUUGUCUCCUCCCGUCAGGGAGCAUCAUUAGUUAGAUGGGCCUGCCUUGGGGCACAAUCUUGUCCUUGAUCCACAUGUAAAUAGGCACUAGGAAGAAGUAUGUGGCGCAUAUUGUUCCAAUGAGGAACCGAAAGAAGACGAAGACGGGGUUCACAUGUGGCUUGCUCACAUCCUCAACCUUCGGACCAAGCUGUUUAAGAUGAAUAUGUAGGGUAAUUAAGAUGUAAAUGUGAAUUUGCUAGAUCUGCUUGACCAAAACAAAUUUGAUGCCAACUCCCACGAUGCCAAAUUCAUUGAAAUUCUAGUCUUGUUCCAGGUUAAAAAUCCUUAAAUUCGAUGAAAUCCAUAGAAAAAUGCAUCAACAUCUACAACAUAAAAUUAGUUUCACUAGAUUCAUCAUCGAAUAUUUUAAACUUGAUCAAAUUAAACUUUUUUUAACUUAUGACAAAGCCAAAACCUCAAUCAGUGUCAAAUGAAUGAAGUACCUGCAAGGGGGAGUCUCCACUUUGUGUCUUGAUGCCCGUGACACAACACCCUAUGACCAGGCCAUGCCUACGGGCACCACGGUACCACUUGGGCCCGAUCCUAGUGAGCUCGACGUCCUUAAACCCUGCCCUCUCGAACCAUUUCAUGUACUCUUCCUCCGUGGGGAAGAGCAUCCACAUGUCAGCGAAGAAGCGAGAUAGCCAAAAUGUCGGACGGACGGGGCCUAUCAUACAAGCCACGCCGUCGGCGGUCAGGACCCUGUAGGCCUCCCUGAUCCCCCGUUGUGGAUCAGGCCAAUACUCAAUGCUGCCGUGUAUAUGGAGGCCAAAAACAAGAACUCAAUCAUUGGAUAUAUAUAUAUAUGUCAACUUAAAGUCUAAGGAGAGGUACUAGAGGAGAUUGUCUAUAACCCACCUGCCAGCGGAGACGUAUCGGUCGAAGGUGUCGGUGGGGAAGGGAAGGUCCUCGGCGUCACCCUUCAUGAUCUUGAUGCCCCUUAGGGCCUUCUUCUUUCUGGCCUUGUCGAGUUGGUGCGGCGACUGGUCGAUCAGCGUCACGUUCUCGGGAUCGACGUGCCGGACGACGCCGAGCGUGGUGAACCCAGUGCCACCGCCGACAUCGACCACCUUGAGGGCCCGGCUAUGGAGGCGGGCAUGCUCCAGGGAGAUGUCGCGCAUGUCCUCAGUGUACUGGCCGGGGUUGAAGACAUGGUCGUAGCCGAAGGAGAUGAAGCUGUAGAACCAGAGGGCCUCCUUUUUGUGCUGGAUCAGCCGGAGUGGCUUGCUGGAACCCAUGGCGAAACGUUGCUUGGCAAGCAAGCGAAUGAGUGAUGUCUAGGGGAGUGGGAUGGCAUCUAUUUAUACCGCUAGUACUCCUCGUAGAAAUAAUGGAGGGACUAGUUGCUUUGGCAAGGCCUGCCUAGUACAAUAAUGGUGCAUUUAAUUAGUCUACUAGUUCUGGUAGUAGUAGAUACAAUUCCUCGGUCUUCAAAACAAUAAUUUCGCCCUAAGUUAAACCUAUAGUAUAGCCAACUGCUGUCUAUAUGAUGUUAUCAUGUCACACAUAAUCAGCACUUAUAACCACACAUAUAAUAAGGCUAGCUAUAAGGUUGCCUAUAAGAUUACUACAUUAGUUUUUUCUUUCUUUUUUCUCUAUCUCUUUUCGUAUUUAUUAGAUUUAACUAGAAGUACCCAUAUAAUUAGGCUCUUGCAUGAGUUGAGAGCCCCAUUCUUCUUACUUUUUCAUCUCUCUUUUCUUCAGAUAGACAAAAAUGACAUGUAAGCGGGUUGUAAACCCACUAUUAUACUUGCUCUAAGCCUUACUUUGUCCAGGCCUGCCAAGUACAAUAAUAGUGCAUUUAGUCCAGUUGGGCUAGAUACAAUUCCUCCUUUUCAAAACAACAACUUCACCCUAAGUUAAACCCUGGCUAAAUUUACGGAAGGAAAAAAUUAUACAUCCACAAUAUUCAUUCAUACAAAAUAUUUGGCAAUUUUAAUUAUGAAGCAUGACAACUUUUUUUAGGGUUUUCUCUAUAUGCAAAUGUUAGUUGUAAAAACUGUCACGACAAUGUAACUCCCUACCACAUGGGUAAUACCCCCUUCGUUCUUAUAUAUAAGUCAUUUUAGAAAGAGAAAGGUGUUAACAACAACCGGGUGUCUAGGCACCCUCUAUGAACAGCAAAAUUAAAAAGAUAGAAAAGAGUUUCAAAAAAUCUGAAACUUUGCAACAUAUAAGAUGGUCAAAUUUUGUAGGUUCUUACAAGUUUUCAUGCCAAAAUAUCAUGUAGAGAAAGACAUACAAACAAGUUUUAGAUUUCAGUGCUAAAUGUGCUCAAAACUUAAAGUACUAACAUGAACCGCUACCUUGAAGAAUGGCCCAGCCUUGAACGAUACCAAACAAAUUGGCAUUCCUGCUGCAACUCGCGAUAGCUAUCAGCCAGCGCCCAACCGCCAUUAUUCCAGUUCAACAAUUGCCAUGGCUCCACACAUGCCGUGCACUGGCACACGAGGAUUUGAUGACGACCUGAGAAAUGGGGCGUUAGAGCAUCUGCAGUCAGGACAUGCAAAUCCCGUGGUACUGAUCGGAUACUUCUUAAAUCAUGUUGUUCAUAUUCAUGUAUGUCAUAUCUGGUUCCUCAUAUCCAUACUAACAUGCAACAUGCAUAAAAAAUACAUAGAUCAAUCCACAAACACACAAUCAGAGAGAGAAAUACACAUUCCGAUCACCAAAAGAUCACCGCCAAAUGUCCAAAAGGUCGUCAUAGUUCACAUAAUUCACAUAAACGACGAACAAAUUUAAGCUAGAUUACUAAAAACUUGAAAAUGCAGACGGAGAUGGCGAACAUUCACCACUUCCUCGUUGGCCGUUUGCGCUUCGGAUCGCCGGCGCAACUGUAGAAAUCGACUACUGGUGGACAAUCGUCUGAGUCGUCCGAUGAGGAGCCGUGGUCGUCAUCGUCAGAGGAUGACGAGCCCUUUUAGCCGUCGGUCCUCCUUGUCCUGCUGCCGCUUGAGCUUCGCGAGCCGAGCUACCUCCACCGCUGCCUUCACCGCCUUGCGCUCGGAAUGCUCAAUGGCAAUCUAGAGCGCAUUGGCGUUCUUUUGGCAGAGUCGUCGCGUUUCCGUCUCCGCGGCCGUAAGCAACCGGCGGUAUACCCAUUCGAGGAGCCACACGUCCUCAUCAGGCUCCGCCUCCAUCUUGCGAUGGUGGCGCACAGACUGCUCCGCCUCCCUCCUCUCCCCUUGCCGAUGCCGCUUGCAGCGGGCGGCACACGCCUUUGUUUUAGGCGUGCACGUCCUGUCCGGUGGGACAGGCACAAGCACCCACCGCUGCCCAUGUUGGGGAGGAGCAGCCGGCGAGGGCAGGGAACAGCAUAGGUGAGGCGCGGAUUGCGCAGGUCGCCUGUCGAAGUUGUGCACGUGCCGGGAGGGGCCAGGUCCGGCAUCCUAGCUGCGCCGGUGGGGAAGUAGCGAGGUUGCAGAUCCGGAGCUGUCUCCGAUCUCCACAUUGCACCGCUCCAAGGUGAUGCGGUGGGCAAGCUCACAGUCCGGAUCCAAGUCGUCAUCGGAGCGGCUCCCGGAGCUCGACAUUGCACCGGAUUCGAUCGGUACCGGUGCCGGAAGAGGAGAGGAAGGAGCGAGAGAGGAGAGUGAGUGAGGUAGGGUUUCGGAGCGAUGAGCCGGAUGUUUUUUUCUAUGGGAUAACCGUGGAGUCGGUGGUAUGCCGGGCUUUGUCAGGUGGGCGUGUCCGAACCACCCUAUAUCCACUCCAUGUUUGGACUGGAUAUAAAGGGUGCCGGUCGAUUUAUUGGCUGGAUCUAUUUUUUUAUGACCAGUCAAUGAUCGGACGGGCAUUUGAAAAUGUUAUGAGGGGUCCGACUAGAGAUGCUCUUAGUUGUGAUGGGACUGGACAUCAGCAUGUGUGUGAUACUUGUGUGUCGGCUUUGAGCUUGGCCUCAUAUGACCUUGCUCAAAAUACAACACACGACGUAAUUAUUCUUUUCAAAAUACAACACAUAUGAGGAGGUAUGUGUGUGCGCGCACGCGUGUUGUGAGCAUGUCAUGUGACUCAGUCGUAUCGGGUGUGUCAUUCCCAAGCCCCUAUCUAUCUCCUUCUCUGCUACCAGAAGUAGUCUCCAUCUUCUUCCCCUCCGCGCGUAGGAGCGGGCUGUUGCACUCAGCUAUUAAUAAUAAUGAGAAAGGAACACAUCACCGGAUCCAAGUCUCCGUCCUUCCCUUCAUUUUCUGUAUUAAUAAUGAGAAAGGAACACGUAACCGCAUGGCCCUGAGGGGGGCAAGCGGGGCGCCCCCGUAGUAGCUGCGUUGACAACGGCAACGGCUGUGCACGGCAGCUGCAAGCAGGCCUGGGCCACCCAUGCAUAUGUUGCACUUGUGGCGCUACUAAUUCGCGAUUUUUUUCGAAAGGAUCGCUAGUUGCCUAAUUCACUUGAUCUAAUCAACAAUCUAAGAUGACUCAAGGUCGAGGCUUAUCUCCAUCUUCCCAGUUAACUUUGCGUGUGCGUCGCCUCGACGAACUUGUUUUAUCUAAAAUUACUAAUUGUUCUUUAAUUUUGACGCCGUCGCAUCAUCUAAAAAGUUUGCAUCCGGUGGUCAGAAAGUACGAGAGAAAACAUACAUGGUUAAUUCGUUGAUAGAAUCACAUACAUAAUCUAUCAAAAGAUUUCUUAAGUGAAACUUUAUGCAUUGAGAAAAAAUAUAUAAGAUAAUGUCAAUAUUGGUACGACCACCAGCAAUUUUGCUUCUUGGAUUGUUAGAAGAAAUAUUUCUAGGUAACAUUUACAAAUUAAUUGACAGGUGUAUAUUGCAUUUGGACUCACUUGCAAUUCAUAUAUGCAUACUGCUUACUCGUAGAAAUAAAAUAUACUACUUGAUUAUUGGUUCGGUGUCUAUAUUAAGGGGCAUGUUACGCGUCGUCCGACGGAUCUUUAAAAAAGAUCCGUCACCUCACAAGCCGUUGAUUGUGUGAUAUGAGCCGUCAGUUUCUCUGCACUACUUUCCUGCAACAAUACUUUUGUUGCAAAAACUUCUCUUCUUAAUUUUCUACAACAAAUCCUUUGUUGCAAAAAAAAUCUCCUAUUUUCUGCAACAAGUCCUGUGUUGCAAAACCUCUUAUUCCCAAAUUUUUUGCAACAAGAUCCUUGUUACAAAAAUUAAAAACACGUCCCCCACCGCGUAUAUCCAUCACCACGAUAAUAGUCAGAUGUCCACGCGCACAGUCAUCCGCAACCAUCCGAUCUAAUUCCUGGCAUGCAGCUCAGUCGUCAUAUUAAUUCCUGAAACAACAAACUAGUUGCGGAAGCAACCUCUUUGUUUCGGUCCGGACAAAGCUCUAAAUGGCUAUGCAAUUUUUUCUGCCACAAAGAUUUAAUACGGGAUGACCGACAAAAUUGAGCUGACAACUUUUGCAACAAGCAUAAUGUUGAGUUCGGGUGUUUGCGACACGGGCCGUGUUGCGGAACUUUUGCAACAUAAUAUUUUUUUCAACAAAGUUAAUGUUGCAGAUUUGUUUUUUGCAACAAGGAGGAUGUUGCAAGAAAAACCCAAAUCCAGCUACUCGUCCUCCCAGUCAAAUGAGCCCCCGAAACAUCCCUACUUGUAUCCAGUAUGAAGAAUACUUGUCCUGAAACAAUAGGUCAGUUGCAGGAAACGAAAGCGGCUUGGGCACACGCAGGACGUGGUGCGACUGUGUGAUCAAAUCGAACGACCGCAGAGCUGACGGACGGCCGCGUGCGAUCGGCCGGUGGAACAUAAUCUUUUCCCCUAUAUUAAGGGCUCCUAAGUUUUAGUUCCAUCCGGGGCCUUUGAAAUCCCAGGACCGGUCCAUGAUGGACACAAAAUCUCCUGCGGCUGUUACAGUUAUUGGUGACUGUAAUCCUGUACAGUACAUUGGUUGGUAGAAAAGACAAUACAACAUUAUAUCUGUGAUCAAUCGCGUGUGGACAUGCGGUCACGUGAUGCCGUAUCGCCACCGUUGCUUUGGUCACAAACAGUAAUCAUUCAUACAUUAUGAUUGAUCUCCUUCUUCCCAUACAAGCAUUAUCAAGGAAAUGCCAUAAGUUAGUCGCUCCUAAAAAACACAGCCAUAAACGGUCACAUGUGAACGAUGGGACGGACGUUUAGUAGCUUACAAGCUACUCCAUCUGGAGUAUCAAUUCACCCAACAUGAAUUAAUAGUCUGCCAGUGCAUUGAAAAUACUACCAUGGACGCAAGCUAGAGGACAAGGUUGUAUUCAUACAAACAUUUAUUUCAUCUGGACCACUCACAAGGCUUAUAUCAAAACGUAUUAGAACAAGUAUAAUACUAACAUACAGUCAGCAGGUUGUAAGGAUUAAAGUAUUAUAUGUAUGCUGAGUUGGAUGAAAAAGAAGAGGGGAGAGAAGAGAAGCGGGUUAGAGAUUAACAGCCGGCUGUAGCACGAGCUCUAAAAAAGUGAGGAUGUAAGAUGAAUCAUGUAGUAAUAAUGUAAUACUUCUUAGCAGCUUGUUAUUAUACUGUUGACUAUUAGAGGGUGUUUGGAUCCAAGGGACUAAAACUAGUCUGACUAAAAAUAGUCUCUUUAAGAGGCUAAAGUUCCAAGCACCCCUGACUAAAGAGAGGCUAAAACUAGUCUUGAGGCUAAAAUCUUUUAGUCAUGAGUACCCUACUAAAAUGUGGAUUAGUCCUCUCUCUCAUCAUUUAACUCCUCUCCUUUAACACAUGCGAGUUCUGGAUUGGAGGGUUUGGAGGAUAAUAAAUGCUCAUUAACUUGAUUUUAGUCUUUUUAGUAUUUGGAUCCAAACAUGGGUGAGGCUAGCUAGUUUUAGUCCCACUACUUUUAAGCAUGGAACUAAAACGUAUCCAAGCACCUUCUUAGUUUGACUAUAUAUGACAUGACAACUUCUUAUAACCGGUAGUUGGCUAUACUAUUAACCAUGCUCUUACCGUUCGGAUGCAAUAAUACAACGUUCAUAUAAUUAAUGGGCCCGCAAGACUAUAAUCUAUACCUAAUAAUAAAGCGGCUAUUGCUUCCGUCGGAAAACCCACCGCGGCAUUUUUAUAAAAGAAGCCCCUAUAGUUUUUGUUAUUCAACCCGCGCUAUAUCAUUAAUCUGCAACGCAAAAGGAAAAAACGAUUCACUGCAAAAAUUAUACCCGUACGCACCGCCUCCUCCCGUCGACCCUGGGCCACCCUGGCCUGUGCCCAGGCCGCCGCCACACCACUCGCCAUCGCGGCCGACCCCAAUCGCCAUCGCUGCCGAUCUCAACCCACCCGCCUCCGCGGUCGUACCUCUCCCCGCUCACUGCCCCCGUUGCGGCGCUCGAGCGCAUCGCGUCGACCCUGGUCCACCCUGGCCUGUGCAUAGGCCGCUGCCACACCACNNNNNNNNNNNNNNNNNNNNNNNNNNNNNNNNNNNNNNNNNNNNNNNNNNNNNNNNNNNNNNNNNNNNNNNNNNNNNNNNNNNNNNNNNNNNNNNNNNNNNNNNNNNNNNNNNNNNNNNNNNNNNNNNNNNNNNNNNNNNNNNNNNNNNNNNNNNNNNNNNNNNNNNNNNNNNNNNNNNNNNNNNNNNNNNNNNNNNNNNNNNNNNNNNNNNNNNNNNNNNNNNNNNNNNNNNNNNNNNNNNNNNNNNNNNNNNNNNNNNNNNNNNNNNNNNNNNNNNNNNNNNNNNNNNNNNNNNNNNNNNNNNNNNNNNNNNNNNNNNNNNNNNNNNNNNNNNNNNNNNNNNNNNNNNNNNNNCCACCCGCCUCCGCGGCCAUACCUCUGCCCGCUUGCUGCCCCCGUUUCGGCGCUCGAGCAUAGCUUCUGGAUCAAAUCAACGCGACAGCUACAGUGACUGGGGAUAAUGCGUGUGCUCGAUGCAGAACGGCGGCGGCGCGCGGAUAAGGCGCGGCGGAGCGAAGUACUUGCAGGUUGAGACGGGCCUCCAUAGCUCAUACGGGGAACUCCAAGGUUAUGGCGCGGCAACGGCGACUCCUUAUGGCCAGAUAGAGGCGUCUAACCCUUGCUUCCCUCAUCGUAUCCCCUCCUCCGGCAGGAACUCAUCAUUUGGUGAGAUCCCCUCCCCAUGCCUCCAACCGUGUGCCAAGCACCGGCAGGAAAUUUUGUUUUGUGGGGAUUUGUUUGCUGAUGAAUGAAUGUAUUGAAUAUAAGAUUGUAUUGUUGUAGAGACAGAGAAUGGAAAACCACCUUCAGUUUGUCAUCUGAUCCCACAUUCUCUACCCCAUGAGUGAAAUAAGAUAAUGCGACCGAUCUCAACCGCCACCGCUGCCGAUCUCAACCCACCCGCCUCUGCGGUCGUACCUCUCCCCGCUCACUGCCCCCGUUGCGGCGCUCGAGCGCAUCGCGUCGACCCUAGUCCACCCUGGCCUGUGCCCAGGCCGCUGCCACACCACNNNNNNNNNNNNNNNNNNNNNNNNNNNNNNNNNNNNNNNNNNNNNNNNNNNNNNNNNNNNNNNNNNNNNNNNNNNNNNNNNNNNNNNNNNNNNNNNNNNNNNNNNNNNNNNNNNNNNNNNNNNNNNNNNNNNNNNNNNNNNNNNNNNNNNNNNNNNNNNNNNNNNNNNNNNNNNNNNNNNNNNNNNNNNNNNNNNNNNNNNNNNNNNNNNNNNNNNNNNNNNNNNNNNNNNNNNNNNNNNNNNNNNNNNNNNNNNNNNNNNNNNNNNNNNNNNNNNNNNNNNNNNNNNNNNNNNNNNNNNCACCCGCCUCCGCGGCCGUACCUCUGCCCGCUUGCUGCCCCCGUUUCGGCGCUCGAGCACAGCUUCUGGAUCAAAUCAACGCGACAGCUACAGUGACUGGGGAUAAUGCGUCUGCUCGAUGCAGAACGGCGGCGGCGCACGGAUAAGGCGCGGCGGAGCGAAGUACUUGUAGGUUGAGACGGGUCUCCAUGGCUCAUACGGGAAACUCCAAGGUUAUGGCGCGGCAACGACGACUCCUUAUGGCCAGAUAGAGGCGUCUAACCCUUGCUCCCCUCAUCGUAUCCCCUCCUCCGACAGGAACUCAUCAUCUGGUGAGAUCCCCUCCCCAUUCCUCCAACCGUGUGCCAAGCACCGGCAAGAAAUUUUGUUUUGUGGGGAUUUGUUUGCUAAUGAAUGAAUGUAUUGAAUGUAAGAUUGUAUUGUUGUAGAAACAGAGAAUGGAAAACCACCUUCAGUUUAUCAUCUGAUCUCACAUUCUCUACCUCAUGAGUGAAAUAAGAUAACAGUCCAUUGAUCAAUUCACGUAGCCUCUCUGUUUUGCUUUGAUUGUCCCGCUCAAUUUCUCAUCAUGGUGGAAUUAACAAUGGACAGGUUGAUUUCUCAACAAAAUAGAAUAGGACUGACUACAUUAGUUAGUUAGCUUAUUAUUUUAAUAAAUCAAAAUAAUUAUAAAAACAUUAAAAGCGUAUGGUAUUUUUUUCCAUUGCAACGCACGGGCCCUUUUGCUAGUAUCAAUCAAUUGCAAUGCAAUCACGAACGUUACGGAUAACGGCAGCGCGUAGCCUCAUGUACACACAACAUCCGUGUCCAUUAUAUCGGUCCGUGUUAUCUCUUGCAUAAUGUUAUGACAUCUUACAAUCAUGAGGCGGUUAAAACUUAAGUUAGGGCUGCAUACCUGUGGAAAAAUGAACACAAACACUCGGCAAAGAAGGACCUUUGCCAAGUAUGGGCCGAUAGAAGUUCGACCGCCUCGUCGCCGACUGCGCCCGCUUCUUCAAGUCCGUCUGCGAUAAAAAUGAACACGUACGAAAUUAGCGAUCCCAUUUGCGAGGAUGGCGCUUGGCGACGCUGCUAACGACGCGUCCGGCGCCUAUCCUAGAGCUCGGUGGACCGACUGGGCAGAGGACGAAGACCGGGUGACGGCGGCCGCGAUGGUGGCCGACAGGCGCCCCUGCAUCGGGGAUCGACUUGCCGGCUCUGCUUCCCUGGUACGCUCUCAUCCCCUACCUCCUCUCCCUCUCUUCGACUGGGUCGCUCUACCGCUGGCCUUGGCGGUAGGGGCCGCCAGCCGUGGUCCUAGGGUGUGACAGGUCGGGCGGAGCUUGUGGCGGCGGCCUGGUCGUGGUGCCGUCCGGCGGGACGUGCAGGCCGUCUAGACUCCAGGGCGCUUGGCGAAGUACUCCCUCUUUUCCGGUUUAUAGGGCUCAAAUCUAAAAUCUCAUCAACCAAGAUGAAUUGUGAGUGGAUGACACUAGUUUAAACUAGCAAAUGAAAUAUUUCUCACAUACUCAAUUUCCAAGGCAAUAAAUGUAAUAUUCUUUCUUUCAUUGGACUUGCAUGAUGGAUGUAGAAAACGAUGCAUGCAUAGCCACUCAUCUCCUUUCUUUAAACUAUAUGAAUUAAAUAUGACGUGAGACUCAAAGCACUUUAAUUCACUUAGAGUCAAAAUGAGCCUAAUAUAAUGAAAAUCUGAAAUUUUUGAGAUGAGCCCUAUAAACCGGAAAGGAGGGAGUACUGGUUGGCCCAUCGGUGUUGGUUCCUCCCCACAUUGGCUCCUCCCUGGGUCCCCGCAUCCCGUCCUUGCCGGCCUUCAUGCAUUUCGGUGAUGUGUGUUCAGUUGGAGGAGAUGUCCUGUUAACUAUGAAUGUUGGAGUUCUGUCGAAUAUUGUUAACAAAUCCUAGUGUUGUGCUUCAUGUGAUUGGGUGAUCCUUCGGUGAUCGACUAUGCACCUUGGAUUUAUUCUAACAACGAAGACGUUCGUAGCGGCUUCGUCAAUCUUAAAAUUGUGCCGUGCUCUGCCAUUCGGAGAUGCUUAUAUAAACAGAAUAUAUUCACAAGAAUAUGUAUAUAUAUGGGCAUGUAUGAGCUUCUUGUGUUUAGAAAAGGAAGGAAUUAUGGUCCCGGGUGCGACCUCGAGUGUCGGAAUCACUUCCAAAUUGGCACCCAAUGAACUGCAGUUCCACCGUGCUACGUUGUAGGACGGCUACCCGCCAUCAAUCUUCUAACGCCCAACAACCAACCGGAAAGGAGGGAGUAUGAUGGAGGGGGACGGCUACCUUGCAGUACUCCUCUUAAGCUUGUCUCCUUAAUUUUGUAAUUAAUCGCAAGGAAACAUGUAGUACUACGGAUGCAAGACUUGGCACCACGAAUUAUUGUUCCAUCGCUACAUACUACGAGACAGCUACCCGGCAUUAAUAUCCCACAACGACACACACACCUGGGUUCGCCUCCUCUAGAGUUUGAUUUGUUUUUUUUUAAGGAAAAUAUAUUAAUAUCAAUCAUAUACUAAUUAUACCUAGCCUCUGUACUAAUAACAAGAUGUCUAAGAACAUCCAGAAUGCACACAACCAAAAAUAAAAUAAAAUAAAAUAAAAUAACCUACCACGGUGAUCAAUCACCCGCGGUAGCAACACUCUAACCACUAUCAAAUACAACAAUUCAUAAGGGUUGUCGUUGCCUGAUCAAAGAUUGUAGGUUUUCACCUAGAGAAGAACCGCGUUCCUAAAACAAUGACUUCAACAAGGCUACUGCCAGACACAACCAAUAAAGGCCAUACCUUCAAUUUUCAUCCUCAAAAUCAUGGCUAGAUACUCAAAGCAGCACCAUCAACAAAGAAGUCCUUCAAUAUUGUCGCCCCCACUUGUGGAUGCUACUACUACAAGUCACUUACCAAGAGGUUCAUAGGAACUUGUGUCCGGUCUGGAUGGGAACAUAUCCCGCAAGUCAAGUCUGAACAGCUGCCUGUGAAGCAAGGUCUUGUUCGCACCCAAGACCCCGCCUUCAUCACUUGCAUGUCCUCCGAUCACUCCAUGGCAUUCUCCGCAUAUGUUGAUUCCUUGGAAAUAUUGAUGCAGACAAUGUCCCAAGGUGUCAACAAAAACAGAGUUUCACGAUACCCCGAUGAAUCUGGCUAUACUAAUGUUGCGGGUGCACACGACCAUCCACUAUCCAACGAAGAUAUCCAAAGAGCAUCAUAUAUGCAUGUCUUCGUGUUUCUUCGAAGGAGAAACCCAGAACUCAUUGAUGGGUUAGAUCAAAGAGGGGUGAACAACCACCAUUGCCUCGACAUGCCGCCACACCAAAGACACCACCCACCGUAGCUCAAAGCGUGGUACCCGCGAAGGCGAGGAGACUCACUGCAGGAGGCAGGCUAGCCUGGCCAAAAUGCACCCCGUGAACGAGAAUAUGGGGUCGGGCCUCCAAGUCCACGAGCACCUGCCUCCUGCUCCUUCACGGGAAAAUGGUGGGUCGGGCCUCCAAGUCCACGAGCACCUGCCAUGCAUGGCAGAAAGUCCAGGAGCAGACGCGCACCUCUGUGUCGCAUAUUGUCGUAUUGUCGUAUUUUUUGAAAUAAGCGUUGUCGUAUUGUGCCUUGCCGCCACCUUCCUUGGGGGCGGCCCGGGCUUCGCCGGAGGGCGCCCUCUGCCGACGGGGAGACGGGCAGGAGGAGAAGGUGAAGGCGCUAGGGUAUUUUACCCAAAAAAAAGAGUUUGAUUUGUUACAGCUUAAAGGUUAUAGCUAUUGAUUUUUUUUUCUUGACAAGGAAUAAUAUUUGGGAAAUGAUUAGAAUCGUUCGGUCGAUCUACGCCGUACGAGUUCAGCGGUGAUGGCGGUAAAAAUAUAUUAUAAUCUUUAAUGAUCAUGAUCAUAUUUUACUGCAUCACUGAGAUACACUAUCAUCCUCAUUUGUGAAAUAAUGAAUAUUUUUGCAAUUAUCGACAUUUUGUUAUAUUUCAAAUAAAUAAUACACAAAAAAAUUCAAAAAUUAUGUACAUUUUUUAUUUCCCAAACUUUUGUUUUCAUAAUUGCGCAUAUUGUUUUAACUAUCAAACGUUUUUCUAAACAAUGGCCAAUAUUUUUUGAAUCCACAAACAUUUUGUGAUUUAUUAAAAAAGGUAAAAUUCUCAAAUGUGUUUGGUUUUCGUUACUUUUUUAAGUCCUGAUUUAUUUAAUGUAGAGAAAAUGAAAACAGAAAACAAAAUACGAAAUUUAUAAAACAGGCCAGCCUAACAUGGGCUGGCCCAAACAGGCAUGCUUCAUCUUCUGCCUACACGCGGAGCGCACUAUAGGAGGUCCCUACUACAUGGAUCAGACCAGACGAGGAUUUCUUUCUGUGAAACAUUUUUUUUAUCAUUUAUAGACGAUAUUGUUGGUAAUAUUUUGGAAUUUGGAGGUGAUUUCUGUGACGCACCGCCAAAACCAAUAUCAUUUUUAUUAUUACUAGCACAAAUGCCCGUGUGUUGUAACGGGAGACAUUACUAAUUCUUUUUAAAUAGUUAGAAUAACAUGAGAAAACCACAAUGAUAGUUCAUGUGAUAUUCAGUGCUUACCAAGAUCCAUGGACCCAUACAAUACCAAGUUAUAUACUAAUUCCCCAUGCACUUACAGUGUGUUUAAAUACAACUAUAAUUCGUUAUCAUGUUCAAGUAAAAAACAUAAUUGGUUAUCUUUCAUCUCCGUUUGAAAUAAAUUGCAUGAUGUUGCAGUUGUUGCCGGGCCGUGCCGUUGUCACACAUUAAUAACAACAUGUAAAAUAAUAAUGCUGAAAUCUUGGCAUCUUACACAAAUAAUUGUAGAAAACAAAAAUAGCAAGUCGCAAGCUCUAGAGGGCCUAAAAACAUGUGUUUCAAUUGUGAAAGGAUGAUACAUAUGUUAUUCACUUUUAAGGAGAAGAUGUAUCGAUUUAUCUCUAUAAGUAAAAUUAAUAUUAAUUAAAAGCAUAAACAAUGAGAUCACAUUGUUGAUGGACAUAUUAAUAUAAUUUAUGGAAGAAGAUAAUGGAUACACUUUGGUUGACUCAAUAGCAUUAUUUUUUUACCAAAACAUGCCCGUGGAAAGAAAAAAAAAACCAUAUGUCCCUAGUCCAAGUAGAGUGUGUCCAAGUCUCGCUAUUUCAACAGUUCACAUACAUGUCGCUGUUUAUCCUUUAUCUUCGACAACAAAUACUUUCAUAAUCUAGUUGAUGAGCAGCUUACACACAGAAUAUACUUAAUGGUAGUUAAUUUAGUAAUCUACAAUAUAGUAGGAUUAAUUAUGCAUACGGUCUUAUACUCAUGGCAGACUAAAAUUUAAAGGAACCAAGCACUUCAUCUAGCUCAUUAUUUAACAACACGUAGGUACAUAAUUUCAACCUAUCACAAAAUACUCAGAACAAAGUAUUGUGCUGGUCCCCACAAACGAAUAGAGGUGAAGUGUUUCAAUUCACCUAACCUAAUCUACAUGGUCUAUGUAGUGGAACAACUGUGCUUCUUAUCACGUGCUAGGCCGCGGAGGUUGGCUAGAAAAGCAAGAUAAAUGAUAAACAUUAUUUCUAGCAAAAAUAAUUAAACAUAAGUAACAUUUCUUUAGAUGUAAACAGAAGUCAACUAUGUAUACUAAGAACAUAAAAUAGAAUGAAGUUUUGUUCACACAACAUCCCAACCUAAAAAAUCUGGGUCUAAGCUAAUGGUGACAUGCUUUGGUCUCGAUCUGUCUACAAAUAAUCCGCACCAGCUAUAAUUUCGCCAAUUCAGUACGAAACAUUUUCAACAUUUUAUUAAACAUCUUGCAUGCUAGAACAUUUUCAGCAUGCAGUGAGCAAUGAUACACAUUAUCCCAGUAAAACUACCGGAUCAUCCUUUGGGCUGGCUGAACUUCUAAUAUGCAGCUAGCUUGUGAGUCAAACAAUUUAACUAUGCAAGUAAUCUAUAUUCGUUAAUAAUAACAGAAACAUAUCAAAUGAUUGUAUCCUGAAUUCCUCAUUAAAGAAACCAAUGCUUGUGAGUCAAAGCAAUUCCUGAUAUUGUCGUCCGUGGAGUGGUCCUUUAUCGUCCGCUUCGAUAAACGACAAAGAAGUUGAUUCCUGUAGUGAUCUGUGAAUAUUUGGGGGUCUGAAUUUGCUAUUUGUGGUUGUAGAUGCUCUUAGGAAUGGCAUGACUUAACCCAAGAUUUAUUGCUACAUAGUUUCAUUUUAGCUUUGUACCCAAAAUAGAUGAUCAAGAAUAUUGAGGAAUGUAUGAAAGGAGGUGAUCAAGAAUUGCGAAGGUAGCAAAGGAGCAUAUGGAGCGAUCAUAUCUUAAAUAAACACAUAGAUAUUUAGCUUCGAAUUGUAGUUUUACUUUUGAGUUUAGAGAGGCAAAUAUGGAUACCGAUAGGUUAGCCAAGUUUUCGUCUUCUAUGGAUAAAGGACACAUGUAUGGAUGGGCGAUCCUCAUAUUCCCGUUUCUAUGUUCUCUCCUCGCGAAUCCCACCUAGCUCAUAUGUGGUUCUCUCUUUCUACAUCUCUCCUGGAUCCUUCACACGACCCCCGCGUCGUCCCCAGGUCAAGCGACUUGGGCGGCGCCCUAAACCCAACAGUCGGGGGCAAAUACUCCCUCAUCCCCUUCCUGCUCCAUCGCCGGAGGACGCCGCCGGUCUAUGCCCCGGGACCGACGGCGGUGGCGGAGGACAUCGCCUCUCUCUCGCGGAUCUGGGGCUGUGCGGGGCCCCAAAUCAUGUGGAGGCGCGCCCGAUCUAAUCGGCAACAGCCACUGCUAUCACGCGGUAACGUUGGAGGUGGUGCGGGCUACGGAUGUUGGGGAACGUCGCAUGGGAAACAAAAAAUUUCCUACGCGCACGAAGACCUAUCAUGGUGAUGUCCAUCUACGAGAGGGGAUUUCCGAUCUACGUACCCUUGUAGAUCGCACAGCAGAAGCGUUAGUGAACGCGGUUGAUGUAGUGGAACGUCCUCACGUCCCUCGAUCAUCCCCGCAAACCGUCCCACGAACCGUCCCGCGAUCCGUCCCACGAUCUAGUGCCGAACGGACGCAACCUCCGCGUUCAGCACACGUACAGCUCGACGAUGAUCUCGGCCUUUAUUGAUCCAGCAAGAGAGACGGAGAGGUAGAUGAUCUCGGAGGCCCAAGUUGCAACAGGGCGGCGCGCCGUGAUCCCCUUUUGACUCCGAUUCGAUUCCCACUGCAAUUCGAUUUGAUCUCCUCGCAACUCGGAUCGGUCGCGCCAAUCCACCCCAUAAAUCCAUCCACGCACACCCACCAACAGACGAAGCAACGAUUUAUGAUCUUGAUCUUGAAGACGAAGAAUUUAUGACUUGAGCUUCAUCUUGAUCCACCAAGAGUCGGUCCGAUUUGGGAUCGAUCGGGAAGACGAAGCAGCGAUUUGUGAGGCAAUCGAAUUGGGAUCGAUUGACGAAGGUCUUGAAGACGAAGCAGCGAUUUGAUUUGACAGGCAUAGGCUGCUCGCAAGACCAAGGUAUAGUCUUGAAGAUCGAUCCAUGGCCGACUCCUCCCGAUUACGGCUACCCGUCCUUUGUCCUCGUCGAUCCAAAGGCCUACUUCGCCGACUGCAGGAACGCCUUGUGCGAUAUGAAGGCCCCCAAUCUCCACGGCCAACUCCAGGUCACCUUCUGCGCCGUCGCCCCGCCGCUCGUCUCCUACUUCUGCGUCCACGCCACCCACAUGGACCACACCGAGUUCGCCGUCGAGCCCUUCAUCAUCGCCACCGAGACCGACAGCGGCCUCGUCCUCGUCCCCGGUGACCAUCCAACCGAUGUCCAGGCUUCCCAUAAUCGCCACUACUUCGUCUACGACGCCUGCCACCGCCAACUUUACCACCUCCCGCAACCCGACUUGUACCACGAAAUCAACAUGUUUUCAUGCGCAAGCCCAACAACCGCCCCAAAGGCACCGGCACCGGCACCGGCACCAUCAACGAUGGCUUAAACCUAGGCCCCCAUGGACCUGGACAGGCGGAGGCCGGUCACUUCGUCGUUGCCGCACAAGCUCACAUGUUCUGGGGUGAAAAACCUCCUCAGCUCUGCAUCUACCACUCUGCUACCAAGGCCUGGAGCAAGAAGCCGGUGGUGGUACAUUCAUCUCCAGAAGACCACUUAGACAUGCACCGUAUGCAGGAGCCACUCCUCCAUUGGUCUUUGAAGCAAUUAGUGUUGCUGGAGCUGCGGGUGUAAUUUGACUUCCAAAGAUGCAUGCUACUGUGAUGACAUUAUUGCACCACAAACCGACACCGCGCGGGGCUACAUGUCUCCGAUGGUACGGUGAGCACAACACUAUGAGAAUGGAUAUGCAUGCGCGCGUGUGGCUGCGAGGCAUGAAAGAGAAAUAACGGGUCAAUCUAACGGUCAUGAUCAUGUCAAUCUAGCGGCUAGGGAGGCGGCUGAGGGAUCAUCCGGUUGGUUCCUAGCACUGGCCAAAACCUCCUCAGCUCUGCAUCUAUCACUCUGCUACCAAGGCCNNNNNNNNNNNNNNNNNNNNNNNNNNNNNNNNNNNNNNNNNNNNNNNNNNNNNNNNNNNNNNNNNNNNNNNNNNNNNNNNNNNNNNNNNNNNNNNNNNNNNNNNNNNNNNNNNNNNNNNNNNNNNNNNNNNNNNNNNNNNNNNNNNNNNNNNNNNNNNNNNNNNNNNNNNNNNNNNNNNNNNNNNNNNNNNNNNNNNNNNNNNNNNNNNNNNNNNNNNNNNNNNNNAUCUCCAGAAGACCACUUCACAACCAAGACAUUCACCAUUGGAGGACCCCAAGGGGCACCGUGGCCUGGGUGGAUCUCUGGCACAACAUCGUCUUCUGCGACGUGCUCGCCAGGCACCCCAAGCUCACCUGCCUCGAUCUGCCACCGAGCAUCAGGCCCGGCCCCGACGUGGGGAUUGGUGAUCCAAGGUCUCUUCGCAACAUUGCGGUCCUUGGCAACACCAUCAAGUAUGUCGAGAUGCUGCCUCACCCUGACAGAAGCUCCUCUAACCCCCCCCCCCCCCCCCNNNNNNNNNNNNNNNNNNNNNNNNNNNNNNNNNNNNNNNNNNNNNNNNNNNNNNNNNNNNNNNNNNNNNNNNNNNNNNNNNNNNNNNNNNNNNNNNNNNNNNNNNNNNNNNNNNNNNNNNNNNNNNNNNNNNNNNNNNNNNNNNNNNNNNNNNNNNNNNNNNNNNNNNNNNNNNNNNNNNNNNNNNNNNNNNNNNNNNNNNNNNNNNNNNNNNNNNNNNNNNNNNNNNNNNNNNNNNNNNNNNNNNNNNNNNNNNNNNNNNNNNNNNNNNNNNNNNCCCCCCUCCUAUCGUUGGGAGGUGGCAGCAUGGAGCAUACACAAGGCACGUCGGUCCUGGCCCAAGGACUGGCACGCCGAAUGCAAGCUCGAUUCCACCCAUUUAAAGGUUGAUGACGGUUCUGGUACAAUAGCGUCUACCUUCCCAACCUUGUCGACUCUCCACGUUGGCCUGCCCACCUUCAGCCUGCAGAAUGAUGCCAUUUUUUACUUCCUCGCCAAGGUUGACUAGCGCCAAAGCGAGCACACAGCUUGGGUGCUUGUUGUUGACAUGCAGACCAAGACUGUCACGCAAGCCGUCCAGUUUUGUGCCGAGAGGACUCUUGGUUUAGCCCGAGGAUUUGAAGCAAGUAGCUUCUCGGCAUAUCUCAAAGCGUAAUAUUUUUUUUGUUUGAUUGAAGAUUGUAGCUUAUUUGUACUGAUGCCUUACCGUCUGUUACUUGCAGUACAAAAAGGGUGUUACUAUAUACAUAUGUGCGUAAAAAAUAAAACUUAGCUAGGUUGAAAGACUUACGUGGAUUUUUUAGGGCAUGAUAACGCGCAACGGCUUUCGCGCUGGUUGCUCAAUCCGUUGCUUCUUUGGUUCGAGGUUGAGCUCACCCUCCGCCCUACGUGAGUAUCAGUUUUCUUCCUAAGCUACCAACGUCCACCUAUAAUGCGCUUGUCCUUUUUGGCUUGUAAAAGGUUCCAUAGUCUAAUCAUGGACAUAUCUGGUUUUUUAGGUUAAAUAAAUAAGUUUUGCGAAGUAUAAGUCGACUUAGACUUCGUUAUGUCUCAAUCAAUCGAUACUAUGCCUUUGAUCUUGCAUGGAGAUCCGUUUUUCAAUAAAUGGCGCUUUAUUAACUUAAAAUAUAGCAUCGAGCAGAUACAAAACAGAAAGAGCAACACCCGGUCUUUGCAUAAUUAGGAUGCACACAACCAUCAAACGAACAGUCUCACAAAGAUUAUAAAAUGACAAAGUGGCAACAGUAAAGUCAUAUGAGACAGAAACUAUGCCUAUGUCGAUGAAGAAGGUGGGCCGAUACGGAGAGUAUUUUAUCAUCCAUGUUGGAUAAAAACCUUCCUGGCCACCCGCUCUAACCGCAUAUACACCGUUUUGAACAGUGAUUGGCACUCCACAUACGAAACGAGUGCGUACAACGGUAAAUAGCCUGCAUAGAAGAAGAGACUUUGCAAUUAAAAACAUAAUUAUUUCUACAUAGCCAAAACGGCCAUAAUAAGGAAGACCCUCCCACCCGUAUUAGCGUACUAAAAAUAUUUUGUAUUCCGUCAAGCCAUUGGCCAUAUAUAUUGGCAAGAUUUGUUGGUGGAUACAUAUUUGACGCUAUUUGGAUGACUGGUCAUGUGAAACGCGCAAAUUUGCAUUGAAUUGAUUGUCUCGUCAUGAGUAUAAAAAAUACACGUCUUGCUUCCUUUCUAGUUGCGUCGAAUGAGGUUGCCUUUAGUUAGCACAACUCCUCUCUGGAGAUACCACAUGAAAAUAUUAACUUUUAGUGGCAUCUUAACUUUCCAUAUUUGGUUAUCAUUGUCCACUGGAAUGUUUUUGUGCGAGACCGUACGAUACAUAGAGUCAACGGUGAAGGGCUUAGAUGUAGUAAACACAUCCCGUCCUUGUGUCAAGUUAAUCGUAUCCAGACAGGAUAGAAGAUGUUGUCGUGACACAUGACGGGGGCCAAUCAAACCCCUCCCGCGAAUUUUGGGGGGCCCGACGAUCCAGCACGGUAUCCAACGGUCAGACCCGGUGGGGGGGGGGGGGNNNNNNNNNNNNNNNNNNNNNNNNNNNNNNNNNNNNNNNNNNNNNNNNNNNNNNNNNNNNNNNNNNNNNNNNNNNNNNNNNNNNNNNNNNNNNNNNNNNNNNNNNNNNNNNNNNNNNNNNNNNNNNNNNNNNNNNNNNNNNNNNNNNNNNNNNNNNNNNNNNNNNNNNNNNNNNNNNNNNNNNNNNNNNNNNNNNNNNNNNNNNNNNNNNNNNNNNNNNNNNNNNNNNNNNNNNNNNNNNNNNNNNNNNNNNNNNGGGGGGGGGGGGGGGUGAUAGAGGAGCGGCAAUAAUGAAUUUACGGUUUGCCCCGGAAUAGAUGAGCUUGGAAUCAGCUAUCCCCGGGUACAUCCUGCACAGGCUUUUCUUUCUGCUUAGCUUGUGUCAACCCGGCAUGUACAUUUUACUUGGAUUUCCAUCUUCCCUGCAACAAGUGCCUAAUAGCUAUUCACUAUCUUCUUCCUAGCUCAUCAACGGGAUGACAUAGGCAAAUAAUAUGUGGGCUCCUAAUUAAAUUUGUCGGCCACUGACCACUAACAAAAUCGGGUGUUUGGUCUAGUGGUAUGAUUCUCGCUUCGGGUGCGAGAGGUCCCGAGUUCGAUUCUCGGAACACCCCCAUUUUGUUUAUUAUUUGUGUUGGUAUUGUUGGCGGUUGGACCGAAUCUGCCAACAGUUCAGCCAAAUUUGACCGAAAUUUAUCAGGGCUGCCUUUUUGUUUUUCCUUAUUCUGAUUCGGAACGAGGCCGCUGCAUCGAUCGACUAAUGGACGCAUGCAGCCAUGGUGCUUUCCACAUGUGAAUCCAGCAUGCAAUAACGGAUGUCAACAGGUCCUUGUGCCGUACGUGGUUGCGUUGCGUCAAACUAAAUGCUGAUGACUCUAUUUGAAUGGUGGUGAAAAACAUUAUUACCAACAGAAUAAAUAUGCCUACUAUGAAAAUAUCCGUCAUGCUUCAAAAGAGUGAGCAUUAUAUAUUAGACUAGCUAGCCUCCUUGGCUCCAGGUGAAGGCAUGAGAUGCAUGCAUGAUCUCUCUUCUUUCUGCUCUAGCGUACGAGCAUUCGACUUGACUAGCAACAACUCACCAAGCCCUGAGUUAUCACUUCUUUAGGAGGCAUAACAAGAGACGAGGUCGCUAUGACAAAUCAACGACGGCGUUGUACGUUAGCAGAAGGCCCCAACACUGACAAAAAUCUAUGAGAAUUUGAAGGGUUGUGGCUGGGAAAUAACGAUAUUCACAGUUGUGCGUGGAACCCCUAUUAGCGUCUAUAGUUAGGUUGAGUAGAUCCUUCGUGUGUUCUGGCCUUGUGCUUGUGGGUAGUAUAGCUGAAAGGGAAUUCAAAACUCACAUUUGUUCUUAUAUUUUUACCCUUAUAUGUUCCCUCAAAUUCAAAAAAAGAACGUCAAAGCGCGUACUUUAAAUCCUUAAAAUGGUAAAAAAAAAUCAAGUUCAUGGUGAUGUUGUGCAUGUGUGAAUCCUAAAUCUUUUUUAUUCAUCUUCCAAAGGGAAAGAGUAGAUCUAAAAAUGGUUGAAAAAGGUCAAGGUUUUUUUAUUCAUCUUUAGGCCUUUAGUCCUUUCACUCAUGAGUACUCCUACAAGGGCUCUAAUGGGCUGGCCCAUUAAUGUUCAUUUUUUCAUAAAUAAAAGUUAUUUUCGUUUCAAAGCAAUUUGAUGUUACCAAAAUAUAUCAACUAAUGUAUUAUGAAAAUAAAGAAAAAUAAAAUUAUUAUGAAUGUUUAAAAGUGUACGUGUAUUUAAAAUGUAUAAAAAGAAUUAAUAUUAACCAGUUUUAAAAUAAUGUUCAUCAAUUAAUAAAGUUUCACGGAUUUUAAGAAAUUCUAUUAAUUUAAGCAAUAUUGAUGAAUUUUAGUUUUUAUUAAUUUAUCAAAAUAUUUAAAUUUUACAUAUGUCCACAAAGAUUAAAAAAUAUUAUUGUAUUAAAAAGAAGAAGAAGAAAAAUAAACAGAAAGAGGAGAAGAGAAAUGAAAUGGUAACUGAAAUGUUGGAGCAAAUAUGAAAAAACAUACCUAAAAGAAAAGGAAAUAGAAAAAAAUGGCAGAACGGUUGAAAACACAAGAAAAUACACAAAACAAUUACACCUAUGUAAUUCGUCCAUCUUGGUAAGAAUAGGAGAAAUUUCAUUUUACCCAUUCAUAAGUAUACAAUACAGGCCCAAAAACAUAAUAGGGAGCAACUAUCUAAGCAGCGCUCCUUUUGGAGCCUCCUAAGUCUCACUAUCAGGCGCCAUCAUUUGGCGUGUUCUAUGGAUUUUAUUUUAUUUUGCAUGUGUUUUCGACUUUUUAGAUGAUUUUUUUCUAAUUAUUUUGGUGUUUUCGUUUUUCAUUGGUCUUUCUUAGCUUAUGGACGAAAAAAAAUCUAAAAACAAUUGCGUGACAAAACACGUUUUUUUCUUCCUCGAGAGACACGGUUUUGCUUCUACGAGAGCCAUCGUGCCUCUCCGAAACAAAAAAAAACGUGUUUUUCCUUCCUCGAGAGGUGCAUUUUAUCUUCCGCAAGAGGCAUGGUCGUGAUUCCUGGAAACAAUAAAAUGUGUUUUCUUUUUUUCCCUUUCUCUAGAGGCACAGAUUUGCUUUCGCGACUGUGCCUCUAAAAAAAAGAACAUACUUUUUUUUCUUUGAGAGGCACAAUUUUGCUUUUGUGAGAGGCACGAUUUGCUUCCGCGAGAGGCACGGCUGUGCCUCUCCAAAAAAAAGGGUGUUUUCUUUAGAGGCAUAGUUUUUUCGUGAGUUUUCUUUUCUUCAAAAUCUAUCAACACGGGAUCUAGUUUUAAAGAUCUCGACGCGAGGAAUCCUACGAUGAAAAAGACUCAAGAUUUGAACACACGGUUUAAGAAAAAAAUAUUUUAAAAUAACGGAUCUACGAAAAUUAACUCACCGAUUGCGACAAGUGGCACACAUGCAAAUGCGUCACUUGUCGCAAGCUGAGGAGGUGGUACCGACCUUUGAAAAAGUACUUCUUAAUUAAUGAUUUCGAACAAAAUAGGCUAGGCUGUUUGAGGCAUGAUGGAUGUGGGUGCUCCUAUUCUGCACCUUCUGCUCCAUGUUAUACAUAUAAUGCGCAUGUCAAUUGACAUGGGCUGACCCAAUAACUUUCUCACUCACGCUCUUGUUCUUUUUCUUUUUGCUCGCCUUAUUUCCGCCCCUCCGUUAUCUGGAGAAAAAGGCUGCCGGUUUUCUUGUUAUUUCAGGAGAAAAAAAUGAUGAAACCAGAACGCAAAAAAUGUUCCUGAUGUCAAAUAUAUUGGUGAAUUUGAAAAGUAUUACCAAGACAUUGACAAAGGUGCGAAACAAGAUUUGCCAAAAUAUAAUACAAGGUACGACACGAAUCUCAAUGCUGAUGAUCCAAUGGCCAUGAACUUGACCAAGACUUUGCUAAACCUCAGUUGACCGACUGACUGAGGUCUAGCCAAACAGUCUUUCUUAUUACCACACACGACUUAUGAUUCAGACAGUUGGCCUGCAACCGUUGAAAAACAAAUUAAGUCUUAUACAGCUGGCCGGCCUCUCUUAAUUCUUACGGCACCUACCUACGUACGUACCGCCGACCAGCAAGGGGGUCGACCGGAUGUGGAAUAUCCCGCCAAAAUGACACAUUUUUGCCCCUAGUUACCUUCGCUCCUGCCAUGUCGAGGUGCGUUCCCCAGCACUAGCCUCCAAGUAAAUUUCACGAGGGAGACAAAAUAAGCACAUGCAUCGCUUCCUCUCAUUCUAAAUAUAAGAUCUUUUAAUGAUUUCAUCAUGAACUACAUACGAUAUAAAAUGAAUGAAUCUACACAUAAAAUUAUGUCUAUAUAUAUAUAUAUAUAUAUAUCUGUAUGUAGUCACCGAUGAAAUCUUUAAAAUGUCUUAUAUUUAGGAACGGAUGGAGUAGAUGGAACGGCUGCUUCCGUCAUGUAUACUUUAUUUUUCGUCUUUGCCAAGGGUAUUAUUCUGUCGUGUGUGUUUGUCCAUGUGUGUUACUUAAUUUGUAAAAGUAUGCCCGUGUGUGUUGAGUCGAUGAGAAAUGUAUGACCCGAGUCGUGCGCGGAAUAUGCUGCAUGCCAGCCAACCAGCACGAGGCAGACGGAGCCUACGAGCGACGACGACAGUUUUCCCUCGUUGCCGCCGUCCUCCGGUUCAUCGUCAUUAUCUCCGGCCAGACCACAGUUAUAAGAACCACGGCGAGCAAGCAGCCAAGCACGGAAGUUGAGUUGAAAGUUAAUUGAGACACACACACGGUCUCAUUCUCGUCUCAUAAAAGCGCCCUAUAUCGAGAGAGGGGAGGAAAAAGUUUGGGACGAAGAUGGCGGAGAAUGGGGCGGCGGGCGGAGGAGGGGGGCAGAACCUUGCCGUGCUCGACGCGCUGGACUCGGCGCGCACCCAGAUGUACCACAUGAAGGCCAUCGUGAUCGCCGGCAUGGGCUUCUUCACCGACGCCUACGACCUCUUCUGCAUCACCACCGUCUCCAAGCUGCUGGGCCGCCUCUACUACCCGGACACCAACCUCGGCAAAAACCCGCCCAUGCCCGGCACCAUGCCCGUGCGGAUCAACAACAUGGUCACCGGCGUCGCGCUCGUCGGCACCCUCAUGGGCCAGCUCGUCUUCGGCUACUUCGGGGACAAGCUCGGCCGCAAGCGCGUCUACGGGAUCACGCUCGUCCUCAUGGCCGCGUGCGCCAUCGGCUCCGGCCUCUCCUUCGGGAGGGACCCCGGCGCCGUCAUCGGCACGCUCUGCUUCUUCCGCUUCUGGCUCGGCUUCGGCAUCGGCGGGGACUACCCGCUAUCCGCCACCAUCAUGUCCGAGUAUGCCAACAAGAAGACCCGUGGCGCCUUCAUCGCCGCCGUGUUCGCCAUGCAGGGCGUCGGCAUCAUCUUCGCGGGGCUCGUCUCCAUGAUCGUCUCCGGCAUUUUCCUCCACUACAACCCCGCGCCCACGUGGAAAGAGGACAAAUACUACUCAGUUCAAGAUCAGAAGCCCGCGGCGGACUACAUGUGGCGCAUCGUGCUCAUGCUCGGGGCGUUCCCGGCGGUGGCCACCUUCUACUGGCGGAUGAAGAUGCCCGAGACCGCCAGGUACACGGCCCUCAUAGAGGGAAACGCCAAGCAGGCUACCAACGACAUGCAGAAAGUGUUGGAGAUUCGCAUCGACGAGGAGCAGGAGAAGGUCGCCAAGUUCAGGGCGGCGAAUGAAUACUCUCUGUUGUCCAUGGAGUUCGCCCGGCGUCACGGCUUGCACCUCAUCGGCACCACAACCACCUGGUUCCUCCUCGACAUCGCCUUCUACAGCCAGAACCUGACACAGAAGGACAUCUUCCCAGCCAUCAAACUCACCGGCGGCGCAGACACCAUGAACGCCCUGAGAGAGGUGUUCGUGAUAUCACGAGCCAUGUUCCUCAUCGCCCUCUUCGGCACUUUCCCUGGCUACUGGGUCACCGUGGCCCUCAUCGACAAGAUGGGAAGGUACGUAUCUACUGAUCCCUCCAUUUCAUAAUUAAUUAUGAAACGGAGGAAGAAUAUAUAUGCAGACGCAUGCAGUCCAUGCGCCACCGACCGACUUGGUUUUACAUUUAGACAUCAUUUGAACAUCCGGCCGUAAACUGAUUGCAUUGCAGGUACUUGAUCCAGCUCCUUGGUUUCUUCAUGAUGUCCCUCUUCAUGCUAGUGAUGGGCAUCAAAUACGAAUACCUCAAGAGCAACGGCCACGCCCUCUUCGCCAUCCUCUACGCGCUCACAUUCUUCUUCGCAAACUUCGGACCAAACAGCACCACCUUCGUGCUGCCGGCCGAGCUAUUCCCGACGCGCGUCCGCUCCACAUGCCAUGCCAUCAGCGCGGCCUCGGGCAAGGCGGGCGCCAUCGUCGCCGCCUUCGGGGUGCAGACCCUCACCCUCAAGGGCGACCCCAAGCACAUGAAGCAGGCGCUCAUCAUCCUCUCUGUCACCAACAUGCUCGGCUUCUUCUUCACCUUCCUCGUCCCCGAGACGAUGGGCCGGUCGCUCGAAGAGAUCUCCGGCGAGGACGGCAACGUCGCUGGCGCGGCCGCUGGGCAUGUCGAUAAGGAUGUUGAAAAGGCCCCUCCUUCAAGCACCGAAUGGCAGCCGCCAUCGUCGAUGAAUGCAUGAUGAGAAUUUUAUCUUCUAUACCAACUAGCGAAUUGGAAAAGGGACAAGAAUAAUGGCAACCAGCUGCAUGAUGCUACAUAAGUUGCCAGGUAGUACUUGCUUUGAGAGUUUUAUCUACGGGUAUAUUGCACUAUUGCUUGUGUGUGAUACCAUUGUAUUAAGGUUGUAUUGGAUUUUAUGUGUGGAUGUAUGACCAUUGGCUUGGGAUUUCCCUUCUCAAUAAUCGUCAAUAUAUAUGUACCGCUACAUAUAAUCAUGUCAAGUUUACAGAAUUAAUAUAACCAUGUCAAGUAUGCAUCUGUGUUUCUUUUCCAUUUCCUUUUUUGCGCGACAGAGAUAAAUUAUAUUACAUCUCUAUAAGUUAAGGAACUGGUAUUUUUCUCGUUCCCAAAUCUCCAACCGAGCAGUUAGAAGGAGCAAACUACAAAGAUUGUACUCACCACAGUACGAUACUCAAAUAGCGUUACACAUUCAUUGUUGGUAAAAAAAACAUUGGCGACAGAAAGGGGUUGUCACCUAUGGUGCUGCCAGGAAAGGUCUUUGCUGACAGAUAUUUCUGCUUGGAUAUUGUAUGAAGGAAGAGAGAAGAAACUUACACCAACUAGUGCCCCUUAGUGAUUUUGGUGGUUUGAAGACUUAUAGGUUAAGUAUCUAAUAUGUUUGUGAGUAUACACAGGAUCUAUAAGUCAUUGAGGAGUUUGAGAUAUUUGAAGAAUAUCGACCCCUAAAAAUAUAUGUCUUCAUUUGAAGAAAUUGGUCUGAAGCUGAAGAAAUGAAUCACGAGGAAUCUGCGAUGAAAUUGAUAUUCCUCAUGAAGAUAUUGAUAUUGAGAAGAUCGGUGGUUCCUGAAGAAAAUCAUUUUGAAGAAAUUGAAGCGUGAAGAUUUACGUUUUCUGUUUUACUUUCUUCGCAUUUGAUGAAUAGGAACACCGUACUGUUAAAGGGGGUCAAAGUAACGCUAUGGAAUGAAUUUCCUCAUGAUGCUCAACCCAAGCCAAAAUCCUACCAAAAGCCUCAAGUGAGGAAUAUGAGUGACAUGAGGACUCUCACAGCUGAAGGUCCCGACCGUUUCGAUNCCCAGGCUAUAAAUAGCCGCCCCCCACAACCACUAGCUGGUUGGCUGCUCCGUUAGAAACUAACACUUGUCAUAAGAGCAACCCAAAUUUUUCAGAGCCUACGAAGUAAAUCAUCAGUGAGGAAAUACACUACCCACCGAAACCACAAACCAAACCUAGUGAUUGAGCAUCACUGAAGAAGUUGUUCCUGUGUGGGACUGAAGCCUUUUACCUUUGAGGACUGUGCAUCCUCCAGACGGUUAGGCGUCAUGGUCUAGAGCAAUCCAGCAGUCAAUUGUGGAUCGCCGGGUGACCGAGUUCGUGAGGGUUUGGAAGUCUGCCCUGAAGACUUACCACGAGUGUUGGGCGAGGACUGUGUGUCCUUAGCUCAAGGAGAAUACGGUAGGGACUGUGUGUCCCGGGACUGGGUGUCCUUUGGUUUCAAUACCAAGCCGCUCCAAACCAGAUGUACAACUGUCACAGCAAUUGGAACUGGGUCAUCAACAACAGUCUUCACCAAGAAUCGGGUUCUAAUUCCUCAACUCUUUACAUUUUCUGUAUUAUGUUUUGAUGACAUUCACUGUGACUGUUUGAUCUCUGGUAUAUUGUGGAAAAUGGUGUCCCCAUCAUUUCUGCUAGUGUCACUGCAGCUGAUGUGAAGAAAUUCAAGCAACUCGAUUCUCAAGCGAAGAACAUCAUCUGUGGUCAUCUAAGCCCUGGCCAGUUUGGAAGAGUAAGUGCCUUAGGCUCUGCUACACUGAUCUGGGAGAGACUGUGCAAGGUAAAUGAAGGAGUAUCAACCCAACGUGACUCUCGUGUUGAUAUUCUUCGCAAUCUCUUCAAUCGCUUCAAGAGACAUGACAAUGAAAGCUGCCAAGACACCUUUGAUCGCCUCACUGACAUAUCAAAUGAACUGCAAGCACUAGGAGCUCGAGACAUCACUGAUCAUGAAGUUGUGAAGAAACUGCUGAGAUCUUUGGAUUCUUCAUUUGACACUUUAGUUCUGAUGAUUCAAGAAAGACCAGACUACAAGAUGCUAGAUCCUGCUGAUAUCCUCGAAAGGCUAAAUACUCAUGAAUUCCAGCUAGAAGAAAAGAGAGAUCUAUAUGGACAAAGCUAUUCCAGACCACGUGCACUGAAGGCAAGAGCAAUUUCCUCAUCUGAAGAAGAAGACACAGAUGACAGCAGUUGUGACCCUGAAGAAUUUGGUCAGGAACUUGCUAUGCUUGUGAGGAAAUUCCAGAGAUUUACACGACGAGGCCAGUUCGGUAAAUCAUCAAGAAGAGACAUGAGGAAAUCAGAAUCUGCAUCUGAGGACUACAAGAAACGGACCUGUCACAAGUGCAAGAAAUCAGGUCAUUACAUUGCUGAUUGUCCUCGCUGGGGAAAGGAAUCAAAGAAGAAGAAAUACAAGGAUGACAGUUCUGAUGACUCAAAGAAGAAGAAGAAAUCUUCAAAAUCCUCAUCUUCAAAGUCCUCCUCACACAAGAAGACUAGCUUCAGAAAGGCUCGGGCACUUAUUGGCAAGGAAAUGGAUUCCGAGGCAGAAUCAGAAGAAUGUGAUGAAGAAGAAGGCUCUGGAGAAGACUCAGAAUCCGGACAGGCUAGUCUUGCACUAGCAACCAAUUUCGUCAGCAAGUCAAUCUUCAAUCUUGAAGAAAAUGAGUGCACCAUCCAUACUGAUGACUAUGCUAAUGACUUCGCUCCAACCUAUUGCUUCAUGGCAAAAGGUUCAAAGGUAUCAAAUAAUGCAUCCUCCUCUGAUUCAAGUGACUGUGGAAAUGAUGAUUACAAAAAACCCAGUUACAGUAAACUUGCCAUCAUUGCCACUAAACAACAAACUGCUCUGGAAAAGCUUCAAAAACUGCUAGACAAAAGUGAUGAUCUGUUGAAUGAUGAAAUGAAUCUUAAUCAAAUCCUCGCUGAUGACAUGAAAAAACUUCAGUCUAGAUUUGAUAUUCUUCAGGAUCGUUAUGAUACACUCCUCACUGAUCAUGAGAAGCUUUCCUACGAAUUUCUUCAAAGGAAGCUUGAUCUUGAGAAGCUGAGGAUGUCUUAUGAUGAUCUUCGUAUGGAAAAUGAUUCAUUACUAGCUCAACAGAUUAGCGCUAGUCAAGUUGAAUUUAUUCCUCUAUGUCUUAAAUGCAUUGAACGUGAAACUGCAAAUUCCUCACCAGAAUCAUCAAAUGCUACAAAUUCUUCAACUGCACCUGCUGUGUCUAUUUUCCUCACUUGAGGAAAACACAAAUGUUACUGAUGAAAAUGCAGGGUUGAAGGAAUUGUAUGUGACAGACAUGUACAAAAGCCUCAAAGGACACCAAAUCCUUUGUGAUGUGCUCAAAAAGCAGAUCUUGAACAGGAACCCAAGGAAAGAAGGAAUUGCCUUUGAGAGAAAACUAAAUGCUGAUGGAUCUUAUUGGAAACUUGAGCAGUAUCCCAAAACCUCAUGGGUUGCUGCUACUGGGCCUCCUUUUGACCCAUCUAAUCUAACUGGCUUCUCAUGUGAAUUAUCCUAUUCCUCGGAUGAUUCAUUUGAUUCCAACUAUAAACUGUUCAAAAAUCAAUCUGGUGAAGUAUUUGCUCGAUAUGUUCGAACUAACUGCAGGAAUGGCCCUCCUGUGAGGAAAAUCUGGGUUCCCAAAAGUUGUUUGAAAAUCUUCAAGUGAAUGUUGUCAUGACAUCACCUCUGAAGAAUCUAAACCCCAGAUCAAAUUCCUCAGGAGGACCAAAGUCUUCAAGAGGAUCAAAAUCCUCAACUGGUCAAAACUAUGCUCGUACCCAUGCUUAUGCGUCUAACAUGCAGGGAAACUACAAGGAAUAUGAUUAUGAGUGCUACUCCUCAAAUCAUUAUGUUCAUAAAUCCUCAAACCAGUUCUCUGCAUACUCAUAUGAGUACUCUAACCCCCCCUACUGUUAAGAGAAGUGCAUUAGCUUCAAUGCCACAUUUCUCAUAUGGUGCUCGCAGGAUGAUGAACGCUUUGCCACCUCUUCAGAUGUGGGUGGUGAAGAAAUCAAACUAAUCACUUCUGCAGGUCAGGUCUCCACAUGAAAAUCAUCAUCUGAAGAACUUGCUGGAGACCUGAGGAAAUGCUUGAUAGGACGCAAGCUAAUGAUUGAUGAAAUAGAAAUAUUUCACACGUCCUUACAUUUCUGUUAUGAUGAAAUUACUGAACUGAUGAAAUUAGUAUCAUAUUCUUCAAAUCUGAAGCAUAUGAGAUGGUAAGAUGUACUAGUUCAUCUGCAGGAAGACAAACCCAAAAAUACUGAGUGGGUUCUCGAUAGUGGCUGCACACAUCACAUGACUGGUGAUAAAAGCUUACUGAUGAAUAUGCCACUAACUCCAUCACCUCUGAAGCAAAUCACAUAUGCUGACAAAGGUAAAAGCAAGGUAUUGGGACUUGGCAAAGUAGCUAUUUCCAAGGAUAGGCAUAUGGUAGAUGCUUUGUGACCUGUUGAAUCUCUUGGUUUUAACCUCAUGUUAGUCUCGAUGCUUUGUGAUCUUGAUAUGAUUGUUAUCUUUGGUAGAUAUAGAUGUGUAGUCAUCAUGGAAUCUGACAGAUCCAAAGUCUUCGAAGGUGUAAGAAGAGGGGAUUUGUACAUUGUUGACUUCUCUAUAGGUCCUCAACCAGCCACUUGCUUACUAGCAAAAACCUCACAAGGAUGGUUGUGGCACCGAAGACUAGGUCAUGCAGGCAUGAGGAAUUUGCACACACUUGCAAAGAAGAAGCAUGUCAUUGGCAUCGAAUCAGUCAAAUUCCUUAAGGAUCAUCUGUGCGGUGCUUGUGAAUCUGGGAAAAUGACCAGAUCCAAGCAUCUCUCCAAAACCAUCAUGACCACUACACGUCCAUUUGAAUUGCUUCAUAUGGAUUUAUUUGGACCUACUCACUAUGCAACACUAACCAAUGCAGCAUCUCUAUAUGGCUUUGUCAUAGUUGAUGAUUAUUCCAGAUACACUUGGGUGCAUAUUAUAGUGUAUAAAACUGAAGUGCAGGAAAUCUUCAAACGAUUUUCUUCAAGGGCCUCGACGAACUUCGGCAUCAAGAUCAAACAUAUCAGGAGUGAUAAUGGAACCGAGUUCAAAAACACUGGUCUUGAUGAUUAUCUUGAUGAACUUGGUAUUACUCACGAAUUGUCUGCUCCUUAUACUCCUCAGCAGAAUGGUGUCGUCGAAAGAAAGAACGGGACUCUGGUUGAAAUGGCAAGAACUAUGCUUGAAGAAUAUCAGACUCCUCGUCGCUUCUGGCCUGAAGCAAUCAACACUGCAUGUCAUAUCAUCAACAGGGUAUAUCUUCACAAAUUCCUCAAGAAAACCUCAUAUGAACUCCUCACUGACAAGAAACCCAAUAUAAGUUAUUUCAAAGUCUUCGGUGCAAAAUGCUGGAUUAGAGAUCCUCAUCAUAGCUCAAAAUUUGCACCUAAGGCACAUGAAGGUUUUAUGCUCGGUUAUGGAAAGGACUCGCACACCUACAGAGUCUUCAACAACUAUCACAACAAAGUUGUUGAGACUGUAGAUGUGCGGUUCGAUAAAACUAAUGGCUCGCAAAGAGAGCAAUUGCCUUCUGAUCCAGAUAAGUUGUCUCCUGAAGAAGCAAUAAAGCUUAAGCCUACUGAAGACAUUGUCCCCACUGAGGAAAUUGACGAAGAAACGAUCCCCAUCGCUAAUGAAAGCCAAGAAGAUGCUCCUGAGGAAAUUGCAACAGCACCACUUCCUCAGCCCAGACAAAAUCCUCAACCAGCUCAUCCGAGGAUUGCAAAUGAAGUAGAACUUGACAAAAUCCUCAACGACAUCAACGCGCCAGGUCCUCUCACUCGCUCAAAAGCUUCACACUUAGUUAACUUUUGUGGGCAUUUUUCCUUUGUAUCCAUCACAGAACUCUCAAAAGUAGCUGAGGCUUUUCUGGAACCGGAGUGGAUCAUGCAAGACGAACUUCUUCAAUUCAAGCUGAAUGACGUAUGGGAGCUCGUCAAACGACCAGAUCCUCGCAAGCAUAACAUCAACGGCACCAAGUGGAUUUUCCGAAACAAGCAAGAUGAGGACGGUCAAGUGGUGAGGAAUAAGGCACGACUUGUAGCCCAAGGCUACACCCAGGUUGAAGGAAUAGAUUUCGAUGAAACUUUUGCACCUGUUGCUAGACUUGAAGCUAUUCGAAUUCUACUUGCUUAUGCUAAUCAUCAUAACAUCAUCUUAUAUCAAAUGGAUGUGAAAAGUGCAUUCCUCAAUGGUAAGCUUGAGGAAGAAGUAUAUGUUGCUCAGCCCCCAGGUUUUGAGGAUCCAAAGAAUCCAGAUAAAGUCUUCAGACUCAAAAAGGCUCUGUAUGGCCUCAAGCAAGCCCCUCGGGCAUGGUAUGAUACAUUGAAGGAAUUCCUCAUGAAGAAAGGCUUCAAACCUGGUUCACUCGAUCCAACUCUUUUCACAAAAUCUUAUGAUAAUGAGCUGUUUGUAUGUCAAAUAUAUGUUGAUGACAUCAUAUUUGGUUGUACUGACAAAAGAAACAGUGAUGAAUUUGCCUAUAUGAUGAGUGAAGAAUAUCAGAUGUCCAUGAUGGGGGAGCUGAAAUUCUUCUUAGGUCUUCAAAUUCGUCAACAAAACAAUGGAAUCUUCAUAUCACAGGAGAAAUACCUCAAGGAUGUUCUGAGGAAAUUCGACAUGCAUGAAUGCAAAGGUGCCAAGACUCCAAUGCCUACCAACGGUCACCUCGGCACUGAUGAAAAUGGUAAAGAUUUCGAUCAGCAGGUAUACCGUUCUAUGAUUGGCUCUUUAUUGUAUCUAUGUGCAUCUAGGCCAGAUAUAAUGCUUAGUGUUUGCAUGUGUGCACGUUUUCAAGCAAAACCGAAGGAAUCACACCAUAAGGCUUUGAAACAUAUUCUUCGAUACUUAGCUCACACACCAGCACUAGGAUUGUGGUAUCCCAAGGGCUCCAAUCUUCAUCUGGUAGGGUAUUCUGAUUCAGACUAUGCUCGUGACCGUGUGGAUCGCAAGUCAACAUCUGGCACAUGCCAUUUCCUCGGAAGAUCACUAGUUUGCUGGUCCUCAAAGAAGCAGAACUGCGUAUCACUCUCCACUGCCGAAGCUGAGUACAUUGUUGCUGGUUCUUGCUGUGCUCAAUUGCUAUGGAUGAAGCAAACCCUCAAGGACUACGGCAUCAACAUGAAGAAUGUGCCUCUCUACUGUGACAAUGAGAGUGCUAUCAAGAUUGCCUACAACCCAGUGCAGCACUCGAAGACCAAGCACAUCCAGAUUCGUCAUCAUUUUCUUCGGGACCAUGUCCUCAAGGGCAAUAUCCUCAUCGACCAUGUGAAGACUGAUGAUCAACUGGCUGAUAUCUUCACUAAGCCCUUGGAUGAGAAAAGGUUUUGCAAGUUGCGGUGUGAGCUAAAUAUCUUAGAAUCUUCAAAUGUUUUGUAAAAACAUGCACACAUCCUAACACUUAUGCAAAGUUGAUGACUUAGAUGUGCAACACAUGAUGAAACGAUUUUCUUCAACCAAUGAAGAAAGUCACUCUGAAUGUGAAGAAAUUAACGAAGAAAUUGAUCCUCAGGGUCCUACGAUAAUUGUACGCGGCGUCUGUAAUCAACAUUCUUAUAUGGUGGGUAACGCCACCGCCCAAUGUGAAAUUCCUCAAGUUGAUUUUCUUCAAAUGGUCAAUUUCCUCACAAUGCAUUUUUCUUCAAAACAGUUGUUCUUCAUUGUGAUGAUCUAUUACAAAAUCUUCAAAAAUACUUGAUGACUUUUAUUUGCAUAGGUAGACUGUGAUUUCGAGUCCUCAACAGCAUUCACUUAUUGCUAUUUCUUCAAGUUGAUGUUUCUGCUAAGUGAAUGUGAUCGGACCCUACCUUCCCUCUAUGCUAUACUUAUCCAGUCUAUUCAAUUCUUCAUAUGCGUUCUACUUGAAACUUUGUUCAAAAUCCUCAGUGCAUCCUUGUCAACUGAUGAUUUUGUAACGAAAAUCCUCAAAUCUUCAAAAAUUGUUUUCUUUAAAAAGAACAGUAACUGAACUCCACUUCCCACGAUCGGAUAACCACGAUCUCCACUAUCUCCACCGCAUCGUACGGGAGCUACACGUGUCCUGCGGAGACGUAGAGGCAAGGGCUAUUCGGUCCGAAACUUUCGCGCCAAACAGUAACUUUCGGGCUAUAAAUAUGUCCUUAACCCCUUCAGUAUCUUCUUCUUCGCCUCAUCGCUCUCCUGCCAUCACUCUCUCCAUCGAACCCUAGCGCCACCGCUGGUUGUCUUGUCGCCGGCAAGGAAGAGCUUCACUGCCUCAACCUUUUCGCCGCCAGUAUCACGCCGGAGUCGGAACAUCUACGUCCGCCGCCGCCGUAGACGUCCUCUGCUGCCAAGUUAGGGUGCAUUGGACACUUGACCGAAGAGCCUCUCCAACACCACCUUUUGUGUUCUUCGUUCGCACCUUCCAGGUUAAUAUAUCCCAUUUUUACAGCAGAUUAGAUCUGAAAUUUUACCUCUCCCAUGUGAAAUCUGUUUUUCCUCAAGAUACGAUGCACACAUGAUUCCUCAAACACUAUCCAUCACCACAAUCAUUGAUGAACUAGCUAAGCAUUUAAGAUUUUCACGAGAUUCCUCAAUUGUGCGAAUUUUUGGAUCUGUACAACUCUGGAACCCAAGAACAGUAUGCUUAAGCAAAUUCCUCAACCACUGGUUAUAUUCCUCAAACUGUCAAACUUUUUCAUUUUCUUCAAAUAUGAGAACGCAUAUGACCUCUCCAAAUUCCUCGCAACUAUACUCUGUUCACAGGUACACACAUGUCAGCUGAUGAAUCUUUCGGUUCUCAUCACAUUAACUCAUUUGCAGCGUUUCUGGAAGAAACUCUUCAAGGCUCAUCAGAAUCUUCAAGAGUUCAAAAUCAUCAGCAAAUUCCUCGUCUAAAGAAAAUGGAGGAAGAAAGGAAACAGAAGGGAGGAAAGAAACUGGAGCAGAACACAGCUGUUGAUAUUCCUGAUGACAUAUACAUGGACUAUUGCACGCCUGAUGAAGAACCUGAGACAAUGGCUAAAAGAAAAAUUAGGCUGCAGAAAAUUGAACGCAGAUGGGCAAAGGAGUGGAAGGAGUACAGGUUUGUGACCCCAAAAUAUGCGAAGAAAUUCGCUUUGAAGCCUCCUGGCAGAAGGGCUCCACUUGAGGAUCAUCAAGUAGCUCAUCCCUCAAGUCUUAUGACACUUGAUGACUACCCAGAUGAAAAAGAAAGGCAUCUGGCCAAGCUCAAGAAGCAAGCCGAAACAGCAGUGAAGAAAUUUAAUGAAUCCUCAGCUGCUGCCUCCGGUGCUUCUCAUUCCUCAGCAGCAGAAACUUCUGGCUCAGAGAUUCCUCAAAAGCAGUUUGCGCCAUCAAAGCCAAAAGCUCCAAAGCCUCAAGAGAAGUCAGGACAGGUUUCUGUCACAAAACCCUCAGCUCCAAAACCCUCAGCUCCAAAACCCUCGGUUCCAAAACCGUCAACACCAAAACCAUCAGCGCCAAAACCCUCAGCACCCAUCUCAUCUACACCAAAGUCCUCAGCUCCACCUCCAAAACCAGUACAGAAGAAAGUUGUGAAACCUACGACUGCCAGCUCCAGCUCCUCACUCCCAGCUGCAACUAGCUCGGAGACAAAGUCUUCAACACCCUUGUGAAGACUUUGGCAACUACUGAACCUGCACCUGUGCCAAGCCCCAGCAAAAUCAUCACAGUCCCGUCUGCAUCAGAGGGAAGUGAUGAGUAUGAUGAUGAAACCUUGCAAGCCAUCAUCAGGAAUAAGCAAGAACGGGUAGCACAAGCAUCAGGCAGUGCUAUUCCUCUGGCCAUGGACCCCAAGGUCCUCCUCGACUUCAUCAAUGUAUGGUAUGAAGACCCAAACACACCCAUUGAUGAUUUGAAACUUCCUCCUGGCGUCAGCCACAUGGUGGCCACCUUCAUAAACGAAGCCAAGUGGAAGGAACAGAAGGCCAAGCAGGCAAAGAUUGCAAAGGCCAGAAAGGAGAAAUUCCUCAGGCAAAAUCUCCUCAAGCUGACGCCUGAAGCAUUGGUGUCAACCCAGGCAGAGCUGCAAGUCUUGACUGACAAGUGUGACAAACUGUCAGACCGCAAAAGCAUCAAACGCAAUUUCAUCAAACUAGCCACUAGUGCUGUUGAUGACUACAACAAGCGACACCCACAACCAGCACCAACUCCUCAGCCCCUGGUUGAGCAGCCAGAAGAUGUAUCUCCUGAUGAGGAGGAAAUUCCUCAAGCUGAGGAACAACACCAAGAGCGUCGUGCUGAUGAGUCGGCCAUUGAAGAAAUCAUCACCGAGACCGCCACUGAUGAAAUUGCAACCCCUGAUGCAACUACUCCUGAUCCAGCUGCUUCACCAAAGCAGGCUGAUGACUCUGUUCCAGCUGGUUCCUCACUACCAGCUGAAGAAUCUGUAGAGUAAACACCUUCACCAAAAGCUUCAAAGGUGAAGAAGGUAAUCCCGUCUGCAUCAGACGCGAAAAAGACAAGAGCUGCUGAGAAGGAAGCGAAGAAGAGAAAAGCUUCCUCGGCAGAAGAAAAGAUUGAGGCAAAACGCCUCAAGGAAACUGAAGAAUCUGCCCCUCUGGACCCGGUGCCUCUAAAUGUUGCACCUUCAUAUGAAAUGGUCGUCACUGGUGACCAAACUACAAGGGCAGAUGAGGAAAUGAAGGAUGCUGCCUCUUAGGAGCAUACUGAUGAGGAAAUCCAGAUUGAUGAAAGUCCUCAACCUCAUGUUCCUCAGACAGAGACUACUCAAGCUUCAGCUGCAGCAGCUGAUGAAUCUGCUUCUGCCACAAAGUCAGCUGAUGAAAACCAAGCUGAAGAAAAUGUCCAGUCUGAGCACGCUCCUCCCACUGAACAGGCUGACCAAACUCCUCAAGCUGAGAAGGAAGAAGAAAUUCCUCAGCCUGAAGCUCAGCCAGAGCAGGAAAUACCAGCUGAUGAAAUUCCUCAACCUGAGGAAACUACUGAAGAAAAUGUUCCCGCCCCUGACAAUGACUUCAUUGUUCUCAACCCAGAGACUGCCAUGGUUGUUUCCGCUCCCAUUCCUCAGCACAAUAUCAAGCCAGUUCAACGCCUGUCAUUCUCGAAGCGGCCAAAGUUUCAGAAAGAAAAUUUCUUUGAGGAACGCAUGUAUUUCAUCGGAGAGAAUCCCUAUGACAAGCCUCAAAUGAGGCAUCUGAAGUUUUGGACCAGGACUCAGAUGAACUAUUAUGCUUCUGUGCUCUGUGGACGCAACAAAAUAUUUCCAACACAGGCACAUUCCUCAUGAUGAACUUGAAGAAAUUCCCUGCAUGGAACCAGUCCUCAGUGUACUCCAUGAUGCAGGUUUGCUCCCUAUGUGCUCAGACAUAUCAGGUUGGAAUAGUGAGCUUAUUCUUCAGUUCUAUGCAACUCUGCACAUCUCGGGCAAUGCUGAUGACAUCAACACUUGGGUGUUCGACUGGAUGACCCAAAACACUCACUACAAGGCUCCAGCGUCUGAACUCCUCAGAGAACUGCCCGUGCCAAUUCCUUCAGACGGGGCAGUGAAGCUUUAUGGUGAGCGUGAGCUGCCAAAUGGAAUGAUGGAAGUCCUCAUGAAGCCUUUGGCUGCAGGAAAACCCUCAAGAACCACAUUCCUCGUCCAUGAGCUCAAGUACACACCCCGGUCUGUCUACUGCAUUCUCUGCAGUGUGCUAGCGCCAAUCAAAGGCCAUCAUGAUGAAGAAGAUGUCGUCGACCUCAUGAAGAAUAUCCUCUUCAACAUCAUUCACGGUAUUCCCAUGAAUAUCCAUGAUUUCUUCUUGAGGACUUUGGCUGACAAUGCAAUGUGUCCCUAUGAUCACAAAAUUUAUGCACCAUGGAUCAUGAGAUUCCUCAGGACAAGGACAGGCAUCAACUUCCACGCAGAUUUCCAGAACCAUGUUGGUUAUAUGCCUCCUAUCCGGGUCAACAAGAAGACUUUCGAGCCCAUUGAGGGAAAAGGAAAGUCUGUGAUUGAUGAAGGCAGCAGGCCUCUUGAUGGCCAGUUUAAAGAGCCAGACGCAUAUUCUUCAUGGGAUGAUACUGAGACUCAUCCACCCAGCCCUGUUCCUCCUCUCGUGCUAAACACCAGAGAGCUUCUCCUCAGUCUUCAUCAGAAGGUGGAUCACAACCAAAAAUGGGUCAAACGUCAGUUUGGUGCCAUUGUGAAAACCCUCACUGAGACACAGAACUCUGUGAAACUUAAUCAUCACUAUCUGCAUGAGGUUUUCGAUCGCACCUGGGCUACUCUUGCACAUCUGAAGACCCAGACUGAGCUUGAAGAAAUGAACUUUGAGCAAGACUUUGAGUGGUCGUGGCCUCCCAAGAAGAAGUUCAGGCCCAUUCCAGUGCCAGAUCUUGAAGACAGCUCCUUCUCGUCAUUCCGCACCGCCGAAUCUGAUGAGGAACAACUCGACACCGCAACUGGCCCAAGGAAGAAGAUUACACCCAAGAAGCGCCAAGGAUCUUUAUCAACCGCAAAGAAAUGAAGUCUUCACGGGCGUUAGUCCUCAGUUUGUCCCUUUUUGUCACUUGAUGACAAAGGGGAGAAACUUGAGAGUUAGUCUUCAAACGGGAUUUAUUUUUGGGGCCUAUGAACUAUAAUUAAGUUACAAACUCUUGGCUCUUCUGAUGUUUUUGUGUAAUGAGUUGUAACUUAAGCCCGAUGGUACUCUGACGCUUUUGAACGUUUUUCUUCGCAUGCUUAUUCCUCAAGUUUUAAUGCACGCAUGCUGGAAUUCGUCAGAUACCAUUUGCCAUCAUGCAUCUUCAUUUUCUUCAUAUGAUAUGUUAUAUGUAUGCAAGAUUUACAAGAUUCAGGGGGAGAUCUCCAUGAUAUAAAUCAUCAAUGUGCAUCUGCUAUAAUAGCAGAAUCCUCAAGGUAUGCACAUCUUCAGGGGGAAUCUCUGUGAAUCUUGUUUUCAAAUUCCUCAAAUGAGUAUUUACACUUCAUAUUUUUGAUCCCUGUUGAAGACUUAACCUAAUUGUCAUCAACCACCAAAAAGGGGGAGAUUGUAAGUGCGUCUAGUGCCCCUUAGUGAUUUUGGUGGUUUGAAGACUUAUAGGUUAAGUAUCUAAUAUGUUUGUGAGUAUACACAGGAUCUAUAAGUCAUUGAGGAGUUUGAGAUAUUUGAAGAAUAUCGACCCCUAAAAAUAUAUGUCUUCAUUUGAAGAAAUUGGUCUGAAGCUGAAGAAAUGAAUCACGAGGAAUCUGCGAUGAAAUUGAUAUUCCUCAUGAAGAUAUUGAUAUUGAGAAGAUCGGUGGUUCCUGAAGAAAAUCAUUUUAAAGAAAUUGAAGCGUGAAGAUUUACGUUUUCUGUUUUACUUUCUUCGCAUUUGAUGAAUAGGAACACCAUACUGUUAAAGGGGGUCAAAGUAACGCUAUGGAAUGAAUUUCCUCAUGAUGCUCAACCCAAGCCAAAUCCUACCAAAAGCCUCAAGUGAGGAAUAUGAGUGACAUGAGGACUCUCACAGUUGAGGGUCCCGACCGUUUCGAUNCCCAGGCUAUAAAUAGCCACCCCCCACAACCACUAGCUGGUUGGCUGCUCCAUUAGAAACUGACACUUGUCAUAAGAGCAACCCAAAUUCCUCAGAGCCUACGAGAGUAAAUCAUCAGUGAGGAAAUACACUACCCACCGAAACCACAAAUCAAACCUAGUGAUUGAGCAUCACUGAAGAAGUUGUUCCUGUGUGGGACUGAAGCCUUUUACCUUUGAGGACUGUGCAUCCUCCAGACGGUUAGGCGUCAUGGUCUAGAGCAAUCCAGCAGUCAAUUGUGGAUCGCCGGGUGACCGAGUUCGUGAGGGUUUGGAAGUCUGCCCUGAAGACUUACCACGAGUGUUGGGCGAGGACUGUGUGUCCUUAGCUCAAGGAGAAUACGGUAGGGACUGUGUGUCCCGGGACUAGGUGUCCUUUGGUUUCAAUACCAAGCCGCUCCAAACCAGAUGUACAACUGUCACAGCAGUUGGAACUGGGUCAUCAACAACAGUCUUCACCAAGAAUCGGGUUCUAAUUCCUCAACUCUUUACAUUCUCUGUAUUAUGUGUUGAUGACAUUCACUUUGACUGUUUGAAGAAUUUGCUGAAGACUUUUUCUGAAUUUCCUCAACUCCAAAUUCUUCACUUGAGUUAAUCAUCAUCUGUAUUCUGCGUGCCUGCUUACUGUGCAAUCUGUUCUCAUAAUCUUCACUGUGUAAUACUGCUGUGGUGAACGUUUGCACGAUUGAUCCUUAACUGUUUCCGUUGUAAGUUAGUCAUCAGUGAGGAAUUUCCUCAAAAGGAAUUUCCUCAGUGAUGAAAUUCUAAAAAUCUCCUAUUCACCCCCCUCUAGUCGAUAUAACGCACUUUCACUAAGUUAACACAACAUCUUCUCGGUCACUCCUCUUGUGUCUUAACUACCACUUUAUGGAUGUACUUCCCUACACAUUUCAGAGAUUGUUGCUUUUAGUUGUUUGAAUAUUUUCAAUCUAACUUUUGGGCAAAUCUGUUUUGUUUAUGUUUUAUGCCUUCAUAUGUAUACACAAAAUUAUAUUCACUCUAUUGCCAAAUUGGACGCGGGUAGCAACGCGCAUCAUCAUGAUCUAGUAUAGGUUAUAACGCACUUGUCUCCAUUGCACUGAAUCGAUUGUUCAAUGUCAUUCAUAUCCACCAUCUAACUAGACAACGUACUCUGCAUUAACAAAUUCACUUCUGCUUCAGUACCCCCCCCCCUCCCCUAAACACAAGAAAGGUCUAGAUUAAUCGAUACCUCUUCAUAAUAAAGGGCAAGAUGGUCAUAUUAACGUAUACGUUGUAUUUUUUUUCAUAAACACACACCCUGAGCACUGUUCAUGUUUUCUUUAUCCCGCCAAAAAAAUUAUGUGAGAGGCAAGAUUUGAACCAUGCACAUUUAGGUAUUAUCAAUGUUGUACUAACCUACUGGUCAACAAGACCUCACAUGCUACAAAUAUGUUUUACUCUAAUAAACAACACUGGAAAUGCAGUAUUCUUUGUUUUGUUUCCUUUUUAUAUUUAUUUUUUCCUUUUCAUUUUGCUGAUUUCCUUUCUAAAUGCGUUAGCUUUUUAAACCUCGCACCAUUUGUUUUUUAAAACGAUCAUUUUUUCAAGUUCGUCAUUUUUUCUUAAAAAUAGGUGAUUUUUUCACAUAUUGCUGAAGUUUUUUUUCUUUUCUAAAUUCAUGAACUAUUCCUCAAAUACGCAAACUUUUAUUGAAAGUUAAUGAAACUUUUAUAAAGUUGAUGAUCUGUUAUUUUAAAAAUUGAUGAACUAUUACUUAAACCGUAAUUUUGGUAUUCAAAACCCUAAACCCUAAAUUGUUGGGAAGUUGUUAACAACUUUGGAAAAUGUAUUGAAGUUUUUAAAUUUUUCAUACAUAGUUUGAAAUUCCAAAAUUGUGUACAAAUUAAAAUUAGGUCCGUUUCAUGAGUCGGAGUAACAUCAGCGCAUUAUAACACCUCUUUCGCCCUUACCGACACCCGUGCGUUCCACAUGAUGUAUAUGCAUAUGUUUAUCGCAUUAUAAAAUCAUCACAUUAUUUUAAAAAUUGAUGAACUAUUACUUAAACCGUAAUUUUGGUAUUCUAAACCCUAAACCCUAAAUUGUUGGGAAGUUGUUAACAAAUUUGGAAAAUAUGCAGAACUUUCUAAAAAUUUCAUACGUAAUUUGAAAUUUCAAAAUUAUGCACAAACUAAAAUUGGGUCCGUUUUCAUGACUCGGAGUAACAUCAUGGCAUUAUAACACACGAUGCACAUACAUACGUUUAUCUAAACUAUUUUUUAUGACCCGUGCAUUCCACAUGAUGUACAUACAUACGUUUAUCUAAACUAUUUUUCAAUUUAUUGAAUAAGUUUCAAAAGAAUAAUAAAUAUAAAAAAGAAUAAAGUGAAUUUAAGAAAAGUUCAAGAUAUUUAAAAAUCACGAAUUUAAAAAAUAAAAAUAGGGUAAAAAAGAAAUACGAAAGAAAAAGGAGCUGACUAGCAAAAUUUAACUCAAAAUAGAGAAACCGCUGUAUUUUUUAUAUAAGGGAAAUAUCAUACUUAAAUUUUGUCACAUCUAGUGGUGUGUUCUAGUGGGGUGUACCGAAGCGGGGCCUAAAUUAGUUUUUGCAAAAAGAAAACAUAUCAAGAUGGGCCAGAGCAACAUGAGGGAGAUGGUCAUGUUCCGGGAUAGACCAACUAUGGUGAAGGAAGUUAAUGGUCUGCAAGAUUACUACUCAGAAUACAUUCAAUCGGGGCCUGGUGCAUAUGUGGAGGGUAGAGAACAAGGCCGCUCUCUCGCUUGUGAGUGCGCUUUAUUAUACAUCAUCAGACACGUACGCACACUAUAAUUUAUGAGCUUUGCUACAAGUACGGACGUUUUACAGGAUUUUUACAGGUAAAGUUAAAGUGUGUUGUUUUGAUUGAUACUUAGAUGAGGCCGGCCCCAUCCUGAGAAUCAAGGGGGAGAUUAGUAAGGAGGAAAACGCAUCAGUCCGUAACCUUCUGUAAAAAAGAUCCGUAGGUCUGGCAUUUUUGAUAAUUUAUAUUUGUCUUGCUGUUUAGGGAGUGCUUGUCUUCCUUGUUGUUGAGAUCAUCUUUCUCCCAAAUAAAGACCACAUAAUAGUAUGGUCUCAUAGAGAAAAUACCAGAGACUGCAUCCCAUAGAGAAAACAACAUAGACUGCAGUCCACUGGACAAAAUAGCUCAUUCAUGCUAAUGUAUACAAAAGAACAAGUCGAGUCACAUAAAAAGUAGAUGAACAAAUACCAACAAGCAAAUAAGAAUUACAAAGUACUAAUAAAUACUCAUCGCACAUGCAUGGAACUAUAGAAAUAAAAUUAAUACAGGGAAUACGACACCACUUAUUCUAGAAAUAACACAUUGCGGCUCCAUAAGGGCUCUCCUUCAUCAACUGUUAUAUAUCAGUAUCCCGUCAAUUGUGAGCUACCGGUGGUUUGCACUUCGGAGGCGGCUUCGGUUUUGGUUCAGGUUUAGGCUUGGGCUCCAUCUUUGGUUCGGGUUUUGGCAUCGGCUUGGGCUUAGGCUCUGGCUUUGAUUUUGAGCAGGGCUCGGGCUUGGGCUUUGGCUUUGGUUUUGGCAUUGUCUUGGGCUUAGGUUCGGGUUCGGGCUUGCGUCCCGGCUUUGGUUUGGGUUUGGGCAUCGGUUCAGGUUUGCAGGGCUCCGACUCUGAGUGUGGCAUAGGUUUUGGCAUUGGCUCUGGUUUGGGUUCUGGCUUUGGCUUUGGCUCUGCAAACUUCUCGACGACAGCAAGGUCUCGUCCAGCGGUAGCUGAUUGCUGGAAAGCGGAGGCUGCAACUAUCCCGAUGAAGAUCACGACGAGGAGGAAGUGAUGCCUCGUCAUUGCUACCUAUUUCUUGUGCUUGCAGCUAGUGUUGCACCUGGUGUGAUUUCUAUGUGUGCACCUGUGUGUUGUGUGGAGAACUGGAGAUACAUAUCAUGCGGUUUUAUAGGGUGGGCGAAACAAAGCAGAUCUGGAGCCUGCAUCAAUUAACAUUGCAACUAGAUAGCUGGAGUGACAAGUAUUGAGUAACAUCGGAAUGAAGUUAUAUUGGUUAAUUACGAAUGAAGCAACCAAUGUACGUACCUACAAGGUGUUAAUAAGCACAGCUGGACUUUAAUUGCCUCGAUGCGAUGAUAGCAGAAGGGUAACAAUAUUUUAACUCUGUUAGUUGCCUCCCGCAAGCAGAAAAUUAUGUUAGUUGCACUGUCCCAUGCUCACACGUCUAUGUGAUCACCCAUCAUCUAGAAAUGACAAGCCACCGUGUAUACACGUUAGUGCAAUACAAAGUAAAAGGCAAUCGCUACCGUUCAAUUCACAAUGGAAAAGAAAGCCCGGUCGAUUGCUAAGAUGUAUAGAUGUGAUAGUUAUUUACUAUUUUGUGACGUGAUAGCCAUUUACUAUUUUGUUUGCAGCAAAGGCUGCAUGCAUUGGCUCACUAUGACUGUCAAGAUAUGGGAAUAUGAGACAAGCCUUGUAUUAUUUUGUCCAGAAGUAAUUUUGAACCACGCCUUCUAAACCCGGAUGGAUUGAGUGGGAGAGAGGCCUUUUGGACCUCAGAUUCCAUGGACCUUUUUUUUCAAAACAAAAAAUCAAAAAUUAUUGUUUGAAGUUUCAAAAAAAUGUUACGAAACAAAUUAUGGAUUCUAUUUUUGGAGCUCACAUGUAAAAAAAAUCAUUAUGAAAGUCUAUGCACAUUUGAAGGUACAUGUGGAUUUUAUUUCUGAAUUUGUUGAAACUUGAAAACAUGGUUUUUGAAGUUUUCUUAAAGGUCUCCAUGGAGCCCAAACUCCAGAACAAACAUGGUUGCCGACUUUAACACCAUGAUAUAUUUAGAUAGGCUAAGAAUUAUGUUGCACCGAUAUUUUUGCCUCUGAUUUCCGCAUUACUGUCAGGUUUAGCUCAUUACUUGCAUUUUCUUUUGAUCAUGCCUAGCUUGGGGGCAAAUUUACCAAAAUGAUUACAAAGAAAAUGAUGCAUUGGAGCAGGAUUCGGACCCUAACGGGGAUUCCUUAGUAGUAGUAUCAGGGAAAACUAAUGAUCUCUCUUACCUACAUAAGAGUAACAUGGAUUGACCUUAUCUUUUUAUCAUUGUAUGCAAGCUUAUGGACCUACUUGUGCAAUUGUCAAGAUCAAGGAUCUAAAUGUCAUGAUGCGCAGCUUUGUACACUAUGGCUCACACUAGCACGUUGCACGGCUCAAAAUGUUACGUUUCUCCUAUUUUGUUGACUUGCGAGUCACCCGUCGAGAUUUGCUAAGAGACUUCUAAGGCCAGGAUCCCAUUGUCGGGGGGGCAACGCUUGGCACCUUUUCAAUACCCGAACAUACGGUGCUAACAUUUUUUUAAUUUGGCCAGGGAAGGUUUAUUAGGCCGUGUGCCCCGUCCAUAUCAAACGCACAUCCGUAGCUCACCCUGGGCGUUUGGUCUUUUCAAUUUGUUCAGUCCGGUCUUUUUGGUCUUUCAGAAUUGAAGAUUGAAAUAAUUUCUGUCUUUUGUGUUCUUCACAAUUCGACCUUCGUUUUUUUCGGUCUUCAAUACCCGAACACCCAGGGUGAGCUAUGUUGAUUGUUUCAGGGGCCUUAGCCCCUCAGCCAAGACUAAAUUACGUGAUUCUUCUAAGAGAGAUUAGAUUAGGAAAAUCAUAGGCUUUUUGUGCCCCCGAACAUCCAUAUUUUAUGUUUAGCUCCCAAGACAUCUUGCCUAGCUCCCCCAGUGGUUUUGUCACACUUACACAUUUGAACAUUCACAAAUUGACCGUAGGUACUUGAUCCAGCUCCUUGGUUUCUUCAUGAUGUCCCUCUUCAUGCUAGUGAUGGGCAUCAAAUACGAAUACCUCAAGAGCAACGGCCACGCCCUCUUCGCCAUCCUCUACGCGCUCACAUUCUUCUUCGCAAACUUCGGACCAAACAGCACCACCUUCGUGCUGCCGGCCGAGCUAUUCCCGACACGUUUGCAGUCCGGAUGCAUUCACGAGAGAGUAAUAAUAUCAUCUCAUCUUCUAUAUCAGGGAAUUAGAAAGGGGGCAAGAAUAACGACGACCCGAUGCAUGCUACUUAAGUCGCCAGGCACUUGGUUUGAGAGUUUAUUUUAUCUGCACGUAUAAUAUUGCAUGAUACCAUCCAUUGUGUUGUUAACGUUACAUUGAAUUUUUAGUGUGGAUGUAUGACCUUGACUAGGGAUUUCCCUUCUCAAUCGUCAUUAUGUAUUUCUAUACUUAUAAUCAUGUCAAAUUUACAGAAUAAAAUAACCAUGUCGAGUAGGCAUAUAUAUAUGUAAUUAUUGUUAAGGAAAUCGGUAACUGGUAGCUGCUCGGUCAGCUUGGGAGUAGAGAUUAAUCGGUGAAUCAUCAUAUUAAUUGGAUUAACCGGUCGCCCAUUAAUCGGUAGAUUAAAUAGGAACCUGUGAACAUAUUCUAGUUUUUUUAUGUAUUAUACCCUACUCUCAUCCUCUCAGCUAUGCGAUAUACCAUAAUAUGGUACUGUUUGAUCAAAUCCUAGCUAUUGAGGAGCGAGAGGAGGAUGGGAUAGGUUAUAUGCCAAAAAGUUGGGCCUUGUUGGCCCACAAGUUAGUAGGCCAACUAAGAUUAAUCGGCUUGACAAGCUAUUAAUCGGUCUAACAUGCCAUUUAAUCGGCCUGACAAGCCAUUUAAUCGGUCCGACAAGUUAACACGAUGAAUAGGUGGUAUUCGAAUCGGCCAUCCAAUGAGUAGAGAUUAACUGACCCAUUAACUGAUUAACCGGAUUAAUUGUAAUGUGUUUUUUUUCUUGCGGUACAGAGAUAAAUUGUAUUGCAUCUCAAUAAGUUAACGAUCGGGUAUUUUUCUCAUUACCAAAUCUCCAACCGAAUAGCCAGAAAGAUAACAAUAGCAUCAUAAUAGACAAGGGUUACUUCAUAUGGACAACGCUUCUGCUACGGACAUAUGUGGGUACCGUGGCAGCGGAGAUGGUUAUUUUGGAAAAGUCAAAAACAAAAACAUAUUUUGAAGUUUCAAAAAAAUCUAAAAAAAAACAUACAUGUUCAUGAGAUUGCACCAUAUAGAGAAAGCAACAUAGAAUGGACAAAAUAGCUCGAUCACGUGAAUCGAUACAAUCGAUACUCAAAAGAACAGGUCGAGUCACAUACAAAGUAGAUGAACAUAUAGCAACAAGCAAAUAAUAAUUACAAAGUACUAAUACUCACCACACGAGCAUGGAACUAUAGAAAUAAAUUGAAUACAGGGAAUACUACACCACUUAUUCCAGAAAAUAGCACAGUGUGGCUCCAUAAGGGGUCUCCUCCAUCAACUGUCACAUAUCAGUAUCCCAUCAAUUGUGAGUUGUAGGUGGUUUGCACUUCGGAGGUGGCUUCGGUUUCGGUUCGAGUUUAGCCUUGGGCUCCGGCUUUGGUUCGGGUUUCGGCAUCGGCUCGCGUUUAUGCUCCGGCUUUGGUUUGGAGCAGGGCUCAGGCUUGGGCUUUGGCUUCGGUUUUGGCAUCGUCUCGGGCUUGGGUUCGGCUUCGGGCUUGGGUCCCGGCUUUGAUUUGGGUUUGGGCAUCGGUUCAGGUUUGCAGGGCUCCGGCUCUGAGUGUGGCAUAGGUUUUGGCAUUGGCUCUGGUUUGGGUUCUGGUUUUGGCUCUGGCUCUUCAAACUUCUCGACGGCAGUAAGGCCUCGGCCAGCAGCGGCUGCUUGGUGGAAAGUGGAGGCUGCCACUACCCCGAUGAAGAUCAUGGCGAGGAGGAAGCGAUGCCUCACCAUUGCUGCCUAUUUCUUGCGUUUGCGGCUAGUGUUGCACCUGGUGUACUUUGUGUGUGUGCACCUGUAUGCUGUGUGGGGAACUGGAGAUACAUAUCGUGAGGUUUUAUAGGGUGGACGAAACAAAGCAGAUCUGAAGCCUGUAUCAAUUAACAUUGCAACUAGGUAGCUGGAGUGGCAAAGUAUUGUGUAACAUCGGAAUGAAGUUAUAUUGGUUAAUUACAAUUGAAGCAACAAAUGUACGUACCUACAAGGCGUUAAUAAGCACAGAUGGACUUUGCGUGUGUGUCCCCAUGCGAUGAUAGCAGGUGGGUAACAAUAUUUUAACUCUGUCAGUUGUCUCCCGCAAGCAGAAAAUUAUGUUAGUUGUACUGUCCCAUGCUCACACGUCUAUGUGAUCACCCAUCAUCUAGAAAUCACAAGCCACCGUGUAUACACGUUAGUGCAUUACAAAGUAAAAGGCAAUCGCUUCCGUUCGAUUCACAAUGGAAAAGAAAGCCCGGUCAAUUGCUAAGAUGUAUAGAUGUGAUAGUUAUUUACUACUACUUCUGUCUCAAAAUAAGUGUCUUAACUUUAUACUAACUCUAGUACAAAGUUAUACUAAGCUUGAGACAGUUAUUUCGGGAUGGAGGAAGUAUUUUGUGACGUGAUAGCCAUUUACUAUUUUGUUUGCAGCAAAGGCUGCAUGCAUUGGCUCACUAUGACUGUGAAGAUAUGGGAAUAUGAGACAAGCCUUGUAUUAUUUUGUCCAGAAGAAAUUUUGAACCACGCCUUCUAAACCCGGAUGGAGGGAGUAGGAAAGAGGCCUUUUGGACCUCAGAUUCCAUGGAUCCUUUUUUUCAAAAAAAAAUCAAAAAAUAUUGUUUGAAGUUUCAAAAAAAUGUUACAAAACAAACUGUGGAUUCUAUUUUUGCAGCUCACGUGUAAAAUGGUUUCAUUAUGAAAGUCUAUACACAUUUGAAGGUACAUGUGGAUUUUAUUUUUAAAUUUUCUGAAACUUGAAAACAUGAUUUUUGAAGUUUUCAUAAAAGGUCUCCAUGGAGCGCGAACUCCAGAACAAGCCAGGUUGCCGACUUUAACACCAUGAUAUAUUUAGAUAGGCUAAGAAUUAUGUUGCACCAAUAUUUUUGCCUCUGAUUUCCGCAUUACUGUCAGGUUUGGCUCAUUACUUGCAUUUGCUUUUGAUCAUGCCUAGCUUGGGGGCAAAUUUACCAAAAUGAUUACAAAGAAAAUGCUGCAUUGGAGCAGGAUUCGGACCCUAACGGGAAUUCCUUGGUAGUAGUAUUAGGGAAAACUACUGAUCUCUCUUAUCUACAUAAGAGUAACAUGGAUUGACCUUAUGUUUUUAUCAUUUUAUGCAAGUAUGGACCUACUUUUGCAAUUGUCAAGAUCAAGGAUCUAAAUGUCAUGAUGUGCAAAUUUGUACACUAUGGCUCACUUAGCACGUUGCACGGCUCAAAAUGUUAUGUUUCUCCUAUUUUGUUACUUGCUAGUCACAUGUCGAGAUUUGCUAAGAGACUUCUAAGGCCAGCAUCCCAUUGUCGGGGGGGGGGGGGGGGGGGGGAAUGCUUGGCACCUUUUCAUUGGUGCCAAGAGAGAUUGCUCAAGAUAUGUGGAGAUGCACACAACAUGUUCUUACAACAACUCUCUCUUGCACAUAUGUCAUCGAGAUAUGGUACACUCCGCACCAGGUAACCCUUGCUUUUUCCCCAUAGAUAACCUCCAAGAUGGUGGAAACGGAGCUCACACACGAAGAGAUCCACCAUGGGAGGAAAGAUGGUGUGAAAAUAUGAAAACUUGAAAACUAUCGCUUGGAGGUCAAGUAUAUAAAAAAAGAAUUCUAGACAAAAAUAUUCUAGAAGGAUGCAAAAAUAAAUAAAAACACGAGGGGAAACAUUAUAUUUCAUUUUCCUCUAGAAUAUCUUCGGUCUGUAGGAAGCUCAGAUAAAUCUGGGGUAACCAGUCCUUUGUUCCAAAUGGUACAAAAGAAGAGAAAAAUAUGUGUGUUCUAUCCUGCAAAAUUCUUACAUUUUUCCUGUGUUUCAAACAGGGUCUACAGUUAAAAAAAGAUCUGCUAUUCCUCGACAACUUAAGAAACUAUUAGUUCUCAUUCAACAAAUGUGCAGCUGACCAAAAUAUGCAAUUGCUCGACAUGCCUUUAUAACAAGAAACAACAUUCAAGAUUGUCGGUUUACAAAAACAACGAAUUUCCUCUUACGAAAUUGAUCCAACUAUACAAUUGUUACUCGUUAGUGCCAUAUUCAAAGAAUACAAUAGAUAUGUACUCCCUCUGUUCCUAAAUAUAAGUCUUUUUAGAUAUUCUACUAGAGACUAUAUGCGUAUACAUAUACGCAUAUAGGCAUAAUUUAGAGUGUAGAUUCAUUCACUCGUCAACUAUGGAUGGGUUAGAAGGUUGGCUCAUCCAUGUAUAUAGUAGGUGAGCUAUGUCUAGGUUUGGAUUUGCCUCUAGGGUGUCCGAGAUCUGACAUUAUGCCAUUUUGGGGGUUCAUUCUAAUGCUUGUGAGCAGCAUCCAAGGGAUGUCUUUUCCUCCUCUGGGAUGUCUUCCAUGGUUGAGGACAACUGUCAGUGAUGCAUUAUGUGGGAGCUCACCCAAUAAGCCUGUUGGUAGUGGCGGAGACAUGAAAAUUGUGUUAUAGAGGGCCACUAAACAGGGAGAGUGGAUUUUCAGCACCCGGGUGCCUAGACACCCUCUAUGAACAGUAACACCGAAACAAAUAGAAAAAAAUUCGAAAAAAUCUAAAACUUUGCAAGAUCAAAGAUGAUAAAAAAAAUUAGGUGCUUGCAAGUUUUCAUGCCAAAAAAACAUUUGAGGAGCUCUACACAGGAAAAACAUUUUCGUAGUUCAAAUUUUGAACACUUUUAGCACUAAAUCUGAACCUUGUUUGUACACCUUCCUCUACAUGAUAUUUUGGCACGAAAACUUGUAAGAACCUAUAAAGUUUCAUCAUCUUAUAUGUUGCAAAGUUUCAGAUUUUUUCAAAAGUUUUUUCUAUUUUUUUUAUUUCACUGUUCAUAGAGGGUGCCUAGGCACCCGGGUGUUAUUACACCUUUCUCCUAAAGAGGGCAACACUUCAUGGACAGGUAGAGCAAGGCAGGGUCGUAGGGGCUGGGGACAGGGGAAAGUUGGGGAAGAGGAACGGCGUAUGGCUGGGAGCUCCGGUGUGUCUUUGGGGUUAACUUAGUGAAAAUUCAAGACUCAUACGGAUCCAAUGAUAUCAACUUGGUAUAAUGUAAUCCAUUUAUAUUUUUAAGAAAAAAAGGACCCAAAACAAAUUUCGAAAUGCAAGCACACCUUACGCUGAACAUGCAAUAUUCGAUAAGGUAUGCUUACCAUACGCAAGUGAGUCUUAUAAGAGCAGUAUAACAAAUAAAGACAUGGCAACAACAUGCAUGUGUACCAAAUAUCUACACAAAUGGUUUUCUUUUUUCUAAGUACACAAACUACUUGUAGAAUCAUAUAAAAAUUUAUUGCGUAUAAUAUAUCAGUAGUAUAAAUGUAAAUACACAAAGAUCAUGCCAGACCGAUACAUCACUUUAGAUACAAAGCCUAAAAAAUGAUAGAUUUGUUUACAAGAGCAAGCAUAGCUUUAUCUAAACAAAAUAGUACAACAAUAAACCCAUGAAAAAUAUCCGUUUGUAUGUAGCACCACACGAAUGUAAAGUUGAGGCUGCACCAAGUGGUUGCGGCCCCUGUAGUGCGUUAUUUUGUCGCCCGGGCGUGUUUGAAUCUGGCAAUGGUUGUACCUGUGGAUAUGAGCCUUGGACAUCUGGUUGCGGCAGUGGCUGCGGGUUUGGUCCCGGUAGUGGCUGUGGCAGAGGCUGCGCGAUUGGGCCCGGCAGUGGUUGUGGCAGAGGUUGUGGUAAUGGCGGUGGCUGUAUGUUUGGAUCCGGCAGAGGCUGUGGUAAUGGCUGUGGCUGUGGGUUUGGGUCCGGAAGAGGCUGAGGUAAUGGUUGUGGCUGCGGGUUUGGGCCCGGCAGUGGUUGCGGUAAUGGUUGCGGGUUUGGGUCUGGUUUAGGCAAAGGUUGUGGAUUAGGGUCCGGCUGCGGAUUCGGAUUUGGCAGCGGUACUGGCGAUGGUCCCAACAUCUGCUGCAAUUUCCGCUGUCGCGCCUGCACGCAUCCUUCACCUUCCGCUGCCACGGCAACGACAACGAGGAGGAAGACGAUGCAUAUGAAACUGGAGGAAGAGUGGCAGCACGUCGCCAUGGCUCGCACCUAUCGUGGUGGUAUGCAGUGGGAGAUGGAUAUGGCCAGCUGAUUGCUUCCACGGCCACUUCGCAGCUUGGUGUUUUAUAGCCAUGGCUAGCCAAUCAACGGUAGUUGUGUGUCCAUUAGCUAUUAAUCAGGAGUAGCUAAUACUACUCCAUUAGGGUAAAGUGCAACGUAUGAGCAAUGGCUAUGUGUAUGAAAUAUUUCUGAUUGGUACCUUGUGACUGUGGCUGCAACUUUUAAGCCUGUACUCCAUAUAUCUACAUGUGCUAUGCGUAUAAAGAAAAGUUAAGUUACAUGGAUGGAUUGGAGGUGCUCAGCCCAUAGUUAUCCAAUGUUUUAACUUCUUCGCAACAAAGUUAUCCUACCUAACUACUCUGCAACUUUACUCACCAGAGGCAUAAGUAUGUAGAUGUCGACAUGUCGUCCUAAAGAUCUACAAUGUCUUCAGGGUAUUAAUUUCGACCUGUCAUCUAUAAGUGGUUGUUCAAAAGUAAUAUUCAAAAUGACAGCAUAGCAUAUCAUAUGAUUAAACCUUGAGCAGCAAGAGAUGACUUGAUUGGAUCAAGAGCCUCUUUUCGAUUUUCUCUGAUAUUGCUUGUCGGCCUAUAUAAAGCAACGGUUCUACGGAUCUUUAAUUCACAACAAACAUAAUAAUCAAAAGAGCUAACUCAGGAUAUCCAUCUGUUUGUGUUUGAUGUCUAUGCAAGCGCGUUGUUAAAUAAAAGGUCAUGUUGAAAAUUAAUUGAACGUUCGAAUACUGUCCUCCGGUUGGCACACUGAAAAUUUGGGUUUACUUAAUAUUCGUCUCAAUCGAGCCACGUGGUUGUGUGUGAGUAGAUGAAGUUGCAGCCUAUGUAAAAAUACCCCUCCCCCCCCCNNNNNNNNNNNNNNNNNNNNNNNNNNNNNNNNNNNNNNNNNNNNNNNNNNNNNNNNNNNNNNNNNNNNNNNNNNNNNNNNNNNNNNNNNNNNNNNNNNNNNNNNNNNNNNNNNNNNNNNNNNNNNNNNNNNNNNNNNNNNNNNNNNNNNNNNNNNNNNNNNNNNNNNNNNNNNNNNNNNNNNNNNNNNNNNNNNNNNNNNNNNNNNNNNNNNNNNNNNNNNNNNNNNNNNNNNNNNNNNNNNNNNNNNNCCCCCCCCCCCCCCCCCCUAGUCAUUACUUCUCUUCCUCUACAUUCUCACAUCUAUCUCUCACAAAAGUUCUCUUUUAGAUGGUAGAGUCAAAAUUACAAAAUUUUAAACUCUUGCCAUGCCAUUCAACUUGCUUGUUUUGACUGCAUAGUACCAACAAAAAUUCGGCACAAAGUAAAGUACGCCGUAGGGGGUCAACCUGAGAUUGUAACAUGGCCGAUGUUGCAUAGGAUGCGCGUGUGACAUGUGUGUGGGAGCUCAGUCUGGGAUUGCGACAUGGGCCAUUUUGCAAAGGAUGGGGCGGCAGCCGUAGAGGCAGUCAUAACAUGGACUACGUUGUAAUGGAAAUGGUUUGUCAUAUGAAGCGUAGAAAGUGCUUCGAGGAGCACAACAUGGCUCAUUGUGAAUGCACUGGGACACACAACUGGCGCAGGAAAGAACACACAAAUGCAACACGAACCAUGUUAUAAACGGACUCAGGCCCAUGGCUGACAUAGAGAAAGAUUGAUGUCGGAGUGGUUGAUGUGAUCUGAUUAUUAGUCAAUCGCCCCCUAGGUGCUUCAACCACAACCACACCAGGUUUCAAACUUCGAUGAUAAAUGGAAUGCAUCUCGCCUCGCAUAGUCGCUGCGGAGACAGACUGUGGCCUCAUCCUCCUGCAUCGCCAUCGGUGACCAUCCAUCUGAUGUCAUGCUUUGCCACAAACAACACUACACCGUCUACGACACCAAUGUCCCCUCGCUCAAGCACCUCCCACACCCCGGGAACGACCACCAAGUAUAAAAUGUCCGAAUAAGGAAACUUAAGAGCCAGACUAGCGCUAGGCAAGAAAGGUCCACAAUCAAAAUUAUCUGAAAGGCUAUAUUAGGUCCUAAUAACAACAAUUGUACUGGCGGUAGUGGAAAACUGUAGAAACCUACUCGGAUCUUUCCAUCAUUUGAUGUGGGAGAGGACCUAGAACCCUCUCCAAGUUAUCAUGCAUGGGUGAGGGGUCUAGAAUACUCUCACCCUACCGCAGUCGAUCGCACUGUGCAAAUUGCACACACCAUGAAACUUACUUCAGGUUGCUCGUCCAUGAGCUAUGAUUCGAACAUCAUUUGGUUAACUCAGCUAGUACAACAAGCAAGCCAAUAUGAAAAUCCUAGUAAACAUCAAACUGUCGAAAAAUCAAGUCCAAGCCACCUAGUAAACAUCAAACGUACGUACCUACAGCUCGUUGUCCCAUAUCAUGCAGAAGACAUGAGUCACAUAUACCAACAUGCACCCAGCAGCAAUCAACGGGCAAUGUAUACCGAAAAAAAAAUUCACCCCUUCAUUUCUAUAAAGUAACUAGAUAUGCCAGUGAAGCACGAGCCUCGCUCAUCAUAUCUCACACCCGGAUUAAUCAUCUCAGCCCUGCUAGCACCAUAUAUCAUGCACAAGCUGCACCUUAUCGUCCCGGCAAUCAUAUGAAUCCCUGGCUAGCUAGCUUGUUCGGAGAUAUUUGGAGAUCCUACUUGCACUGUAGUAAUAGAAUCCGUGGUCAUCUCGGUAUUUGCUUUUGUACCUGGCGCAUCAAAUUUAGCACACGCAUGUCUUCAGUACUAGUUUGGAAGAAGCAAAAAGCUAGAUGAUCCAUACACAAUUGCUCACUCCGUCCCAUGAUAUAAGAGCGUUUUUAUAUAAUAUAAAAAACGCUUUUAUAUUUAAGGGACGGAGGGAGUAGUACUUAGCACAGCCCUAAUACAUAACCACUACUUUGGGCUUCAUUGUGAAACAUAGUGCUGACGAAAAAGGUCAAACUUGUCAGAAGAUGUAGAGCUCUAUAAGGUAAAUGCUACCUCCAUCCCGAAUUACUUGUUACAAAGGCGAAUAAAAUGGACUAAAACUAAAACACGCCUAGAUACAUCCAUUUCUGCAACAAGUAAUUUCAGACAAAUGGAGUAGUUGAUAGUGGUAGAAUCCAGCAACACCUCAUGUACAGGAAAAAGUUAAUUGUUCUGAUGAGAAUUCAAAGCAACAGUAGAAUUGACAGCAUUUUACUUGAGUAUCGGCCAUAUAAUAUUACCAAGUCGGAGGGGGGUGAUUGACCAACUAAGUGGGCGCGUAAGAAGGAAAAAAUGACUUGUUAUCGUUGUGGAGAGAACGGUCAUUUUGUGUCCGAAUGCUCGGCUGAUCUAUGUGAGUUCUGUCUCAAGCCAGUUCAUGGAUCUUCUUCGUGUCCUCUUAUGUCGGGUCCGAUGCCUGUUAUGGCCAUCUAUGGGAUGCGUUCCGAGGAGCUUAUGUUUUUCGAGUCUCCAGCGGUGACUACAAAGGUGCAUGUCCCAGAUGUGGCUCUUACUGGUAAGAUCACUGUUGCUAGUGGGAAGAUGACGGUUGACCAGGUGGUGCAACAACUUCAAGAGCUUGUGUCAUCUACUUUUCGCUGGGAGCCUAUUACGAUUUCGGAGAGUGUUUUCAAGGUGGUGUUUCCCUCCAAAGAUGAUCUAGCAUGGUUACUCAAGUUUGGUAUGUGUAGAGUGCCUAGUACGUCCUGUGUCCUGGAGUUUGAUGUGUGGAAGGGAGAUGAGCCUCAGGGCCGGGGGUUCCUCUUGAUCAGAUUUGGGUUC
Molecule: long non-coding RNA, 112592 nt
Filed under: Hordeum vulgare
Lineage: Eukaryota; Viridiplantae; Streptophyta; Magnoliopsida; Poales; Poaceae
Description: long non-coding RNA (HVUL_LNC008478)
Rfam family: tRNA (bases 77802-77873)
Source: RNAcentral